GAACAAGAGAUGGAGAUGGAGAGAGAGAAAGCGAGAUGUGGACUUGUUGUAGCAGACAGUGCCACGUUGUUUCUCUAUCAUACAGUGUCCGCACAUUGGUCGCAAUACUCUCAAAAAAAAAAAUUCUUUUUUUUUUUUUUUUUUUUUAUGUUAGAUAACUCGAAUGUCUCCUAGAGUCCUAGCUAUACACAAUUUAGUAUAGUUGAUGUCUUUAUGAUGAGAUUAGUGUUUAUGAAGCAAGCAUUUGAAAUUUUGGUUUACGAAACUAUAAUUAGGGAUGGUACGUUUUACAUUCACAUAAGUCAUAACCAAAAGUUCGAGUUAUGUAUGUAUUUUGAUGUGAUCAUUUAUAUUUAGAGACAAUACUGUUUAUGUUUUAUUUUUAAAUUUAUCCUAUUAAUUGUAUUUUUAAAAAUAAGAAAAAAGAAAUUUUUAUUAUUAUUUUAAGUUUAUAACGUUUUACGUUACUUUUUUUUGUCAAUGAAACUUUUUACGUUAUAACCUAGGUUGCAUGUAAACGGAAACGCAUACGCGGAAACGAAACGUUUCGGAAACGGGAAACGACAAUUUUUGAAAAUUAAGGAAUGGAAACGUUUUGGAAACGUAUGUAUAUAUAAUUUUAUAUAUAUAUAUAUAUAUAUAUAUACUAAAAUUCCAAAUAUAAAAUCCAUACUAAAAAAAAAAAGAAUUUUUGAAAACAUAAAUACUAAAUAGUUAAACAAAACUCUAAAAGAUAAUACUAAAACGCUCAAAUUCAAAUGUUUGGACCAACAUCGCCGUUAUCAUUUUUAUCAAAUAAAACAGCCUCUAAAUCAGGUUCGUCUAGAGAAAGAUCUUCAGACUCAAGUCUCUCAAGAUUAAACUCAUUUAGUGAAUCAAGUUGAUCACCUCCAACAUCCCACAUAUGAUUAGGACCAUAAUUUAUAUUUAUAGAAAUUAUACAUCUUUUUAUUAGAGAUAGAUACAAUCUUUCUUUUUUAAUCACAAUAUAUAUCUUAUAUUUUAUAUUUUUUAAUCUAAAAACGGAAACGAGAGUUUCCAUCGAGUUUCCAAAUGAAAAAUUUUAGGAAUCGUGUUUCCAUGGGUAGUUUCCGAGUUUCCGAGAGUUUCUGUUUCUGAAACGUUUCGGAAACGGGAAACGCACUUCGAAAAGAGUUUCCAUGUAACGUAGGUUAUAACUAUUAAUUAUCGUCAAAGAAAAUAAGAACUCUAUUUUGUUUGUUUUCGUUCUUUGUCUGUUUUAAGACCAGAUUCUGCAACCACGAGUAUCCCGUUUGUUCUUAUUAUUUUAUUUUUUAUAAGGUUUACGUUAUUUUUGUCAAAAAAAACUUAUUACAGUAUAAAUAUUAAUUAUCGUCAAAUAAAAACAAACUCUGUUUUUAAAAAUAUGUUACGUUAUGUCUUUUGUCAAAAGAAACUUUUUACGUUAUAACCAUUAAUUAUCGUGAAAAAAAAAUUGUUUCUUUUUGUUUUUUGUUUGUUGUGUUUCAAGACCUUGAUUUUCUCUUUAACAACAUGUACCCUGAUUUUCCUUAAGUUAUUCAUAUUUUAAAAUUAAUAGCUUUGAUUUGUGACACUAAAGAAAGCGAUACAAAUCAUACAGUUUUAAUUUUCUCAUUCACAAAAACGUUACUAAAAACUUUAUGAAAAAAUAAUCUAUGCUUUUAUAUACCGUUUUUCUUUACAGUUUUAUUCUCAAAACUGUAUAAAAUAACUGUAAGCUGGGUAGUAAUUUUGAGGUGUUAAACAAAUUUUUAAUAAAUUUAAUGAUUAAUAAGAAUUUAUGAAAUGAUUAAUUUUUCUUCCUCCAAUGGUGAACUCUAUAAGAGUUCUAAAAAAAAAAAAAAUAUUUUUAAUAUAAUUUCUAUUUUAAAAAAUAAAGCCAAAAUUAUAUUACAUUACAUAAAUACAAAACAUAUAAAAUAUAAAAAUUAAAAUAAAACACACACUCAAAAGUGUUUAGUUGAAUUCUCCCCAAAAAAAAAUCUUUGUAGUUACAGCAAAACAAACCUAUAUACUUGAGAAUCCACACAUAAAUAAAAAGCUACACGAUCCUAUUCAUUGAUUGACAUUCACCACACAUGCUGUUUUAUCAUAACACGUGGCCUUAAGGAGUGGUACCAAAACCCCUUCGUUAAGGGACGCUCUCAAACAUUUAUACACUUUCUGAUUUAUUUUUAAUUACAUUAAUCUCAUAAUCUCAUAAUCUCUAAAGUUUUUUUGUUUAUACUCUCCCUUUGGAGAUGGUCUAAGCUUUUACGGAACAGUGCAGAGUUGUAAGGAAAAAUGGUACAUAAAAGUUGUACAAAGAAAGAGAGAGUAAAAUUUUUUAAUAAAGAUUUUGUGAUUAGUAAAAUCUAAAAACCAUAAUAGUUGUAAAACUUUUAUAUGUUUACCAAUCAAAGCGACUAGUUUCAGCUUACAACUUUUUUGUAAAUAUGUUAUCAAUCAGACCUAAUAUAAUUAUAGAAAAACAGUAGUUAUCAAUAACAACUAAAAUUUGAACGCUCAUAUAUAUUAACCUUUCUCUCUUCCUCAUAAUUUUUGUUUGUUUUGGAUAUUUAUAUAUCUAAUUUAUGGUAAUAGUAUUGUGAACAAACAAUGCUUUUUAAUCAUGGUUGAUUUCUCCAAAAUAGAGCAAAAAAGAUCACUAAAACCAUUGUAGAAAAACAAAAAAAAAAAGAUUGUAUUGUUGGAUAAUGAUUAUGAUUCGUUGAUGACAUAUAGGAUUAUUAUAAUUUGUUUAGUUGUAAAAUUAUAUUUUAAAUUUAAAAUGUCAGUCUAGAUUCAUGUAACUUAUAUGAAUUGUUCAUGUGCGACAUGUCCCAUCCCAUAUGCUGUUCCUCGCGGCCACACGUUGGGGGAAAUCUAACUCGAUUAUAAUUUCUCUUACUAUACUUUUAGAUUCCUAAAUUUCUAAUAAUGCCUUCUUAGAAAAUAAUACUCAAAAGUUAGGAGACAAUAAGAAAACGUAUAUUGUUGUAUACUAUAUAAUUUCCGGCAUAUUAUUGGAUAGUAAACUUUGGUGCAAUUCGUAUGAUUUGGGUUGCUUACUAAAUUUAACCCAAAAAAAAAAAGGAUCCAAGUAAAAAAAAAAUGACAAACAAAUAUGCAAUACACACAAUUGAACUAAGACUUAUUUUGAACUAAAUGUUGGAACUACAAUUUUGAUAUAUGGUUUCAUUCAAUAUUAUGGUGAUUUUCUUGAUGAAGUUUAUCACUUGAAUGAUCGAAUUUUGGGAUUUUUGGAUUUUUUGUCGUCAGUAGUAGCAUAAAAAUAUAUUUAUAUGUUAAAAUCAAAAUCGUAUUGAAUUAGAAGUUAAAAUUUAGUGUGAUUAGUUUAGCUUUUUAUAACUUAAUCUAAAAUACAUUUUUCCUAUCUUAGAAAAUUUAAUUUUUUUUCCUCUAAAAGGUUCUCUACCUUUUGAAAAACACACUAUGGUAACUAAUAUGCAAAACCACCCAAGCUCGCUGCCACUUCUGAACCAGUUCUUGGAUCUUGGUGAAUUUGACCCAAGAAAUUUUUUAAAUUUUCUUUCAUUGUAACAUAAGUUAUAUUUUUGUUCAUCUUAUGCCACAGAUUAAAUGUCUCAAAAUUAAGUUGCAUAGUAACAUCGAAUCAUGUUUUAUAACAUAUAAAAACUGAAGAUAAAUUAGAUGGUUUUGGAGAUCAGAUCUUCCGUCUUAUAUCACUUGCUCUCAAACUCCCAUAUCUUGCCGAUAGUAUGUCCAAUUGGUAACAUAUAUAAAAUUGUACAAAAAACUGUAAAUGAUCCAAUAAACUAUUACGAAAUAAUACAAAAUUGUAAGAAAAAAAUGUACGUAAAAACUUUCAAAUAAAAGUUUAGAAUAAAGAUUUGACAAGGUUUUCAAUAAUUUGUGAUUGGUAAGUUUUAAAAUUGUAUAUUUUGUAACGCUUCAUUAAGCUGUUACCAAUCAAUACAUGUAUUUUGUCCAAUAUUGCAUUAUAAAAGCAUCUUGUCACUCAUUUUUCAGUUUUAACAUUUUUUGAAACAAAAACCAAUCAAUUUCUCUUGCUCUCUUUUUCACAAAAAAAAAAAAAAAAUGUCUCAAAAAUGUAUUUCAAAAUUAUAGUUCGUUGGUUAAUUAUGUAAUUUAAUUUUACAAGGUUGUAGUUGUAUCGUUAAAGUCACGGUCUCUUCAAACAGCUAAGAGCAACAUUAUCCAUAAGAUGUUAAAAUUUUCUCUUAGGAUUAGUUUAUUAGUAUAUUUGAAAAAGUUAAAGGUAAGAGUUGUAUUUUGGUUUUUGGUUUUGAGAAGUGAUUAUUGGUAGUAUGUUAAUUUGGGGUUCUUAGGAAAAAAGAAAAUAUUUAAAAAUUAAAUUAAAAUUUGGAAUUUUUGAAAAUACAUAAUAUACAAAUUAAAAGAUAUAGUUAUUGAAAAUUUAAAAUUUCACAUAUAUAUAUAUAUAUGUAUAUAUAACAACUUCUUUUUCUUCUCUUUCUCUCGCUCAUAGUAAAGACUUGGAACUCAAGCCUCUCACAUUAUGACUAUUUUCACGAGAUAUCACACCCAUAGGAUUGUAUUAUGUGUUUUAUUGUCGCUCUUCUUUGUACAAUGUGUUUGUAUCUCCAUAUUAACCUUGCAGAAAAACACAGAACAAUGUGUUAGAAAAGACUGAAACAAUUAUCAACAACACAAACAAACACAGACACUAAUCUAAGCUGUAUGAAAUACACAGAAUUUAAACACACAAACCUCAAACAAUUCUUAAUCUCAUUCGCAUAGUUUGUAUAACAUAAACAAAUAGUCAAACCAAGUGUUAACAAAAUCAUUCGAUCCCAUAGAUCAUAUGAAAAGAGAACUGAACUAAUCUAAUAUCAAAAACAGAUAAUUAUAACACAUAAAUCUAAAAGAAUUUUUUACCUCAUUCGCAUAGUACUUAUAAAUGACACAAACCAGACACAAACAAUGUUUUACAAGCAUCUUGCAUCACCUAAAAUCACAGCAAAGUGUAAAUCGAAACACUCAUCAACACAAACCAUCGAAAUAAAACUAUCUACACAAAUAAUCAGAUUAAAUCGGUGCCAUUGGUGUAGACCCUUAACAAAUCAUGCCUAAGUAUAAAGAGANNNNNNNNNNNNNNNNNNNNNNNNNNNNNNNNNNNNNNNNNNNNNNNNNNNNNNNNNNNNNNNNNNNNNNNNNNNNNNNNNNNNNNNNNNNNNNNNNNNNCAUUCAAACAACAUUUCGAACAUCCAGAGAGAGAGAUUCAUACCAUAACUUACCGAUUUGAGAAGGAUUGGAACAAAUCGGAGCCAACAAUUUCCGGUACUCCUCGCCGUCUUUUUCUCACACCACUUGUUGAUUUCAGCAUCUCCUCCUCCCGUGGAACUCCCGCAACGCUGGAGGUCGUGAUAUCUCUCAGAUUGGUCGGCCGGACGACAUCUACGGCGGAAGAUCGGAGAUGAGCCGAAUCGCCAUCUUCAUCGCCAAAAGGAAAAAAAACUUUGUUUUCACGAGAGUGAAAUGAGGAGAAGACAGAACGCGAGAAGAGUUUUUUUUUUCCUUUCUUUUUCUUCUUCCACCAAUAAAAAGCUGCCACAUGUCCGUCUCUUAUCACAGUUUACGUAUCUUAAACAAGCAACGUAUGUUAUGAUAAAUGAUGAUUAAACAUUUAAUUUUAAUCAUAAAAAACUUAAAAAUCACCUAAGAUACCACCGUUAAUCCUGCUCUAACACUGUAAAAAUUCGUUUGAAUUAACGAAGUAUAUAAAAUCUCGCAUUGCGUGUUUUCUUCCUAUAAAACAAUUGUUUCUUUAUUUUUUUCUAAAGUUUUACAUGUUGUUUUCUUAUCUGGAUCUAAAAAAUUAUUUGAACACGGAUUGUUACUUAUUUAUAAGUUUUAAAAUGAUUCAAAUAAUAAAAAUAAUAACUAAAUGAAUAUAUUGAUUAAACAAUUAAAGUGCUGGAAUAUUUUUUUGAUAACAGGACAAAUUAAGAAGAAUCUAUUUUGAAUACAAAGCUGAAGAAUCUAUGUAUAAUAUUUUUUGUUAAAGGAUUUAAGAAUCUAUAUUUGUUUAAUUAAUUUUAAUAUCACGAUAAUCGCUUUGAAAGCAAACGUCAUAUGCUUUUAUUAAAUUAUGUAUUACAAAAAAAACUUUGUGAAAAAGUUCCAUCUUGGAAGUAUUUUUGCCUUGAUCAACGAAGAUAAUGUAUUUAGCUUUUGUUUUUCUUUUCUUUUCUUUCUAAAAUGGUAUAAGAUAUACCAAAAUAGUAAAAAGUUAAGUACAUAAACGAUCUAAACCAUGACAACAAUAUAUACAAAAAUAACUAAGAUAUAUACUGACAUAUGUAGUACAUUAAUUAUAACGGUUAUUGUUAUAGAUCAAUAUUUAAAUCUAACUUUACGUAAUGCAUGCUGCUAACACACCAAAAAAAAAAAAUCAAUUUAAAUUUGAUAAGUUUUUGUGUUAUCAGUACGUAUUUAAUUAAUGAAUGUUUUUUUAUUUUGGAAACGACAUUAUAUUCAUUUUAUGUUUCAUACAAUAGAAAAUAAUACAGUAAUCGUCCAUAUAAAUGUAUAUAUAAGAAUCUUUAAUUAUAAAAAAUGACGGAAUCUUUAGCCUUUAAAUAAGUUCAUAAAAUAUAAUAGAGAAAAACAUAAUGUAUAUAAACAGAAACUGACGUAAAUAUACGUAGAUAGAUUAAAGAAAUACAUGACCAGGGCUAAUGCAUCUCAUGUAUACUCUGGCAACAAGAAUAUUUUCAAUACUAAAAUUUUGAAUUGUUAAUAAGUUAUUUAACAUAUUUCUCUAAACUCUUUACUUUCUUAAACAUGUCAGCAAUGACAACUUGUUAUGGAGCAAUUUCCGAGUAAUCAUAAAAUAUAUCACUGAUUUCUAAUCAUCCUUUUUUGUUUUUCAAUACAGUAAGAAUGUUUAUGUAUGGAUUUAAACUUCCUGUAAUGCAAUUGAGCAUGCAAGAUUGAAUACACCACGUGGCGACUUACCAGGCUUUUUUGUCUUGCACUCUUUGACCAAGCUCUAGUGUUAAUUUGCUUUGUUACUAUUGUUUGAUGACCCAAUUCUCAUUACAACUUUUGUAUUUAAUUAGAAUCCGUUUUGUGGUUGAUGCAAGUGAGACCAUAGAUUUUUGAAUGGUACAUGAAACUAAUCACCCAAGAUUCCAAGCAAUUGAUAAAUAUAUACUCCCAAUAUACUAUAUUUCAAACAAGUAAUCCAAUUGGAAAAUGAAAAUACAUUUCCGUGCACUUCACUCAAUGACCCAUGAACACUUCGACAAUUGGGGUUGUCAUGAAGUUUAGGCCCUAUAACUAAAAUGUCUUCAUUCUCUGAUUCACAGGAAAAAAAAAAUUACAACAAUAUGAUAUAAACUAUGAAACAAAAAUGGCGAGAAAAAAGAACUAUGUUAUUUCAAUAAACCACAUAUUAUUUAUGAGAUAUAUAUGAGGUUACAUUAUUUUUGACAGAAGAAUUAAAAUCAAAGUAGAUAUGAAUCAUUUAUGUAUUGAUUCAGUUUUACAUCGAAUUGUUUAGCUUUCGGAGUAAACCGAAGCAAGAAACUUUUUGAGUCGCCUGUUAUAGACACAAGGUCUCUCCAAAUGUGCCAAGUGACCUGCUUUUUUUAUGCUCUCCAUUGUUGCAUUUUCUCCUAAUUGCCUUUCAUUUUAAACAUGAUUUAAGUGAGAUAAAAUUAUAUCUAAUAUUUUUGUAAAACAAAUACUGUAUCAAAACUUACUCUUUCAUUUUCUUGGCAAAUCCAAUGUUAAAAAUUUGAUCGCUUUCACCCCAUAGAAGAUGUAUUUUCUGUCAAACAAUAUUUUCAAAAAUUAAUCGAAUCGUUAAGUAGUAAAUUGAAAUGCAUUUUCGAUUUAAUCGGAUAAGUGUUUUAUGAUCUGGAAGAGUUUUGUCGAUAUAAAUUAUAUAAGUUAAGUUAUAUAAGUUAUGAGAUUUCAGAAGUUACUCAAAAAUGGUGUUAAUUUAUUCUCGAGUUUCAAAUUUUAAAAUAAUAUUUUUACGACAAAACUCUUCCAGAUCAUAGAACAUUUGUCCGAUUAUUUCUUGUUUGUCACUAGAAAAAUCCAGUAUUUAUAAAGUUGCUUUCAUAUGUUUUCUUGUGAAUGACUUUUUUUUUAAUUAUCUAUAUGAUAAGUAUAUAAUUAUUAACCUGUUGAAAUCGAGGGAUAGUCGUAUCUUUGUUGCUGAUGACCAAAGCUUCUAACAAUUCGGCUCUUUCCUUCCUAUUGGUAAUCAUCACCUUCAUAAUUUCCAAAAAAAACUAUAUUAGCAUAUGGAAACUAUAUACUUUCUUAUCAAGAAAUAUGAAUAAUUAACAAUCCCAAUUAAUUCUAGACUAAGGAUUAGGGGUUCAUAAAUAUAAGUUUUUGCACAAAUAAAAAGACGGUCUUGCUAAGCUCUAAAACUAAAUGAAAAGCCAAACAUAUCCAUAUUUUUUUCUUUUUUUUUCUUUUACUACCAACAUAUAUGUCAAAAACUCACUUGUCUUCUCCUUGUCAUGAGAUUUUUAUAUUCUAGGUAAGUUAAGAAAUUAAACAAAGCGAGCACCACAAAGCUAGCUACUAGUAUUUAUACUAUAGUCAUUUUACAUGUCUGUUAUUUAUAUUAAAAAAUGAUGCUAUUUAUCGAGCUCCGGGAUCAAAUUUGACUUCCGGAUGCUACAUAAUAAAUUGCAAAGUUUGAGUAGCUAGGUACCUCAAUGAAAUCCUUAAAGAGCCGGUUCGGGAACCACAUGGGUCUAUGAACAGCAAGGCUGAAGAGAGUCUUGAGUCCUUUCACCGAAGUUGGUAACAAAAGAUCUGUCGACGACUUGAAACCUAACUGGUUCAAGUUAGACUCACUGAUCGUAUCAGUCAUCGCAAGUAUCGAACCUGAUAAUGAAAAAAAAAGAUCUUAUAAUUGUCUACGUAGAUUUAAGAAUGAUAUUACAAUGCAUAUGGUAAAUACCUGAGACCACCAUGGCCCGGACCAUCUCAGGGUACUCCUCGGCGAUCUUGAAAGCCACCAUGCCACCAUAACUAAACCCUACAAGGAAAAACUUAUCCACGCCGAGGAUACGAAGAGACUUGACUAAACAGUGAGCUUGAAACGCUGGUGACCUGUCCGGGUUGUCGGAGUAAGACCCACCAAAGAAGAGGAGGUCAGGUAUAUAGACUGAGUACUUCUUGGCUAAUGAUCUAACCUGGAACUGCCACGUAACGAUCCCUUCUGCUGCAAAGCCAUGGAUGAGCAAGACGACUGGUUUGGUAGGUUUUUUGGGUUCCACGGCAGAGUUUUUGUCAGAUUUUUUUGGUUUUUUUAGGGUUUCUUUGGGGAUCCAGAAGUUCAUCUUCGUCCCUGGUUCAGUCUCUACGGUGUAGGGAAUGACGCCAGCCAAUUUUAUGAGACUGUACAACAAAGGUUUUUGCGACUCCACAAUGUUCACCAUUGUGUUUACUCUAUCUUUUGUUUUUGGUUCUUGUUUGGAUAUGUUUUAAAGAUAGAACAGCAUAUGGAGGGUGGUGAUGAGCUUAAUUUUAAAGCUUUUUUGAGUUGGAAUUAAUUAUAAUGUAUCUGGUGUUGGGUUCUUGUUGCUACACAUUUUUAUAUAUUUUAUCUUGUUUGACGUUUUGAGUGAUAACUUACCAAAUAGCAUGUAGCUACGUACGUACUACUUAAAACAUUUUGAUAACAAUAAAAAUAUAAUGUUUUUCUUUAGUCUUUCAGGUAAAUCUAUUCGUUUUAAUAAUAUACUGUCACUCUAUUACACCUAUAUGCAUUUUUUCUUUUUGAACAUUUCAUCUUUCCUUAAUGUUACCAACCAAAACUGAUAGAAAAAUGGAGAUGAUAGAGAGUUCUUGAUUACUUGCCUUGCAUGUAAUCUCUGGACUAUGAAUCUAGUCAGAGUUAUAAAUAUGCACUUCCUAUUAGUGUCGAUAUGUUGUAAGACAAUUCUUGUUAUUUUUUUUGGAGAUAUUUACUAGAUUGUCAAAUUUCGCAAAACAAAUGUAGUGGUAGAUAUAUUUUUCGCAAGUAGUAAACUAAAAUAAAAUAAGAAUUUGAUACUUGUUUAUUUUUUUUUUUGGUAAGAAAAAUCUGAUACUUGUUAAGUAAACUCAUAAUUAUUUUUGUAUUAUAAAUAUACAUAGUGUUAUUAGUGAACUUACUUAUUUACUGUAUUUGUCAUAUGUUUUUAAAUAGGUCGAAUUUAAACUUAAUUUACAUUUUUAUAUAACUUGAAAUCAAUAGUAUUCAAUUAUUAUAAUUAUUGAAGUUUACAAUUCAUCAAUAAUAAUUAAUAAAUAUUGCAUAUAAUUAAAACCUAGAAAUUUUCUUUUUUUGAAACAGAAAAGUUUCUAGAAAAUAGAGUAAUAAAAAACAGAGAGUAUUAUAUUACUAUUUUGUAGAAAAUAUUUAACCAUUAUUAAUUUUUAAUAUAGAAUAAAAUCUGAUCAUCUACAUUCUACAAGAUUUAUCUUUGUUCAUGAUGUUAUGGACUAAUUAAAUCGGUCCUUUUCAUACUGAUCUAAAGAAAGCCCACACGUCCAUACCUCCUACGAUUUAUAUUUUGUUUGAAAAUAUUUUAUAUUGAUUAGUUGAGCUACGCAAUUAGAUACGAUUACGCACAAUUUACUAUACUCCAUAAAUUUGAUUAUACACUUUUAGUAAAAACGUCAUUUUUGAGUGUUGUUGACGUAGUCACGAUUUGUACCUAACGAUUAUAAGUUUAAUAUACACACAAACCCAAAAUGACAAGAUAUCUCUAUAACCUAACUACAUAGACCAAAUAAUAUAUAUUUAAAACAAUGUCAUACCAAAAUGUUGAAUUUUUACAUUUACAUUAAAAGUUACUUUCACUCCAUCACAAACCAAACCAACAUCUAAUAUUUCUCUAAAUUAUAAUAAUAAAAUUUCCUAAAUUCUCCACAUAUAUAAAUUGCAUGCACACGUCUUCACUCUACAUAUAUAGCAAAAAUACACCUUACAGAUUUUUAUUUAACUAUUCUCAAUAUCUACAAUGAUGAACAUAAUGAAAAGUGUAGCGAUCAUUUGCGUUCUUGGGAUAUUCUUUAUGCCUCGUUAUUCUGAAUCCGCAAUAUCUUGUAGUGUUGUGCUACAGGAUUUGCAGCCAUGUGUUAGCUACUUGACCAGCGGAAGUGGAAAGCCUCCCCAAACUUGCUGCGACGGAGUUCAGAAUCUAGCGGCGGCGACCACCGCAUCUGCCGAUAAGAAGGCGGCUUGCCAAUGCAUCAAGUCAGUGGCUAGUAGUGUGACCGUGAAGCCUGAAUUGGCUCAAGCCCUUGCUAGCAACUGUGGUGCGAGCUUGCCCGUUGAUGCAUCUUCUACUGUCGACUGCACUACGUACGUUUUUAAUGAUAUGAUCUCGAGUCUUGACUGAUUUUUGAAGUUGUCUAGUAUCUUGGUCUUAUUAUAGUUCUAACUAAGAAAUUUUCAAGUUUAUAAUACUAAACUUUAGAAAGCACUUAAGCUGAACAUAAUAUAACCAAUAUAAUCAUAUUUUACAACUUUUAAGUUUUACUUAUGGCUAAUUUCAAAUUGUAAAUAUUUGAAAUUUCAUAUCGAAUAUAUAACUUUGUUUAAUAAUAAUUUAAUACGUUUUCUAUAUUAAUUGACUGUAAACUUUGUUUAAAACAAAAUAUUUUUACUCAAUUUUGGAACAAUUUGCAUCUCCUAUGCACUUAUAAUAAUUAAAGAUUUUUGAGUUUUGUUUGAUUUAAGUUCUAAACUAUACGAGAUGAAAUAAAUAACCAUUUGUUGAAUUUCUUUUUAUUUUUGCAGGGUUGGUUGAGUUAUUCUCAACAUCCAACAAUAUAAUGGUACUUCUUAUAUUAAUUAAGUACGCGGUUUAUUUCAAUAAAGACGCCUUAUCAUAUAUUUAGGCGAGUGUUUAUGCCGACACAUGCCAUAUCGUUACGUAUGACGAUGUACAUGUUAAUGUGUACUAGUUCUUUUAGUGCAUUUGUGCAUGCAAUGUAAUCAUUUACUCCGGUGGUUUGGAUAUAUAUUGUGAACUGAUGAGUCAUAAAACAAAACCCCAGCUUUUCUUGUUGUCAUAUAUUUUUAUCAGAGCUCGAUCUAUGUUUAGUAUAUUUCCUUAUUGGAUCACAAACUAAAUAUCAUAAAGUAUCAGUAUGAGAAGAUUUUAUCAAAUCAAAAUAAAAAAUUGAUCAUGUCAUUAAAGAAAAUAUGGGAAGGUGAAUUUUUGCUGUAGUUUAUUACAAUGUACGCACUUUUUUAUUCUUUUCAGUCGUUCUACGUAAACUUCCUUAAGAAAUGAAAGAAUUCAAAAAACAAAGUAUUGUGGAAAUUAUUUAGAAGAGGUAUGUAUGUCAAUUCACAUACCUUUACGCUAUCCUGUAGAAGAGAAUGCUAAAAAAAAAUCGAAUUUCCUUCUUUUUUUUUUUUUUUGCUAAGAAGGUAGAUAUUGUUAGUUGUUUGGUAGAUAUUUCACUGAAUAUAAAAAUAAUUUAGGUUUACAAUCAAUUUAUAACUUAUAAACAUGGUUUUAUGACAAAAUAAAAAUAAAAAUAUAGAAACAUAAUUUUUGAUUUGAUUUCGGUCUAACCAUUCAACCAAAGCAUUGAAGCUUAAGAAGUUAGAAAAAGCGAUGACGAUUUUGAUUGUUUUCCCUGAAUUUGUUUCGGGAGAUGAAGAGUGUUGCAAGAAAAAGAAAUCUGAAUACAAAAGUCUAUUAUCACUAAAAGCCUUUCAAAUGAACGUUCCUCUUACGUCUGUGAGAGAUUCCGAACAUCAAAUCCAUGAGCUUUCCCAUAACGAAAUCUCACUGACCAAAUUUUGCGAACGAUGCAAGAUUCCUUUACCAAAUUUCUUGAAGUUGGCUAGCUCAAAGCCGACUCAACAUAUAUAAAAUGAGCAUUUCAUAUCCUAUCAAUUAUCCCAUAAACUCAACAUAUAUAAAAUGUAACUUUAUUUUGGGGGUGAAUAAAACCUCCAUAAGUCAAUUAUUCUCCCAAAAAUACAUGUGAUUCGUUUUGCUUUGCUCUUCAAGUUUUAACGUUUAUAACAGUUAACUCUUAAACACCUCUCUAGAUAUCUUUGGUUGGUUAAUUUCGGAAUGAUCAUCUCUAGCUGCUGUAUUAUAUUGUAGUUUUGCAACCUGGAUUUUUAUGAUCACUUCUUUUUCCAUUACUUCUUGUGCGAGUAAAAACCAUACAAUCAAACUGGAAAACAAAAAGAGUUCAAGAAAAUUUGAUUUAGACGCAAAAGUUGAUCUAUUACAAGAGAUUUCUUUGAUUAGCUUGAGAAACUCGUUAAUAUUCUUAGCAAUAAUCUAGCUUUAGUAUUCUUUGGAGUAAAAUUGUGAUGAUUUGUAUCGUUUUCUUGUCUAGCUCUCUAUUUAUAUGGAGGAGUCGUUGGUUUCGGAGAAAUGUUCUACUACUUCUUUAUUAGGUAAAGUUCUUGUACCUAAUAAAGAACUUGACCUAACUUCGAGGACGAGUGUUGGGCUUUCUCACUUGCUUACUAAUAAAUAGAUUUGGGCUUCACCAGGCUAAUGUCCACUUACAUUUCUUUGCCUCCCUUUUAAAUGAUCUCAAAUGCUUUCUUUAUUUGUCUAGGAACCAAGAAAAGCUUUGCUAAAUUCACAUUUUUUUUAUGAAGCAAAAUGCGAGGAUGGUACUGUAUAUAUUUGCUACAAAAAGAAGCAAAAACCAGAUCACUUAACAAUGCAUCGAACAACGUUAAAGGCUUAAAAGACGACACCAAAAUAAAGUUGAAAUAUAUGUAUCAUAUAUAGUAACUAGUAAGUGGGAACAUCAUGAAAAGGGUUACUACAGUACGUAUUUGUAUAUGAUAACACCAUAUAUAUAUAUAUAGCUUUCAAAAAAGUCGUGAAAAAGAAAACACAAGUAGCUAAAAGAGUCGAAAUAAAAAGAAUUAAAAAAAAAAAAAACUAAAAUAAUAAUGAAUUUGACCAAGACUGAAUUUUACUUUGUGUGAUACAAUCUAUGAUAAGUAACGUUUCUUUCUUCUUCAUCUCGUCAAAAUGGUGGAGAAGGCCAUCGCUUACUUGACACGUACGUCAAUUCCAAGACAUAAACGAAGCAGCCGUAGCAUCAUCCACGUAGGGAUAUUCCAUUUCUGGUGCCUGUGAGAAAUAAGGAACUCUUUGUGUGUUCUGAUGAGCCCACGACGGCGACGACGUAGCAUAGUGAUGAUGAUGAUGACCGUAAUAGUUUCCACCUCCGUUGUAUGGAUUCUCUACCGGAAGUUCUGCCGCCGAUGAACCUCCACCGGAGAUCGUUAAGUUUCUGGCCGUCGCACGCCUCUCCUCUUUCUUGAAUCGGAUUCCACAAGCGUUACAUAACGACUGUGCACCAAGUUAACAUUGUAUAUGUUACAUUACAUCAAACAUAUCUAUGAAAUGUAUAUAUUAUAGUAAUGCUAGAUAAAAACAAACGAAGGAUAGAGAGAUUGUAUAAUAAAUAUUUUAAAGAAGAAAUCACUUAUUUUGUUUUCAUUUUGGAUAAAGUAUUUAUGGAAGAACAAUAUGAAAAAAAAACAACCAAGAAAGUAUAUGAUGUGACAAAAUUUGAUUAGAAAAAAUAUAGGUACUUUAUUUCCUAGAGUAGUUCCGUAUGAUUUAACAACAUGAGGUUUGAAUUUGCCAAAAUGACACUUUUAUUACUUUCAUUACAAUCUAGAAACUUUUUUCAACAAUUCAUCAACACUUUUUAAAUUUUCAUUAUACGUUUAAUAUCGAUGGUCAUCUCGGACAUUGACACUUCCAACAUUAUUUAAUGAUCAUAUUCAUAUACAAAUAAAUGACGAAAAUAUUAAUAAAUUACCUUAGGGCCUUUUGGUCCGUUUCUCCAUAGAGGAGUUGAAGUGGUGUCGCAGCUAGCACAACGGCGAGGUAAGCUAUGAUCACCACCACCACUCUUCUUGUACGAUGUAGUCUUAGCAUUUCCUCCGUGAAAGUAGAAGUCUCCGGAGAUGUUGUUAGAACCAGCAUUAGAGAAUCUACGGUGGUCGUCGAGACGAGUAGAGGGUGUUCCAAGUGAGAGAGUGCAAUCAACAGAAGUUGAUGAAGAGAGAUCAUUGUAAUGAUCGUAACUGUAUUGGUUUUGGUCGUCAUUUUCAGAGGAAAAAAACAUAGAGAAGUUAGGGUUUGUUUGGUAUCCCAUCAUGAAAAUGUAGACUAGAUCAAAUAGGGAGAGAGAGAUAUGUGUGUUGUGUUUUGGUGGCUUUGUGAUCUGAGUUACAAGUUACAAAUCAAGACAUAUUUGUUAACAUAUAUAUAGAGACAGUUUAAGUAAAGACAAAAGCGAACUUGGUCUGUGGUAACUAUAUAUGUGAUCGAAUCUAUUAAUGUAGUGCAGAUUACAUUAUUUUCUUUACUUUAUCUAAAGAAAGCAACAAUUCUACAAUGAAUAUUCUUCAGGGCUUUAUAUAUAAAUCAUUGAAAUAUUUAUUUUUAUCUGAGUUUCUUGGUUUGGAAGACAAAGUAUUCUAGAUUCUAUUUCGAACGCCGAUUUUAUGUUACAGUAAACAAUAAGACUUCGUUGGCGUAUUAUGUUUUGUUAUUCUAUUUCAGUUGUUACAUUCAAACUUAAAGUUAUAUAUAGUUUUUUUUCUAAUUCUCACCUUAAAAACACAUUUAGUAUUAUUUUUUGUGUCUCGGAGUAGUUUCUUUUCAUGUUUGUUUCAAAUAAAAGUGAAUAAAAGCACACUAUAUAUUAAAGGUAGUUUUAUUCUUAAGAAAAAUACAGUAGAUUUUGGCAUUCAUUAUAUAUGGUUUUUGAUGAAGUUAAAAGACUUUUUUAGAAAAUAUUAUUUUAUGCAAGUAAUGAUAAGUGUUGUGUAUCUGCAGUUUUAGUGUCGGAAGGGGUUGGUCAAAAGAGGCCCACGUGAGUGACAAUGUCACGGUCUUCUAAGGAUCUUGUCUCUUGGCUCUGCCAUUACCAAAACCAGAUUUCACUCAUUUGCCUCUUUUAAACAUCCUCCGACUCUAAUUGUUGAAUUGAACAUUCACACCAUGAAUUUGAUGAGUAGGGGAAACAAAUUCUCUUUAGGAAUUUCUCUUUAAGCUUGAUCAAACGAUGAAAAGACAGAAAAUUUUAUGUUUUUUGAAGAGGAAGCUAGGUUUUUGCUCAAAAAUAACUAGAGAACUCGGGUUCUUGUAUUCUUAAUUCGAUGAUAUCUAGAUUACAAGAUACGUUAAAUUUCCUUAAAUCUAGGAGUAAAUCUUCCUUUUUAUGUUAGAAAUGUUGACAAUUUUAGGUCUGCCGGCGAUCUAAGUGGGCAUUUGCCUAUGGGCCCGUAAAAAAAGUCUUGAUCGAAAUUUCCCAAUUUAAAUUGUCUAGUUUAUCUAUAGUUUAGGACGGUAUGUUGUGGUGUUAAUCCCUGCACCAACACUAAUAUAUAGAUGCACAGUUAGUCGACUACAAGUUAUCGUAAGAGUUUUACACAAUAGAGUAUGUACAAUACAAUAUCUAUCGAUCACCAUAACAAAAACAUAUCGAAUUACAACCAAAGUUAUAUAAUAAGGAAAAGUAAUCCGCAACUACAUAUACAUAUGAUACUAGUUAUAUAAUUCAAUAUAAUGAAAGUAAUAUACAUGCUCAUAGUAGUAGUUUCAAAAUAAUUGUGAAACUAGUACUAUAUAUACAUGUACUAUAUAUUAGAUAGAUAUCAAACGUAUCGAAAUCCUUAGUUUUUAGCCGAUUUCAAAUAAGAAAACUAAAAACAGUACACCUAAAAAACUAUCGAAGCAUCUUAAACAUGAAAUUUCAGAGAUUAAAAAUAGUUCAGAUUUUAUUAUAUGUAUUUUAAACAUGAAAUUUCAGAUGUAGUACUGUUUAAGCUAAGAACGAAAAUUUAAAAAAGGGAGUAAAGGUAAAGGGAAUUCCGAAGUGAGAUUCUUGGCAAUGAUCAAAAGCAACAUAUUGUGUUCUUUCUUUGGCUUGGGGAACGAGAGAUUCAAUUGAUCAGUCAAAGAAGCAAACUCCCAAACUCAAAAAUAUAUUUUUAAAGCAAAAUCAUAGAAAAAAAAAAGUACAAAAGCGAAUAAACUCAACUGGAUUUAUUAUUACACCCAAAACACUCAAUUGCUAACUUCUUUUUCUUUUUCCCUUCUUCUUUAUUGUUUUUGGUUUUCCCAAUUUUGGGUUAUAUACUUAGUUCGUUCCUCUCCUAAAGUAGAUGAUGUUUUGCCAAGACAAGAAUAUAAUAGUAAAUAUCUCUAAGCCUAUCAAAUCUUAACUCUAAAGCAAAAGUUAUAUACAUAGCUUAACGUAAGAUCAUCUCUUAAAUAAAAUUUUCUAAUGAUUUUAUGUAUUUUUGGUUGAAGGACAAACUACUAAGCAUACUCCUUCAAGUUGGAGUUCAAAACUUGAGUUCUGCCACUAGCCAUGAUAAACAAAAAAAAUUUUAACUGAAAACUAAGCUAAUAAAGAUAAUUUAAUAUUGCUAUUCAGUUUUUGCAAAUAUAUAACCCGGAAUAUGAACUGAAACUAUAUACUUUAGUCUAGAAAUAAAAUGAUCAAAUGAAGAAGAAGAUUCAAAGAAUAUUAAAGAUUCAAGAGUUCUAAAGAGAGAAAGAGUCAGGCUUUAAGCCAACACAAAGAAUCAAAUCGGAGUAGCGAUUGGUGUGAGCUCUUUGUUUAACUAAGAAGACUGCCGCUUUUAAUUUACAACACAUGCACUUUGUUUCAUUGAACAAGAAACCUAAACUACGACUAACCCAAAGACACAUUAAUAAGUGUUCGGCUUUGAGGUCUUUUGUCAUAGCCACUUAUUAUAUAUGUUUCUUUCACGAGACACUAGCUAAUAGCUAUGUCUAUGUGUUCGGCUUUGGCAUUGCCAUUUAAAUUACAUUAUUUAUUUAAAUUUGCUUAAUUCACUAGAGAAUUGUUUUUGUCUCGAAAAAAUAAAUAUUAUUGUAAUCACAAUUUGUGCUACGUUUUGAUACGUAGAUCGAUAUCAAAGAUGUAGAUGCAUGCAUGUCAUAAGAUACUACAUAGGUGAUCUAAUUACCGAUUUAGGGUUUCGUUUUGUGUGUGUGUUAAAUCUAAUUACCGAUUCAUGAUACUUAAUUAACUACGCUAAUAACAUGCACUUUUUAUCAUUUUUCCGAUCCGUACUGUAUGAUACGGUCCGUCUCCAACACUCAAACAUAGAGAGGAAGAGAGAAUAAAACAAAGAGAAUGACAGCAAAACAACAAAAACAACAACCAAACAAAAAAAAGAAAAAGAGACAAAACAUUCCCUCAAAAGGAUCAAGAUCCGAUUGGUGUUUUCUUUCUCUUUUUUUUUUUUUGGUUUCUUAAUAACGUUUUCAUUCUCCAGUUUGACCAUUUGACUAAUAUUUCUAGAUGACGUAUGGUCCACUUAUCCUUCUCAUGUAUAUUAUUGUUCUAGUUUAGUACUUCUCGUUUUUGACACCUUAAGGUUAUAGAUCAUGUGAUCACAAGUGGGAUCGAAUUAACCUCUAGUUAAUAUGCAAAUUAAAAGGUGAUUUAGCCUUAAUUAGUAAUGGAUAUAGUAUAUUACUAUGAAUGUUUAGUUUAAUAGUUUGCUUCACGUAUAUAUAACAAAUCUUCUUUGUAACCAAGUGAUCCGAUCAUUCCCCUUAAUUAGUAAAAUCCAAAAUCAGUUCAUAAGACUGAUAAAAUUUGUCCCUUAGGUUUAUGGAUAGCUUGAGAAGGGGCUACUUCCAUCAUCUUCUAGUAUCUGAUCUUAAAAGAAUUUACGGAUUUCGACUACGCAUUACUGCAUAAGUGUGUAGUGUUGUUAAUCGUUUGCUCGAUGUAUAAUUUUUUUUUUUUUUUUUUUUUGGGUGAGAUUCAAGAUCAAAUAUCAAAUUUUACCACUCAAAAUCACUGUGAUUUUUGUUUUUUUUGAACUAUUGUAAAUGCCUUAAAUAAAAGAAAUUUUAAGACUUUUUAUAACCCCAAUUAUUAAAGAGAAACACCUAUAAUAUGGCCAGACAUAUGGCAAUUGACGUAGCCACUAAUCCAUGAGAAUAAGGCCUAUUACUUAUCGCACCAUCAUUUGGGCCAAUCUGUUAUACUAUUAAAAGCCCAUCUUGUUUGGGUCCACCAUCACCGUCGAUUGUCUUCUCCGUUCGAAAUCACAUCCUCUCUAAAGCCAUCUCCGCCGUCGUCGGAGACGAAAACCACCGUGUGGAUAUCUGAAAUCUGUAGACAACCAUUGAUCUCGUUUUGAUUUUCAAUUCUCGUUUAGAAGCUCUGUUGUGUGAAAAAUGGGACUGUUAAGCAUAAUCCGGAAGAUCAAGAAGAAAGAGAAGGAGAUGCGAAUUCUUAUGGUGUAUGUCUCAGAUUCCAAAACUCGUUACAUAUUCUCCGAUCUAAUCAUACAUUAUUGAUAUAGUGCUGAUUUUGGGUAUUUCGUUGUUGUAGUGGACUUGAUAAUUCUGGGAAGACGACGAUUGUACUGAAAAUAAACGGAGAAGACACAAGUGUGAUCAGCCCAACUCUUGGAUUCAACAUCAAAACCAUUGUUUACCAAAAGUAAAGCUCUUUUUCUCUCUCUGCUCUUGUAGUUUCGUGAUUCUUCUUCAGAAUUGGUUCAGGAAUAUGAUCGAACAGGUUACAGGCAAUGUUAAUGUUUGUGAAUAAUGGUGUGUAUGUGUGUGUAGGUAUACUCUUAAUAUAUGGGAUGUUGGUGGGCAAAAGACAAUAAGAUCGUAUUGGAGGAAUUACUUUGAGCAGACUGAUGGGUUGGUUUGGGUUGUUGAUAGUUCUGAUCUUAGGAGGUUAGAUGAUUGUAAGAUGGAACUUGACAAUCUCUUGAAGGAAGAGGUAUGUGUACUCAAUUAACAAGCUUUGUAAUUUGAAGAUUGUGUUGCUGUUUGUGAUGAAGAAGAUGAUCCAUGUUCAAAUGUUGGUUUUAAAUGGCAGAGGCUUGCUGGGUCAUCUUUGCUGAUACUAGCAAAUAAACAGGAUAUUCAAGGUGCACUUACUCCUGAUGAGAUUGGCAAAGUAAGGGUUUUUGAAGCUUUUACGACUAUAUAUAGAAACGAGUUUUGGAUGUUGGGUUUAUUGGGUUGAAUCUUUUGGCCUCUCUGUCUUGGAAGGGGUUCUUUCUCAACUUUACUGAAGAUUAGUGGGUUAAAUGGGUUCUUUCUCAACUUCAGUGAAGAUUAGUGGGUUAAGUAAGAUUUGUUCUGAGUUGUAUUGUGUGCUAAAAUUGAGUUUCAUCUUUCUUGCUUUUAAAGGUGCUAAACUUGGAGUCCAUGGAUAAAAGCCGGCACUGGAAAAUUGUGGGUUGCAGCGCAUAUACGGGUGAAGGGUUGUUGGAGGGAUUCGAUUGGUUGGUUCAAGACAUUGCCUCCAGGAUUUAUAUGCUUGACUAAUGGGCAACUGCAUUUCACAAUGGCUUGUUAUACUCGACUCUAUGCAGCGUAAAGAUGCUGAUUGAGUUACUUUGUAUUGGUUAUAAGCUUUGCUUUAAGUUCUAUUGUAACAAUGAUUAGACAAACGUAAAUCUUAAGUUGCAAAGACGAACUCUUCUCAUUUUGUUUCAUUGAAAGAGACUUAACAACAAAAUGAUGUUUCAUACAUCCAAAAUAAAACUUAUUGAUGAGCAAUUCCAACCACAUAAUCUACCACAAAAAGAUGCAAAUUGUAUCUGCAAAGGAACAAGCACACAAAUAAUAGAGAGAUCAUUUCGACUUCUUUCCUUGUUUCUUCUUGACAACUUCGUCAAUGUACAUUAUGCCUUUGCCCUUAUAAGGUUCAGGGGGUUUGCAACUCCUUACUGUUGCAGCAAACUGAUGCACUCUUUGCUUGUCGAUUCCGGUGCAGCAAACCACAUUGUUCUUGAAACAGAAGACCCGAACUGCUGGAGGAACUGCAAGUUCGACUUCGUGACUGUAACCCAAUUUGAGGUAUAAGAAACGUCCUGCUUCCUCAGCUCUGGCUUUGUAUCCAACUCCAACAAUCUUCAAGAACCGAAAAAACUUGGCUUCCAUUUCUCUUCUACCUACAGAGAACUAUCCUGCCAAGUACAAUUUUUUUGUAAUUUGUCCGAAUCAAGUUAAAAAACCAAAAGGGUAUCACCAUUACUUACGAUGAAAAGCCUUUCAGAAUACAAAAAGGGUGCAUCAAGGUAGUAAAUUUAGUUUCUACACUACUCAAAAUGUGUAAUUGACCAUGAAUACAAAAAGGGUGCAUCAAGGAACAGUAGUGAAAUUGACCAUGAUUCGAAAAAUGUGUUUUUUUUUUACCAUUCGUUUCAUUGUAAACCAUCCCGGAGACGUGGAAAGAACAUAUGAGCUUAACAGGAAAUACGUCGAACAGUUUAUGUGCAAUAUUACGAGAGCUAUAUAAACAUACAAAUAAAAAUCCAAAUUUACCUCAUUUCCAUGAAUAAAGUGACUGCUGUACUAAGAAAAUCGCAGAAAUGAUGAAUAAACACAAAAAAAAAAAAAGUUCGAUUCCAUUUGUAAAUUAUCACCAGGAUAGCGAAAAGGGAAGAAAGAACACGAUAGUGAGUGAGAGAUCGACAUAAAUGAACAGUUAUUACCUUUCUUGAUUUCCGACGACGAAUGUGACGGUUCUGCUUUUUCGCCGGCCGAUCCAGAUCAGUCUCCCAGUUCCGGCCUAAAACCUUUCUCCUUCUUCUUUAAUUUCGUUUCUUUGAGUAACAUACAAAAUGGUUGACGUUUUUAGCCGUGUUAAAAAACGACACGCUGUUUUCGUUUCCUCCUCGAGUGUUGUUUUGAACAAAGCCUAUUGGACUACAUAACAAAGCCCAUUGGACUAAAUAACAAAGCCCAUUGGACUAAAUAACAAAGUCCAUUGGACUAAAUAACAAAGUCCAUUGGACUACAUAACAAAGUCCAUUGGCCUACAUAACAAAGCCCAUUGGCCUACAUAACAAAAUCCAUUGGACUACAUAACAAAGCCCAUUGGACUACAUAACAAAGCCCAAGAAAACUUGAAACUUUUUCCGAUAUUUGUUUCCUCGCCGCUCUUUUGAAAGUUGCAAGCUUUCUUUUUCACCGGAGAGAGCUAUAGAAUCUCUCAACAAUGGCGGAAUCGAUUUUCAGAAAGCUAAGAGACGGUGGCGAAGAAGGAGAGCUCGCACCAGCUCUCACCAUUGAAGAAACUGUAGCUUCCCCUUUCGGACUCGAUGUUUCUGGCUACCUUCUCACGAAUCUAUCUUCAUCAAUUUUGGCUGGAAAAUCCAAGUCGCAGUACACUCUCGAACCCUAAUUCUACUAUAUUCGAUCUCUAAUUGCUUCAUUAUAGCUAAAGUAUUCUUUUUUUUUGUCCUACUUUGCGAUACAGUGGUCUCGUGCUGAUCACAUUCUCGCGAAGCCCUUCGUUCUAUUUGCAAUUGUUGAAGCAAAAAGGAAUCAUUGUCACUUCAUCUUCUAAAUGGUGAUUUUGAUUUAUUUAAGUUUUCGAAAACACUAUUCUAACUUGUUGAGUACUUUGAUUGCUCUUCUUUGUAUUUGAUACCGAUUGGUUUAUGAUUUGAAGGAUUCGUAUAUUGGAUUGUUACACUGAUCCACUAGGCUGGAUUGAUCAGCCUUCAACUGGUUUAACAGAAGGGUCAAGUUUGGUUAAGUUAAACAAGUGUGUGAGUGACUUGAAAAGGCUUUUCUCUUCAAUCAUUGAAGCGGGAAGAGGUAGUUCUCUUACAUUGCAUCCUUUUCGAUUGGAUCUUUGUCUAAAGGAUUAUAGGAGAUUAAAAGUGAUUGUUUUGCUACAGAGUUGGUUGGAGACGGGAAAACACCUUUCUGUGUUGCUAUAGAUUCGGUAAACAAACUUUCGCUGAUGAGGUUUUAGGCAUCGAUUAUCGAAAAGAGAAGUGAUUUUUAUAUCUGAACUUUUGAAUCAGGUGAAUGAGUUGCUAAGACGUUCAUCCAUGCCAUUAGUUUCUGGUCUUUUAACAGAUCUUCGAAGCCACGGUACUUUGCAACAUGGACCUGAACACUUGUUUAUUAGUUUUAUUAAUUGUUAGGCUUGAUAGCAAAGGUUGAAUUUUUCUGUGCAGCUCAAGUUUCUAGUAUCUAUUGGUCACUAAACACUGACCUUCACCAAGAUAAGGUCACAAAUGCGCUUGAAUAUAUAUCUACAAUGAAAGCCAACUUAGAACCUUUGUGUCCAUCUGAAGAUGGACAAAGGAAUGCUUUAGAGAACCUGUUUUUGGUUCAUCAGGAUUUCGGUAGAGGGCGAUUCCAUGUUCGGUUUAAGCUUAGAAAGGGACGUGUCAGAGUAAUGGUGAGUUCCCUCUUACUCUUUUCUCUGUACCCUAUGAGUGUCGUCUAGUUAACAGUCUUGUAACUCCUUACCUACAGUCUGAAGAAUAUCAUGUUGAUCAAUCGGGAAUAAACUUUUCACCCAUUUCAUCUGCGGAUACUGGUAUUGCAGCCACUAAAAGCCUUUUGCCUAAGGCAAGUUAUUAUGUUCUGCUCUUUAAAUUCUUGGUUUGUGGUUCAUUUCGAUGUGAUGCAUGAUGUUAAGUUGUAUGCCUCAUAUUAUUGUUUCUUAUUGGUUCAGGUUCAGUUCAAUCUACAGUUGUCUGAGAAAGAGCGAGUCGAGAAAGAAAAAGUUGUGCUUCCUUUUGAGCACCAAGGUGAGUUUACAUAGCGUAAAGCCAGAGAAUUUAAGCUCAUUCAUGUCUGUCAUCGUGGUUAAAACAUUAGUUGAUACGGUUUUGUUCUUCAGAUGAUGGAAAAUCGUUAGAUAUCUAUGAUGGUCGGAGAUCCCUUGUUGAUGGCAAGAUUGAGACAACACCAUUGUCUUCAAUGGAAUUGCAGACGGAUGUGGUUUCAUCGGGUAAGGGAGGGGAGAUUAUAUAUUUCAGAGAUUCGGACGAUGAGCAUCCUGAUUCUGAUGAGGACCCUGAUGAUGAUUUGGACAUUUAAAGUUCUUAAAAAUUCACUUGUUAGAUCAGAGAGAAUGGCUCCGGUUUUGGUUUGGGUUUUGGCAACUGUUGAGAUCUUAGUUAGAUUGUUCCAACUUUGUUACUAUAUAGGUGUUACGGUAACGAUCUCAGCUUUUAUUCUUCUUGAGUUAUUUAUUGUGUUAUGACUGCAUAAUGAUCAUCAUAUGUAUAUCAAGACAUACCUAUCAGAUAAGUAAUGAAUGAUGAAGUGAUCUUAUAUUAUAGAUGGUCAUAUCAUCUAUCUCUUUUUAUUUGUCAACAUCAUACUAAAAGAACAACUCAAAUGAGUCAAUCGCACAGAAAAUUGUUUACAAACUUAACAUCAUACGAACUAACACGAGUUUUGCGUGCCAAGAAUUCCAUUUUUACAUUUACAUUUCUUGAAAUAAGAGACAAAGAAAAAGAUAAGAAUUCUUCUCGUCAACUUUUAUAUCCUCCAAGUAAGAAGAGAAAGCCGGUCAUUCAUUAGGAAAAGACACAAUCUUCACCAAGUGACAUAUCAUCAUCUUUUUAAAAUAAUUUUUUAACUCUUUUUGUAUAUUUUAUUUAAUAAAAAUGGUAUACGAAUUGUAAGUGUUGGAUUUAGGAGGACACAAAACAGUUACUCCAAUUUCGAGUAGUGGAAAUUUUAACAACUUUGAUAUGUACCGGUGGUUGUGAUUAAUUUCUUACCACCAAAAAGGUCCAAAGCCAUGUAUGACACAAACCAUAUAUUCUUUGUUUUCCAUUUAUAAUCCAUAAUCUUUUUAUUUCCUUUUAUAAUUUUAUAUGUCGAGGAUAAUAUUUAUUUUUAAAAUAUUUAUCAAAUUUAGUACAAAAAUUUGCAAAAAUGUCUAUAAAAAAAUGAAAGAUGAUAAUUUAGUGUGAAUCUUUCAUUUUGCUUGGUAUUUUUGUAAUAUAUCUUGUCUUAGUUUUGACAUUUUAGUCAUAUGCAUUUUCAUUAUCCAACAUUGUGGUGAAAUUUCAUAAUUUGUUCCAUUUAUUAUAGUAAAUGUUGACAUUUGGGUUUAUAGGUUGAGAUAACUACUUAGAGGAUUGAAUCUCCUCAUAUUCUUCCUCCACGCUUGUUCUUGUUCAAAGUAGGUAAUCUCUGUUGGUCAAUUAAAUAUAUACAUUAGUGUGAUCAAGUGUUUGGUAGUGAUGGAUAUAAAGAUUUCCUUGGAGAGUUUGCUAAAGUUUCCAUGAUGAUUCCUUGGCUUAUAUUAUUUUCUUUCACCCAUUAAUAAAUAAAAUAAAAUAUUAAUAAAGGAAAGCUUGGAUGAAACUUUAAUUGCGGACUCUUUUUUUUUUUUUUGUCGACAUUGCGGACUCUUUUGGCCAUGGUCAUUCCCUUUUAUUUCUUGUCGGGUGAUAGUUGGCGGCAUUCAAUGUUGGGAAUGUGAAGAUUCUUUUGGACUAGGCUUAACAACUAAAUUCAGGUACGCAAGAAUUUUUAACCACUUUUUCUACGCACCAAUUGACAUUGUUCUUUGUUAGUGAGAUUUUCCAAUUUGGGAGUUAUUGAAAAUUUGUAUAAGAGACGUUGAAAUACUUGUCCUUUAUGGGUGAUUUAGAUGUGUAUCUUGGUGAUGGGUAGAGGUUAUAAAAAGCUUUUGAAAAAGUAGAGUUUAUUAAUUGUUCGUUUGAUAAAAAAACACUAGCUAGCUAACACAGUGACAUAAAAAUCUUCGCUAAAGUUUAAGGGAUUGCUCAGUUUUGAUCUCGAAUACAAUUUACAUCUUGGAGAAAAUAUUUCAUUAAUAACUCAUGAGAAAGAUAAUAAAAUAUCAAUUUAAGGGGUGUAUUAAAAGUAGAAUUUUAAGUGUUUUGUGUAAAACUUACUAAUCAUAUGUAUAUUCAAUCAUGGAUAUAAAAAAGUCUAAUGAAAUAUUAAAAGACUUUUAAUAGUGUUAUUGAACUAUUGAUUUUGAAGAACUUAAGAGGAUUUGAAAAGAUUUUCUUAGUUAAAAAAUACAGAAAUUCAAAUCUCAUGAUUAUAGGUGGUAUUGAAAAGAUUUUACAAUAAAUCAUAUGUACUUCUCUAAAGUCAUCAAAGUAAAAACUAAAAAAGAACUCAAAUCACUUAAAAUUCUACUCUGAAUACACAACCUUAGUUUUCUAUUAUUAAUAUUAUUAUUUCUAUUUUUUAAAAUAAAUACAUCAAAUUAGUUAAAAAAUCAAUCUAAAAACUGAAACAAAUUGAAAGUAGAAAAAAAAAACUGAAAUGAAUCUUAAUUUUGAUUAGAUACAUCUCUGAAUUGAACAGCAAAAGAAGCAUGUUGAUUUUUUUAAAAAUCUUUUAAAGAUCAUAUUAAUUUUUUUAUUUGGCAAAUGAUCUUUUCAGUAUCUUGAUUUCACAAAGGGAUAAAGAAAUAUUGAUUACAUACAUCUAAUGUCUUGACCAAUUCACAAAAUUUGAUUAGUAACACAAAGAAAACCAUUUGACUAAAGUUCUUUGAAUUUUGUUUUUUCUUUUUCUGUCUUUUAUUACCAAUGCAUGUAGAAGAAACCUACAUACCAAGCUUAUAAAUAGAAGCCUCCUAUAAUUCCACCAACAAGAAAAACAAAAACAAAAUUUUUCUCUGAUUCUAGAAUUAUGGCUGUAUUCAAAGUCGUGCUUGCUUCUCUUCUCAUAUCACUUCUUGUCCUCGACUUGGUUCAUGCCGACAUGGUGGUUUGAUUUAACAAUUAACAGCCAAACAUAUUUCUUGUACUUUGAUAUGUUCUAACAAAAUUUUCAUAAUAUUUCAUGCAGACGGCGAAUAAAGCCACAAAAAUAGGUAACUACAUGAUAUUAAUCGUAUGAAUAUACACGUUGAACUAAUAUAUAUAUAUAUGUGUUUAUUAAAAUUUUUGGUUGGAAAUGGUAUGCAUUUCUAUGUAGAUUGCAAGAGCAAGUGCCAAGAACGGUGCAGGCUCUCGAGUAGGCAGAAACUUUGUCACCGAGCGUGCGGGACUUGCUGCGCCAGGUGCAGCUGCGUGCCGCCGGGCACAUACGGACAAUACGAAAAGUGUCCGUGCUAUGGUAGCCUCACCACCCACGGUGGUCGCAAAAAGUGUCCUUAAUUAAACACACUUGUUUGAUCUGGUUUCUUUAAUACACUACUUUAAUUUCUUUGAGUAAUUUGCUAUUAUAUUAUAUGGAAUAAAUAAAAUACACAGAAAAAGAGAAAUACAUGUUAUACGUUAUUUUUUGCACUCUUUGAAGAUUGUAUAUUGUCUAGACUCUAGAGCUAAAUAUAUAUAUUGUACGAUUCUUGGUUGUUGUUGAUUCAAUAAUCCAUAUGGAUCCCGAUUUAACAAUUUAAACGUUUGAAAAUGUUUUGACUUCAAAAAGUAGGAAGAGUUAGGCAUUGGAUUUAAAAUGGUAACAAUGGAAUAUGAAUGAACAGACUAAUGGAUUGUGGCGCACAAGUUAUAGCAGUUUACGGGAUUAAAUUUAAGAGUUGACUAGGCAUUUGUAACGUGAUCAUUGUUCAUUAGAAUAUGUCUAGUGUCUUUUUUUUUUUUAUGAAAAUAAAAUUAUGUGAAGUUAUCAAGAAAGAACAAUAAAAUUAAGAAAGAUGAUGUAUAUGAAAUCAGCUCUCUAUGCACAAGAUUUCGAGUAUCAAAUGUCAAUACAGAGCAUAGCGAUGCGAUGUAACACAUUCAAAAGCAAGUAGCCGUCAAAGUCUGAUCCUAUAAUCCCCGUCUGUUGUGGUUUCAGUGUGCAUCUUCCAAAGCUCAUGUGUAUGGCAAUCCUGUGGAUCACAAAGUGAAACAACUGUUGUCACAAGCAAUGGAUAUUGAAAGUAAAUUGAAAUAGAUAUAUGCCAUCAACUCUGAAAAUAAAUCAACUCAAAAAGAAUACGUCUCUCUUGCCGACUUAAUUUGUCCAAUCAAAAAAACUAUACUAAACCCAAGAAAAAAGUUUAUUAACCACAAGAGAAAAACCUUUAGGAAAACUAUCAAUAAGCAAAGUAAAGAAAAUAAAUGAAAGGAUGAAUAAACUUAAGAUUACUCUUGAAAUUAUCUAAUAACCGAAACAAAUCCAGAACUGGGUGGAUUCGAACCACCAACCUCUCGUCCAUCAUAAUAGACGAGCGCUCUGCCAUUUUGAGCUUACAGAUCUAUAAACAAUAACAAUUUUGGAGUUUUUAAAUAUAUACUAUUGCCUACAUUAACUUUUACGAAAUUAUUUUUAAUAAACAGAUAUCAUACCUCAUGCACUCUAAUUAGAUACCAAUUGACAGCUAAAGUAGUUUCAUAAAAAUUAAUGGAGAAAAAUCAUGCUACUUUUCGAUAACAAAAAAAUAUAAUUACAAAAAAGAAAAAAAACAUACUAACUUGUAAACUUCAAAAAAAAAAAAAAACUAAAUAAACAAUAUAUUUUAUUCCUCAAAAAUUAAUGUACACAUUUUACUCUAUUUAAGUCUAUUACCAAAAAUUUAUACCUUUAACACAAAAUAAUAUACGAGAAUGGCUGGAUUGUGAAAUCUAUAUGUUGGCCAAAACUUCAAUUUUCCUGUCAACGAGCUUCAUACUUCAACAGAAAGGAUAUCGUUACAGACAGAUAUAACAAACUUAGCUAAAUACAAAUUCUAAAACUGACGACAGAUUAUUGAAAAACCUUAAUACAAAAACUUAAUUACAUUAUACAAGUAACUAAAAUAUCAUUUAAACAAUGUAAUGUUUGAUGAAACGAUUAAAUAUGAUCAAACGUUGCCCCGGACUAUCAUGUUGUAAAGAAGUGCAUAACAUGUUGUAAAGUCAAAUCAUGUUGAUAUUUCCUUUCAAAUGCUUAUUUACUUGUAUGGUAAUUAACGAUCCAAGUUAAUAUGCAUAUGGGUACCUGAUUUGGCUUGAAUAAUAACUUAGGAUCAUAAUUAAUAUGAAUAUAAGUACCUGAUUUGACUCUCUUGUGCUAGUAGGAUUGAUAUAGCCACGGCUCCAGUUAAGUCGCAGUCUCUGUUUCUGAUCGAUUUUUUUUUGAGUAUAUGACCAAUAGCGAAUUAGAGAUGUAAAAGAGGGAAGAGAGAGAGAGAGGGAGCGAGGCAAGACACACAGAGGAGAGGAGAUCCCGGGAAAAAAAAUAAACAACCCGUGCGAUCUCCUCUCCAAAACCCACAAAAUAACUUUUAUUAAGCACAGUUUUGACCUGCCAUGCAAGCGCACCUGACAUGGCAAAGGUCGGAUGACAAAGAUGCGAUCGGGACGCCAUAGCUAUCCAACAAAACAUCUUAUACACCCUAACUCACUUCAAUCCAAACACGAAAGAGUAAGCCCUAGCGUCUGCUUCAGAUUCAUCUCCUUGUAUCCCAGAUCUAUGCGCCUCAACGUGACCAAUUUACAGAUCUAUCGUCUUACGAAGCCGCAAAUGAAGAUCCAAAGCCAGAUCUGAUAUUCAAGAACAGAAUUCUCGAUUACGAAACUACAAUUCUAUUUAAAAAACGAAUAUAAGAGAAGCUAAUCGAUACAAGAAGAUCAGAUUUACCGAGAGGAAAAGCUAGAUCUGCGUCAGAUCCGUCGCCAAAUCAUGGAAUCAACCAUCAGAUCUCGAUCAAAACACGACACGGUUGUGAAGAUCGGGAGGAUCUCUACGAUAAUUAGAAGCGAAAAGAAUCAGAAUCGUCGCCAUAGCAGCAAGAUCUGAGAAAAGCGUUGACGAAGGGAGGAAGCAAAAGACGCGUAUGAAUAUGGAGGCGAUGAUGAGAUAACCCUAAAAAUAAUUCAUCUCUUAUAUAUAGAGUUGGAAAUGAUAGACGGUUCAGAUUAAAUGGUUCGAUAACACCUCAACGGUUCAGAUUUGACCGCGUGGGAGAUUGCGUGUCUUUCGGGUCACUAUUAUCCUUCAUUAAAGCGAGGCGGUUUACUUUAUGAGAAAACAACAAAAGAAAGAAACAAUUUUGUAAUGGGCUGCUAAUAUGAGAUGUUGGUCUUCGUGGGCCGUAGCAAUAAUUUUAAACAUCUUCUGUCCUAUUUUUUUUGGAGAACAAAGAAAAUCGAAACAUUUGGUUUUUUCUUUGUUGUCAAUAAUAUAGUAAAACAUUUAAUUAUUAACGGGAUAAUAAUUUCAAAUAAAUUUGAUUAUUAUAGAAAAUAAAUGAUUUGGAUUCACCAAAAGCUCUUGAGGGAAAAGUUGAAGAUAUCUCAAUCAAUAAACACGAGCUUUAGGAGGAAAAGUGUCAACUUCAUCAUCCAAUGUAUUCAUGUGCACUGGUCUAUACUCCAAUUUCACAUUCCCUUCUUCCCAAUACCUUCAACAUAUACAUAUAAACAAAGCAAAAGAAGAUAUCUAAGGAAAACAUGAACAUACUUUGAGUCUAUGAUUUUCAAAAGAGAAAUAAAAAGAUAAAUUGUUACCCAAUGUGUGCUUCAUCCAAUUUGCAUCGUCUCGUUUCUGCAAAACAACCAUACCAAAAUCUCUCUUUGAUCGAUAUUUCCAUAUUUCGACUAAGACAAAUUUUUGUUAAUGUAAGGAACAUUGAACUAACCGUGAAAUCCUCACGCGCAUGUGCUCCUCGACUCUCCUUCCUAGCCUCAGCAGAAUGCAUAGUUAUGCUUGCAUUAAUCAAAAGAUUCUCCAACUCCAUAGUUUCUAUCAAAUCCGAGUUCCUAACAAUGUAGUUCCAUAUACAAAGGUUUAGUAAAUUAGCCUAAACACAGUCUUUAUAAUGAUUUAAACUCUCACCAUAUCAAACUCCGAUCUGUCACUUUGACAUCACCAAAACUGUCCCAUGUCCUAUCGAUCAAAUCACAACCUAUGAUCAUCAUACCCACAAAAAAGAAUUUAAAAAUAAAGAGAUUAUAUUUCUUUAGACCAAAUCAUAAGGUCUACUAAUACUGCUGCACGGCCAUCGUCUCAUGCUGUUGCAAAUGUCAUGACUGAUACUGCUUCGACCUCGAAUACUCCACCAAUAAAUUUUGAUGUCAGCACAUUGAGCAAUGAUCAGGUUCAGACAUUGAUACAACAACUGAAUGCACAGGUUCAUGUUUCAGAGAGUUCAAUUCCAUCUGCUAAGGCUUCUAUCACUGAACAUGGUGCUAUGUCUAUCCAAUCCUCAGCUGGUAUCAAUUCUUUUCCUUCUUUUCCAUCCAUUUUUCCAUCCACAUCUCUUAGAUUUGAGAAUAAUAAACUCACAUUUCAACAUCAAUGUCUUUCAUCAUUAUCAAAAGCUAUUCCUCAUGGUAGUUGGAUCAUAGAUAGUGGGGCUACUAGUCAUGUUUGCUCUGACUUGGCAUUUUUUAAUGAAACUGUCACAGUCACUGGAGUCACAGUUUCUCUUCCAAAUGCAACUAGAGUGGACAUCAAACAUUGUGGCACUGUUCCAUUGUCACAUUCACUCAUUUUGCAUGAUGUUUUGCAUGUUCCUUCUUUUCAAUUCAAUCUUAUAUCUGUUAGUACUCUUUUAAAACAUAACAAUGGGUCAGCUCAUUUUUAUCCUGAAUUUUGUUAUAUCCAGGAGUGUAUUCAGGGAUUGAUGAUUGGUAAAGGAAUUCUUCUACAUAAUCUGUAUAUCCUGCAACCUGCAUCAUCAUCCUUACCAUCGUCUACUCUCACUCUUGAUCAUGCUGAAAGUCACUUCUCUGGAUCCUUGAAAGUCGAUGGACAUCUCUGGCAUCAACGCCUAGGACACCCAUCCUCUGACAAGUUAAAGCUUUUGUCUGGUAUUUUACCUUUGUCUUCUUUACAAUUAGAUCAGCAUUGUAGUAUCUGUUCUUUAGCUAAACAGAAACGGCUACCCUUUGAGUCUAAUAACCACAUGUCUUCACUUCCAUUUGAUCUUCUUCACUUAGAUGUAUGGGGGCCUUUCUCUAUUGAAUCUGUAGAUGGUUUUAAGUAUUUUCUCACCAUAGUCGAUGAUUGUACUCGUGUUACUUGGGUUUAUAUGAUGAAAACUAAAUCAGAAGUAAUAAAGCAUUUUCCAGAUUUUCUAAAGCUUGUUGAUACUCAAUAUAAAUCAAAGGUUAAGGCUAUAAGAACAGAUAAUGCUCCUGAAUUAGCUUUUACUGAUCUAGUUAGAGAACAUGGAAUGAUUCAUCAGUUUUCUUGUGCUUACACUCCCCAACAGAAUUCAGUGGUAGAAAGAAAACAUCAACAUUUACUAAAUGUAGCAAGAGCAUUGAUUUUUCAGUCAAAAGUUACAUUAGAAUACUGGAGUGAUUGCUUGUUAACUGCUAUCUUUUUAAUCAAUCGUACUCCUACACCUCUGUUGAACAAUAAGUCACCAUAUGAACUACUUACACAGAAGGUUCCUGAUUACAGUUUUCUGAGAACAUUUGGCUGUUUAUGUUAUGUCUCGACAUUAUUGAAAGAUAGGCAUAAGUUUAGUCCUAGGGCUGAUCAAUGUGUUUUUUUAGGAUAUUCUUGUGGUUAUAAAGGCUAUAAAGUGUUGCAUCUAGAUACUAAUAGAGUUUCAAUAACCAGGAAUGUCAUUUUUCAUGAGCAUGUGUUUCCUUUUCACACUUUACAUAAAACAGUCCAUGAGAAUGAUUUCUUUGACAAUGUAGUUCUACCUUUGAAUAUUUCCCCUGUUUUAGAUGUUAAUGAUACUAUGCAUUUAAAUGUUACACCACCUGCUGUUAUACCUGCUGCAUUGCAUACAUCACCACCUCGUGACAGUGCUACACAUACUUCACACNNNNNNNNNNNNNNNNNNNNNNNNNNNNNNNNNNNNNNNNNNNNNNNNNNNNNNNNNNNNNNNNNNNNNNNNNNNNNNNNNNNNNNNNNNNNNNNNNNNNAAUGCAGACAAUGUUGUUGUGGAAACUGUGCCUGCAGCGACAACCAUGGUUUCAUUGCCUAAUGCGAGGCCAAAGCGACCAUCCAAAGCACCAGGUUAUCUCUCUGACUAUCAUUGUUCCCUUACUCAAAUUUCUACUCCCAAUUCUUCACCACCAGCAAAAAUUUUCACAACUCCCUAUCCUAUUUCCUCUUACCUUUCUUAUUCAAACAUAAACCCUACCUACCAAGAUUAUAUUCUUGCAGUUUCCUUAGAAACAGAACCAAAAACUUUUCACCAAGCUAUAGCAUCUGUUCAGUGGCAAAAGGCUAUGAAUGUGGAGUUGGAUUCUAUGGAAUUGAAUCGGAUCUUUAAUAUUGUUUCUUUGCCACCUGGUAAGAAUGUAGUAGGAUGCAAGUGGGUUUAUACUAUUAAGUAUAAUGCUGAUGGCACAAUAGAAAGAUAUAAGGCUAGACUAGUUGCAAAAGGUUAUACUCAACAAGAAGGGGUAGAUUACUUUGAGACAUUCUCUCCUGUUGCUAAACUGGCUAGUGUCAAGCUUAUUCUAGAUUGUGCAGCUAAGAAGAAUUGGAGUCUCUCGCAAAUGGACAUCACUAGUGCUUUUCUGCACAGUGAUCUUGACGAAGAGAUUUACAUGAGUUUACCUCUUGGAUACACCUCAGCUGAUGGCAAUCUUCCUCCAAAUCCGGUGUGCAGACUACAUAAGUCAAUAUAUGGACUUAAACAGGCGUCAAGACAGUGGUACAAGUGUUUAUCUAAAGCACUACUGGAUGAUGGUUUUGUUCAAUCUUAUGCAGACAACACACUCUUCACAAAGCUGAGAGGUACUUCCUUCAUUGCAUUAUUAGUAUAUGUAGAUGAUAUACUAAUAGUGAGCAACAAUGAUGCUGCUGUUCACUCUGUAAAGACAACACUUGGGAAUGUUUUCAAAACAAAAGAUUUGGGUACAGCAAAGUUUUUCCUUGGCUUAGAAAUAGCAAGAAGUGCAGCUGGUAUCUCAGUUUGUCAGAGAAAGUAUUGCCUGGACUUGUUAGCUGAUACAGGUCUGUUGGGAUGUAAACUGAAACCUGUACCAAUGGAUCCAACAGAACCAUUGAAUAAGGAAACAGGCACCCUAUUACCUGAUCUAACUCCUUAUCGGGAAUUGGUUGGUAGGUUACAGUAUCUCUGCAUCACUAGGCCUGACAUAACAUUUGCAGUGAAUAGGUUGAGUCAAUUCCUGUCAUGUGCUACUGAUGUUCACUUGCAUGCGGUUUAUAACAUUCUCAAGUAUCUGAAGAACAGUCCGGGUCAAGGCUUAUUCUUCUCUGCAACUUCAGAUUUGAGUUUGAAUGGGUUCGCAGAUGCUGACUGGNNNNNNNNNNNNNNNNNNNNNNNNNNNNNNNNNNNNNNNNNNNNNNNNNNNNNNNNNNNNNNNNNNNNNNNNNNNNNNNNNNNNNNNNNNNNNNNNNNNNGUUCUUCUUUGAUAUCAUGGAAAUCAAAGAAGCAGGAUGUGGUCAGCUCAAGUAGUACAGAAGCUGAGUAUAUAAGUAUGGCACAAACCACAAAGGAGUUGUUAUGGUUCAAUCAGAUGCUGAAGGAUCUUUAUAUCACUCAAGAUUCACCAGUCAAGCUUUAUUGUGACAACAAGUCAGCUGUAUACAUUGCCACAAACCCAGUUUUCCAUGAAAGAACAAAGCAUGUGGAAAUUGACUGUCAUACGACAAGGGAUCAGAUCAAGAAUGGGUUCUUGAAGCUCUUCCAUGUGUCUUCUUGCAAUCAACUGGCGGAUAUACUCACCAAACCAUUACAGCCGGGUCCUUUUCAUAAUCUACUUGGUCGUAUGUCGAUUUCAAACCUUUAUACUCCUAAAGAUCGUUCGGUUUGAGGGGGGUAUAUUAACAUAUAAUGUUUAUAUUGUAUACUUAGAAUAGGAUAAGGUUUCCUUUAGCUUAUUCCUACUCUUAAUAUACAUGUACAUAUAAAUACUCUUGUACAGUCUUAUGAUUCAUUAAUGAGAAUUCUAUUCUUUCAUAUCAAAGUGUUAAUAUUCUUCUAGUGUUUCUUGUGUACGGAAGACAGCAGCAUUGUUUUGCAUUACUCUUUGCAUGUUUAAGCGUAUUUUAGAAGUUGGAAGCGAACCAUUAGAGUUUCUUAUCCGGUCCAACCAUUCGAUACUCUUCGCACCCGCAUCCUUCUCUAGAGGUUUCAGUUUCUCGCCUACAUAACCAAAACAAAUUUCCAGAAGCUCUCACAUGUAUCAAACUUGAAGAGAUGGAAAUAUAUGUAUUACUUACCAGGUUUUUGAAUCUCUGCAACUCUGUUUGCACAAGCUCUCCCAAAAACAACAAUGUCAAGAAGUGAAUUUGCGCCAAGUCUAUUAGCGCCAUGAACCGAUGCACACGCUGCUUCUCCUGCAGCCAUUAGUCCAGGAACUAUAGCAUCUGGAUCAUCACCUCUAACUGUAACAACCUGAGAGACUCACAUGAAUGUCCCAAAAACUUAUUCAAGUACUGAAAACAUAUACAUUUGUUCCAACACUAAAAUUGGUUUGAUCUUCUCAUUUACCUCUCCAUGGUAGUUUGUGGGAAUACCACCCAUAUUAUAAUGCACAGUAGGCAAUACAGGAAUUGGCUCUCUUGUAACAUCUACACCCGCGAAAAUAGCCGCAGUCUCAGAUAUGCCAGGAAGCCUCUCUUUAAGCACCUCUGGUGGUAGAUGAUUUAGGUGAAGGUAUAUAUGAUCCUUCAUAGGUCCUGUUAAAGAAAAAUGUUGCAUAUGCUCUCAAGCUAAUUUCUUAUAUAUGAUGAGUCUCAAAGGAGUGAUAUUUUACCUGCACCACGUCCUUCUCUGAUUUCCAUAGUCAUUGAUCUUGAAACAACAUCUCUUGAAGCAAGGUCUCUAGCUGUAGGAGCAUAUCGGUCCAUGAAUUUCUCACCUUCACUGUUUCUGAGAAUCCCACCUUCACCUCGAGCUCCUACAAUAUAUGUUCAUAUCUGACAAAUUUAACAUCAAUAUCUUUUGUCUUAUUCCUAUGCAGGAAGAAACACAUACCUUCUGUGAUUAGACAUCCGGCUCCAUAUAUACCAGUAGGGUGAAACUGAACAAACUCCAAGUCCUGCAGCGGUAGCCCGGCCCGUGCAACCAUAGCAUUGCCAUCUCCUGUACAUGUAUGUGCUGAAGUUGCAGAGAAAUAAGCUCUUCCAUAGCCCUAAAGUCUAAGUGAUUAGUAUGUUUCAUAAAUCCAAAAAAAAUAAAAACAUUUCAAGAAACAAUUUUGUUACCCCGGUAGCCAAAAUUGUAGAACCAGCAUGGAAACGAUGUAAUGUUCCAUCUUCCAUGUUCAGUGCAAUGACUCCUUGACAUGUUCCUACUCAUCAUAUACACCAAAAGCAUUUAUAAGUUGUAUAGUAUAUCACUAAUGCAACAUCAUGUUAUCAUACAUACUCAUAACAAACCUUUCUCAGUACUUACCAUCAUUGUUCAUUAUUAAAUCCAAGGCAAAGUACUCCACAAAGAAUUGAGUGUUGUGUUUCAUUGCUUGGCCAUAAAGAGUAUACAACAGAGCAUGCCCAGUGCGGUCAGCAGCACAUGCGCAACGAUAUGCUUGGCCACCUGAAUAAAUCAGAGAGGUAACGGAACAAUGAUGAAAAGGUUGCAAGCAAACAAUCUUCCACAAGAACUUGAGACUCAAAAAAUCAUGAUUAAAACCUUUUCCAAAAUCAAGACUCUGGCCACCGAAAGCUCGUUGAUAUAUUUUCCCAUCUUCUGUUCUAGAAAAUGGCAAUCCAUAAUUCUCAAGUUCAAUCACAGCUUUUGGAGCUUCCCUGCACAUAUACUGAAUUGCAUCUUGAUCACCUACACAACCAAAACCACAAAGCAAUUUUACUUGUGUAUACAGAAGUGAAAGAAGUCAUUAAAAUAUUACAUUGCACAUCAACAUGUUACAUCACUAUAGAAAUCAUCAUCGUACCUAACCAAUCACUUCCUUUAACAGUAUCAUACAUAUGCCAUCUCCAAUCAUCUUCAGUCAUAUUACCCAAUGCAGCAUUAACACCUCCCUUCAACAAAAACGUUCAUAACUUAAUUCAACAAACAAAGCAAGCUUGAAUUAAUUUAAUAACCAGAUUAAGCAAAAACGUAUAAGUAACCUGAGCUGCAACUGUAUGAGAACGAGUUGGAAAAAGCUUAGUGAUACAAGCUGUGUUAAAACCAUGUUCUGAUACUCAUAUGGCUGCUCUAAGCCCAGCACCACCAGCUCCUACAACAACCGCAUCGUACGUAUGAUCAACGAUUCUAUACGAUGUUCCAUCCCCUGUCUUUCAGUCACAAAGAACACAAACAGUUUGAAUCAGAAUUGGUUAAUGUGACAUCUCAAAAAAAACAAAAUUAUUACAUUUGCAACUCAAAGACAUGUUCUAAUCAGACAUUUACACAGUAGAUCCGAACAAAGCAACCAAUUGAAUGAUUAGAAACACCAAAUAAGAAACAAAAUCGAGGAUUCUCGUACCGAAGGAGCUGAGAAGAAUCUGGAGAGUUGAGAAUUGAUGAAACCGCCUUUAGAUUCCGAUCUCCUCGCCGCAACUCGAAGGCACCGCCACAUCUCUCCGUCACUACUAAACUCACCACGAACUCGUCUACCCAAAAUGGAAGACUCGUUUUAUAUAAACUGGCUUAAGAAUUUGAAAAAAUGUUUUCAAACUCAUCGUGCCAAAUUGGCUAUAAAAGAAUUUGAAAAUGUUGACAAAAUUACACCUAGACCAGAGGAAGUCUCUCAACGUGCCAUCAGUAAUACCAACGGUCAACGAAACGCCAUAUCGGCGAAUACGGGCUUUUAAAGGCUCAGUAACAAGGUAAAAUGGGCUUUAUAAGGCCCAUAAUGUUGCAAAGUCAGAAUAGUUCGGUACGCAUUAACUUUGGCCAAGGCAGUUCCGUUGCUCUGCUCACGGACGCCGGAGAAGAGACAUCGGAGAUCGACGAAUCCAUUCAUAUAUAUAUAAUAGAGAGAGAGAGAGAUGGAACCGAGGGAGAGAGAUCUAGAGCGAUUGAUCCCGAUGCAUAAAUCAGCAGCUUCACCACGCGACGUCGUUUUAUCUGUUCCGCCGUCUCCUCUCGCUUCUCCGAUUCACGUUGCCGGAAAAGAGGUUUCUCUCUCGCUCCCCUGUUUCAUCUCUCAUAUUAUUACAGAGUAUUUAUCUAAUUAUUCGUUUUUUUUGUUUUUUUUUAACAUCUGGAUUCAAAGAUUGUGAAAUGUGUUCUGCAAGUUUUUUUUGACCUAGUGCUUUAAAGUUACUUGUAUGUUAAGUUAUUCUAUGUUAACAGGCGAUUUACAAAGUCAUCAGAAGCUGGGCCUCCAAAAAGUUCAUGACCGGAUGGUGAAAAUCUCUUAUCUGUUUCUUUCUGACUUAUAAUUUACUCUCAAAAGGUUUUUGAAACACACGUUAAGAUCUCUUGUGUGUACAGUGUCAUAUUGCUACCAAUCGCUGUCACAUUCUACUUCACAUGGUGGUUUAUUCAUUUCGUCGACGGGUUCUUCUCACCGAUCUAUACACAUCUCGGAAUCAAUAUGUUCGGUUAGUUUCAUUUUGCAUCUCUCAUCUAAGUUGCAUUGCUUGUUUCUUAUGUCUAACGAAGAAAUUGCAGGUCUUGGAUUUGUGACAUCCAUCACAUUCAUCUUUAUUGUUGGUGUAUUCAUGUCUUCAUGGCUUGGAGCUUCAGUUCUCAGUAUCGGAGAAUGGUUUAUCAAGAAAAUGCCUCUCAUAAGCUACAUUUACUCGGCUUCUAAGCAAAUUAGUGGAGCCAUCUCGCCAGGUUAAAACUCACAAGAAACCAAAAAUAUCUUACUUGCUAACAAGUAUCAAAAAGGUUAACCUUACCCUUUAAUCUCCUUUGAUCAGAUCAAAGCUCAGGUGCAUUCAAGGAGGUAGCCAUUAUCAGACAUCCACAUAUGGGAGAAUAUGCUUUUGGUUUCAUUACAUCAACUGUGAUUCUUAGAGGUCGUGCUGGUGGAGAAGAACUAUGUUGUGUUUAUGUUCCCACCAACCAUCUUUAUCUUGGAGAUAUUUUCCUUAUUAGCUCAAAGGACAUCAUAAGACCUAAUCUCUCAGUCCGGGAAGGCAUAGGUAGUUUUGUGACUUGAUCUAGUAACUCUCUUCAAACGUUCUGGAGCUGUAACAAACCGAUCUCAUUGCUCAAAUUUAAUCUUCUUUUGUUUUCCAACAGAAAUCGUUAUCUCGGGUGGUAUGUCGAUCCCACAGAUGCUAACAACGCUGGACUCAGAGAUCACUCACAGGUCGGUAGUUGGAACCUUUGCCAUGCCACCUGUGUGAAGUUUGAUGAAUCAUAGUUUUAUCCAGAAGCUUAAACGGAGCUUGCUGGUUAGGUUACUGCAACAUUUGCUAAACCAAGAAUGUUGGAAAGUUUUGGAAUCAUAAUGAUAUAUAAGUGAAAGAUUUAGAGUUUGGAUAUGUGUUGUUUAAGCCUAGUUUUAACUUAGACACGCAGUAUAAAGAAGUUUUAUUUGAAUUCUUUUUCGUGUACAAAAUAAAAUUGCUUCAAGAGAGUUUUGUAUACACAGACGUAUUCAAGUUAUUGUCUUUCACAUCAGUGUGUUUCAGUCAGAAGUUUUAUGAAAAACUCAAACUAUGCGCAAAAACAUAAAUCUUUCUCAUAGUAUAUUGUUUCUAUUGUCAAAUGCUGGAAAAGAAUGAGAGAGACACAAUGGUGUAUAACUGGUGGAUUCUCUGGAAAUCCUUUGAGAAGCAAAAUCUUAUCAACUAAUGCUACAAUGGUGCAUCAUCAAUGCCUAUGUGUAAAGUCAAGAAAGUGCAGAACAUAGCGACUUGUAUGCAUCAACGCAGAGUUUAAACUUCUCUUGCGCUGCAGCCUGCGAUUAUCAAAACACAAUUUAUCAACACAUAAACUUCAUACAAAAACUGAGACAAUCCAAUCUUUGUUUAAAAUCAUACCUGAGAAGGCCCCUGGUGCUUAUCCGGAUGCCACUUCAAAGCCGAAGACCGGAAGCUGUAAAACAGGAAAAGCUUUGAGGAACACUUAUUUUAGAUUUUGGGCAGCAUCGGAAGCAAUUGAAAGACUUACGCAUUCUUAACAUCAUCAAUUUUGAGGGGACCAUCUAGAGGCAAUCCAAGAACAGUCCUUUCAGACCGAGACCCAACAUUCAAAGGUUCAUCAAGAGACUCAUUAUUCCAACUUUUGCUCCUUUGAGAUUGACUGGUCCAGCUCCAGCCUUCUCUCCAUUCAAAUCCUGAUGUCGAGUCUCUCGAAUUUGAGGUAUUCUGAGAUUGACUUGUCCACUUUUCUCUCCAUUUGUUCUCGAAAGCAUUAUUAGCUUCAGUGCCAAAUUCAUCGUCAGGAUUUCCUUCUCUGUGCCAUCCUGAUUUACAAUUAAACAAAAGGAUACAGCAAAAAAGAGAGCCAAGAGUUGUAUGGUACUAAGAAAAAGAAAAGAAAGCCACUCACUUUUUGUUUUCUUAUCCCGAGGCUUCUUGCCCCGGCCAGGUGGAGGUUUUUUCUUCAUAUGCCUUUCCCGGAUAAGCGGAUUUGGCCCGAAAUGCCACUCAUUCUACGUAUAUGAAAAGAAGUACAAUGUAAAACACUUGAGCAAACACAUUAAAAAGAAAAAGAAAACCAGAACUCUAUGUAAGAACAAAGUUUAUAAAAAUCAAAAUCCAUGAAACUACAGCAUGACGAAUAUACCUGAAGUGGAUCAUUAAUUCCUCUGUGGAAGAGGAGUUUGUCUACAGUCUUUUUAGCGCUAGUGCGUCCCUUCUCCUUUACAGUACAUGUGAAUCUUAUGGAGGAGUUCUGGGAUCAACAUUUGCAGCUUCAGAGGAGAACUAACUCUCUUAUGAGUUUGAAUAGAUACACAAAUAAAUGACCACACACACACAAACACGCACACCAAAGAUAUCAAUUUCUUGACAAGACAAGCACAGGUUUAAAACAAGAACUUAACAACAUAGAUUGCAUUUCUAUUAACAACCAAUCCUUCCAAAUUCAUCAAGAAACAUUCAUUUUCCUCAUAUGAAAGUACAAAAAUUUGCAAAACCAAUUUGGUUGUAAUGUGAGCUACAUGACCCAAUCAUGUGAUCCUCUUUUGACUAAAAGCAACCCAAACUUGUGGAAACUCUCAGAUUUGGUAACAAUUUCGAUCUGAUAACACAAAACCCAUAUCACAAUUCCUAUUCUUGAUACCAAUUCAAUCAAAGUUUCAGCUUUUACAUUGCUCAUUAAAAAUUAUACCUUUGAAGAUCGUUCACCUUCAGAAUCCCUACCCUGCGAUCAAAAAUUAAUCCAAGAGCAUCAAAACAUCUAACUACAGGUGCUCAAAGAUUCAAUGAUGAAGCUAAUCUUUAUAGAGAAGGAUCUUACGGAACCAGAGUUAUUCCUCGAUUUCUCAGACAGAACACUCGUCGAAUGAAAUGGAGCGAAACGAAUUGCUUCUGUGGCAUUUGGUAAUGACAAUUCUACAAUCCCAGAACUUUUCAGCGACAAGAUGCUUCUCAAUCUAAACAUAGUUGGAUUCCACAUAAAGUAAAAAUGAAAACUUUCGAGAAAUUGAGAAUACAAUAAACAAAUUCAAAGGUUUAAAAUUUCAUUGACGCGAAAUGAGAGAUUUGAGGAAGAAAUGGGAGGAGAAGACGACUGAGAAGUGAGAGAACAGGUUAAAAGAAACAGAGACCGUGAGGGUUUUUUAACCAGACCGGUUUAAUUGCGUCCUGGUUUAAGUUCGGUUUAACUUGGUAGAUUACGGAAACAGAGCAUGAAGCCAAAGUUAAAAAAGUUUGUCACUUUGAUUAUGAAUGUAAGAGAUACAAAUCCAAAAUCAAACAAUAGUAGUUUCAUGUUUGAAUCAAUCAUACACAUACGUAACGAUCUAAACAUAACACAACUUAGUCGAAAAAGUAUAAAAAAAAUCCAAUCUCAAUGACAUUGCUUUUUAGCUUACAUUGGUUCUACUCUCAGAACCCCCCAAAAAUCUCUUCUUUUAAUCAUUCAUUGAUCUCUCUCAUUGAUGAGGAGCAGGGCUUUUAGUUCCCAUCUCUCUGGAAUCAUGACUAGGUGUUCCUUCACAGUCACUGAUUGGGAACUCUGUGCUCGACAAAGCUAUCUGUCUGAACUUCUUCAUGUCUGCGUUGUAAGAUGUCUGACUAUAAUCUGAGCUUGCUCCCGAUGACCCGUAAAUGUUACUCUGUCCUGGCUUCACACCUUCGUUUAAAGCAUCCAGUGACACUUCUCCUUCUAAUGCUCUUACUAUCUGCAAACCAAAACAUCUUUUGUUACUUAUUAUCUGACAAAUACUCAAAAAUUUGGGUUACAUAAGUUUGAUUGACCUGGCUCAUCUUUGGACGUUUACGCCCCGAAUAGCGAAUGCUAGCAGCGGCACAAGUCACCAUUCGAGCCAUUUCUUGCGGGUUGUAGUUGCCUUCAAGCCUUGCAUCUGCGAGCUCAUUAAAGUUUCCAUCUUCUAGCGAGCUAGCCAUAAGAGGCCGAGCCUGUAUUUAUAAUCCAAAAGCAAUCAUCAGUGCCAAAAAAAAGGCGAAAACAUACACAAUUCUUGUAUAACAAGAAACAUAUAUUAGCAUAUACCCAAUCUACUAAGGUGUCGUCCAUAGUGCUGGUAUUAUCAACCGGUCGUUUUCCAGUUAUGAGUUCGAGUAACAUGACACCGUAAGAGAAAACAUCGGAUUUCUCUGUUAAUUUACCGCUAGAUGCAUACUCUGGAGCAAGAUAUCUACACAUGUUUGUGCAGAGAAGUAAAUUAGAUCAGUACAAAGGUUCUGUUUCUUGAUUGGCGCGAAUAGUAUCUUAUGGUAGGGUAAAACGCUUACCCGAAAGUUCCCAUCACACGAGUAGAGACAUGAGUGUAGUUAUCAGAAGUUAACUUAGCUAAUCCGAAGUCAGCCACCUGAAUAAACAAAUGUCAUAAGUCAUGCAUCAUCAGCUUUUAGCACAAAAACCAAAGUGGAAUGCGGCUACUAGUUUAUCACCAUUGCAUCAAAGUUGAAAUCCAAGAGAAUGUUUGCAGACUUGAUGUCGCGAUGAAUGAUCCGAGGAUGGCCUGUGUCGUUUCCUCAGCCAAGAAAGAAAUCACUUGUCAGAGACAAAGCUUUCUUUGUUUUAUGCAACAAUGGUGUUAAGAAAAUGAGACUGGUGAAUGUUUGAAACUUACAGUCUUCAUGAAGGUAAGCGAGUCCUUUCGCAGCACCUAAUGCGAUACGCAUCCUGGUGGAGAAAUCCAUUACCGGAAGAUUUUUCCCUGAACCAACAACAACAGGAACAAAUGUUACAAUUUUCUUGAAACUGUAGAGUAGGCUAAAUUGUUUUUAAGUGGUCUAGUUACCAUGAAGAUGAUAUUCCAAAGUAUUGUUAGGAACAAACUCAUAAACCAACAUCCUCUGUCCAUCAGCUAUGCAAUAUCCAACCAAAGAAACAAGAUACCGAUGAUGCACACGGCUAAUGAUAUCAACCUCAGCUUGAAACUCCCUCUCUCCUUGUCCACUACCCGAUUUCAAACUCUUAACCGCGACUUCUUUCCCGCUAGGCAACACACCUUUAUGAACAUACCCGAAUCCUCCCUGCCCCAAAAGGUUGCCAUCCGCAAACCCUCCCGUUGCAGCCGCAAGCUCUUGGUAAGUAAAAGUGCUCUUGUUAAAUCCAAGGGCUAAAGCAGGCGAAGGAGGAGGCAAAACCGGGCGUGCUGGUCCAGAGUACAAUUCAGAAUCAUCUACACUUGUAGGCAUCCGCGGUGGAGGAGGAGGCGGUGAUGGUCCACCGCCUCCCCAACCACCAGGAGGGUAUUGGUUUUGGCCUUGUGGAUUUAGGUUCCAAUUUGGAUAAUUGUGGGAAGCAUUAUUGUUGUUGUUUCCAUAGUAUUGAUACUGAUUUCCUGAACCAAUAUGAAGAAACCUAAGCUUUUUGAUAUGUGUUGAAACAUAUGUGUGUGUAAGUUUAUACCUUUCAUGGGUUCAGGAUAGUAAGAAUCUUUUCUCUUCUUUUUGCGUCUAAGACAAACAAUGAUAAGCACAAUCAUCAAAAGUCCAGCUCCAACUAAUACACCUACUAUGAUCCCAAUAUUCGUAUUACUUCCUCCUCCUCCUCCUCCUCCACCGCUGCUGCCUCCGCUAGAAGGAGGAUUAUCCGAGGGAGAGCCGCCAUUGCCUCCUGAUGGUGUUGAUCUGCUUCCACCGUUAUCUCCAUUACUCCUAGAAGGAGGAGAAGGAGGAGAGCCGCGUGACGGUGGAGGCUCGUUUCCACCGCCAUUCCCUCUUUGUGACGGUGGUGGAGGAGAAUUAUUAGAGGAAUUAGGAGGAGAAGGAGCUUGUGGAGCUGGUGGAGAUGUUGAACCAGGAGGUGGCGAUGAUGAUGAGUCUCCUUGAGAAGGAGAAGGAGGAGAAGGAGCAGGGGGAGAAGAGGAGGUUGAAUUGGUAUUAGACGACGGUGGAGAUGGAGAAGAGGUAGAGUUUGACGGAGGAGGAGCAGAUGCAGGAGAAGAAGCCAUCAGAGAUCAAAAUUCUCCGGUAACCAAAAAGAAAAAACUCUCCGUCCGUCUUCUCUCCCUUAACCACUCAAAUGAUUCUGAAAAGAACAAAAACGUAAUAAAAAAACAGAACAGAUCAUGAUCAAAAUGGUGUUAAUUUGGGCAUAACCUCUUUUGUCUUAUUAUGUUCUCGUUAGAUCUUCAACAAAACAGGUGAAAAAAAUGCUAAAUAUGAAAGAUUAGUUAAAGAGAUUAGCAUGUAAGUGUGUACCUUAGAUGAAGAGAUUAAGGGGGAGAGGAGUUGUUUUUGGGUAAAUUGGUGAGAAAAAUGAUAAUAGGAAGGAGGUGAGAUUUUGAGAUUUGCUCUGUCUUCAUUCCGAGAAACAUGCCUCUUCUUUAUCUCUAAUGUCUGUCGUAAUAACAGUUUUGUGUUUUAGUUACUAUAAUAAUUGUAAUAAUCUCCGGUCUAAUUUUUCUCUUUUUGGCUCCGUGAUAUUAGGAGAAGUAAGGUUUGUUUGUUGAUUCAUUUCCACGUAAGUGGUAGUAAGUUAGUAACCGCAUGCAUUCUUAAUUAUUCUUACCCUUUUUGUUAGGUAAAUCUCUGGUUUAAUCUUGUCCAUCGGAUCAUGUUACUCAUCUCAGAUCCUUCCACGCGGUUUUGAUCAUAAUGCUAGAAAAAGAAGUGUAGCUGCAAACUACUGUAUUUAUUUUUGAACAUUUAUAUUGGUGUGGGUAUAACUAGAGGCGGUUUAGUGUGUUAUUACAAAGACUAGGGUACAACAUGUUGAGCUAAAUCUUGGUUCUAUGUAUAAUGAGAAAUUAAAAGACUAUAAGAGAUCAUAUGUUGCAUUCAUGUCCCUUUGGUUACGUAUAAAAAAGACCACAUCUCGUAUUCUAGAGUUUAUUCUAGAGUUUGAUCCUUAAUUAAAGCCAUUGAUGAAGUUGCAUCCCAUGAUUUCAUUUGUUAAGAGUCUUUAUACGAUAAACAAGACAAUCAAAAACAUAAUAUUUAUAGAGCUCGCGCUUAAUAUUUUCUUUAGAGAAAUCCAACAAAAAGAGAUUUAUAAGUAUGUAUAUAAGUUUGUCAAUGUAAUCAAUUUUUUUUUUGUCUACGUAUGCAACUAUACUUCUGCAUAACCUUCAUAGUCCCCUAAAUUUUCUAUUUUGUUAUUAUAUUAAGAUAUCAUGAAAUUUUUUGUAUAUGCUUCAAGAAACAAGAAUCCUCGUCGGUCAUGGUCGGUUGCUCCCAUAUCUUUGGGACACGCCAGUGUCCGACAGUGUAUCCCACACCUGCACAUAUAUACGUUAGGUUCCUAAAAAAAACAUACAUGUAUUUCUUGUAUAAUCAAAAUGCCUACUACUCACUUUUAGAUUCCCCUCUGAGCCACCAAUAGCGAGCAAGAAGGGGCAGUCCGCAGAGAAUGAUACGGAGAACACUUUUCCCUGAUUGAUGUCAAAGUUUGGAAUGGUGAACAAAAGAAACCAAAGUUUGAAAGAUACUUAUUAAUGAAUAGCUCUUACCGCAUCUGGCAUGUGUGUAGCAAUCCAUGAUGGUUGAUUAUUUGAAAGAUCCCAAAUUUUCACACUUCCAUCCUCAGAUCCUGUAGCCAAAAGCUGUACAUAUCGAAGAAUGGCUUAAAGCUAAACCACUGCAUUAUAAAUAUAUGCUAGCUUGGACUCAAGAGAGAAAAAGAGAAGCAUGUAUGUACGUACAUUGGGCGCAUGUAUGUUGUAUGAUAUGGAGGAGACUUCAUUAUCAUGAGCAUGGAGAGUAAAAUUUGGUGAUAGAUGAGAAGCACGUAUAUCAAAGCCUUUCACAGUUCCAUCUUUGAGACUUGCCUAACAUGGAAAAAGAAAAAGAUAAUGAGUCACAUCAAUUAUCUCAGCUAUUCACAUGUCUAUUAGAAGAGCAAAGAAAGCGUAAUGCACCACAAAGGAGUGUUCACUGUGAGGAUCCCAGGCCAAGCUUUCAACUUUGCCCUUGGUAGACCAUUUCAAACCUGAGUGUGAAGGGUCCCUUCCAUCUUUCUGAAACAUAUAUACAUAUAGAUAGAAGAAAAAAAAACACAAAUCAACAUAAUGAUAAAGCUGGUUAAUGUAGAAGACUCCAGUCACAUGAAUGGAACAAAACAGUCACCAAUACAACGGUGCGAUCACGAGACCCACUGAGGAGUACUUCUGGAGCAUAAUGAUUCCAUGCGACCGCGUGAACCUGUUAGUUAACCAGUACACACAAAAUAAACAAUGAGCAUGCCACAUAUGCUUGAGAGAGCAUAGAAACAGUUUUUAUCCUCAUACCUUGUUUUUAUGAUGCUCCAUAGUGACCUUGCACUUCCCUGUAGCCACAUCCCAAACCUUAACUUUUUUGUCAGCACUGGCACUAGCAACUAUAUUCCUAUUGUUCCAGUAAAAAGUAAAAAAUGAGAGCAAAUAUUGGACAGAAAUUUUCAAUCAUGGAACCAUCAGAGAGCUUAAGUUAAACAUUUCUACCUAAACUCCUUGUUCCAAGCAAGAUCAAUCACUGGUUCAGAGUGGGAAUCUUGUGAUGUCUAGAGUGAGAGAAAUUAAGACAAAUAACUAAGUUACAACAUGACACAUUCUAGAUAAACAGAGGAGUUAGAUAAUUUGCAAAAAUUGGGUUUCAAACCUCUCCACCUAUUCGUCCGAGUCGUACACAAGGUAGCACCUCUUUUACCUGAUCGAGCAUUGUAUAGUCAUAUUAGUUAAUGAUAGAUAAAAAAAGAAACAUUAUAAAUAUCAUUAAAAGCCAGUUUACAGUUACAUACAAGAUCAAGAUCCCAUAUCUCUAUUGAGGUCUCCAUAGACCCAAUAGCUACAAAGUUCCCUGCCAACACCAAAGAAAAAUGAUAAUCUCAUCCAUACCAAAAAAAAAGAAGAAGAGCCGCGGCUUGGAUCCACACACUAACCUUUUUCCCUUCCUUUGAGAGGACAAUCAAGCCAUGCCGUGCACAGUGGUUCCUCAGGUAUAAUUAUGUCAUUACGAAGAUACAAGUUGUGAGUGCCAUUCCCGGUGUCCUCGUAUACGUAGACCUCAAGAUUGUUGGUUUUAUCUCUACUAGUAGCGCAGAUGAUCAGUGAAUCAGUUGGCCUAAUUGUCAUAUCAUCAAGAUCCUCGGAGUCAUACUUAUCCUAACGUAUACCAACAUGAUAUAAUCAGCUGAGUUAGAGGGUUAAAAGGUUUAUUAAUUAGUAUAUUUUACUAAGGUUGCAAUACAAACAAUUGUGAGAGUAUCCUCAAGGUAGAUUUAGUAAGUAUGAUAAGAAAACUAAUACCUCGGUAUUAUUUAGGUAUGGAUCCAUCUCAUUGCUUGGAUAAUAAAGGUCUCCUUGUCCAGAGCUAAACAGUUCAAUUUCUGAGUCCAACACAAGAAUGAAGUAAAACUGUAUAUUAACAUAUGUAAUAUAUACAAGAAUGAUACUAUGUAGGAAAUAGAAAGAGCUGAGAUAUAUAUACCAUCAUCUUCUUCGUCAUAGUUAUCCAUGUCGAGUUCUUUCAAGAAGUUGACUACGUUAUCAGGAUCUGCUGAAGUAGACGAAGAAGAAGAAGCAUCCUUGCUUUCGGAACAUGGUUUGCCAAAAGAUUUUGCUACAGCCUUGGCAUGAGCAACUUCACAAUUCUUUAUCUCAUCGUCCAUAUCCAUGUCACUGAGACUGUAUCCGAUGUAAAUGUAAUCAGUGGGUGUCUGGGUGAGCUUUUCACCUUUUUUUUUUAAGAGAAACAAGAACAGACUUAAUAAGAAUUUUCUCACCUUUUCUUGAAAGUGCCAUUAUGAAUGAGCUCUUUGAUAUCCUCCUUAGAAGGAGACUGAGCCUCAUAAGGCAUGGCCUUUGAUGCCCCUUUUGGUAUCCAUGAAAGUGAAGUUAUCAUUCUUUGUUACAAAAAAAAAAGUUAUCAUUCUACAAAAUCAAAUCAGAAGAGAGAGCGAGAGAGAUAUUAAGAAACCAUUAGUAGCCAAUGUCUCUGUCUUGUUGGAAGAAGAAAUUAAACUUACUGCUAUGACUGUCAGAGAAAGAAGAAGAAGACUUGGGGAGGAAACAAACCGUUCUUUCUGCUUCGAUCUCUCGUUUUAGCUUAUUAGAGAAACAAUAGUAACAUUGAGCCAUAAGCUCCACAAAAAAAAAAAGGAAAACAAAAGUAGCCCUAGGGUUUCGGACUCAUGUCAAGAUGGGCUUUUCAUUUGUUUAUCCACUAAUUAAUCUGAUUUUACUAUGGUACUACUAAAUUUUUUAAAGUCCAUUAAUAUUUAAUAUUUAGUUAAAAAAAAAAAUUUCAUCAAUAUUUUAACGUUUUCCCUAUAAAAUUUCAAAGUAUAAAAUUUCCGUUUUGAAGAAAAAAGGAAAAUAAGAAAGAAAAGGAAAUAACUAAUAAGAAUGAAAAAAAUGUAAAUUAUUUUUCUUUAUAGGGUCGCUUAAAUCAUUCUCAACUUAAAAGAAGAGAAUAGAGCAAAACAAAUUGCUAAAAGAUGAGUGAAACUAUUUAAUUUUUAAUCUCUCCUAGUAAUCUUAAAUCCUUUCUUAAAUCUUGCUUGGUUCAAUUUUUAACCUCUUCUCUUCUAAACUAUUUUGAGCUGUUAUUGUCUUUGUGUUUGUGGUUUAGAGUUCUUUAUUGAACUGAUCUUGUCUGAAACAUUAAUACAAUGACUGUUGGGCCGGAAGCUAGGAAGUUGCAUAAUUAUUAGUAUGGCACAAUAAACCUUUGGUUGCAAAGUAACCAAAGUUAUAUUUUGAGAGUGUCCCUCAAGGUAGUUUCAGUAAGUACGAUAAAAUAAAGGGUUUGUUAGCAAACUAGUACGUUUUUGAAACAUAAUUAUAAAAGUAGUACAUUACUAUUCAUAAUUAGGAAAAUAGUACAAUUUUACUAUUUCAGGUAUCUGUACAUAUAGACAACUGUACAACAACACAUUAUUGUACAUAAAAUAUUUGUACAAAGAGAAACAACUACAAAAACACAUAUUUACACAUAAACAAAUAUACAUAUAUAGACAAGAAAAACAUUUGUACACGUACAAUUAUACGUAUAUAUAGACCGAUGUACGGAUGAUUUUCCGUACAGCGACACACAACUGUACAUAAGGAUAGCUGGACGUAUCAAAAUUUGUUUGAAAAAUAUUAUAAAUUAUUAGAAUAAAAUGCAUAUCAAAUUAUAGAGAAAAAAAUGUAGAUUUUUAUGUAACUGAAAUUUUAUUAAAAACAAAUUUAUUUUGAUUAAUAUUAUAGUUAUUAGAUUUAAAGGGUUUUUUAAUAGUGUCUAAAUAGUGUCCAAAUAGUAAAAAUGUAUUAGUUUGCUAAUUAUAAAUAGUAAAUGUACUACUUUUAUAAUUAUGUUUCAAAAAUGUACUAAAAAUCCAAUUAAUCCUAAAAUAAACUAGUAACUUUUACCUCAGUAUUCUUUACAGAGUGGCUAUGAAUUGUCUCUGACUCUGUUUCUAUUCUUCUUACAGUUUCAAACAUACAUCACUUCAUUUUUUUUUAGUCAUAGAACAUUUGUCUCUUUGUUUUGUAAUACUCAUGAUAUACAAAUUUCUCGCGCUACAGUAAACAAAUUGCAUUCUAAAUUGCGGGAAUAAUAUAAAAAUGUGUAUUCAAUGAUUUAUCUGUAUCAUCCUUACAAAAACACACCUUACAUCGCCGACAAAAAAAAAAAAAAAAAAAAAAAAAAAAAACACACCUUACAUACAAUUAAUAGAUAAGCCAAAUCAUGUUGGAUUAAACAAAAAUUACAUGCCAAAUUAUUCUAUAUAUAUAACUAUGAUAAUCUAACCUAAUUAUUGACUCUCUUAGUUUGAAAUUGAAUCUCUAAUCCGUCGCGAUCACCACGAGGACCCCCACCGGCAAAGAGCUUCUCCAUAUCCUCCAAGGGUACUCCUUUUGUCUCCGGCAACAUAAAGAAGAAGAACCACCAUGCCGCCACCGCUAGUCCAGCGAACACGAAGAACACACCGCCUGUCGUUAUCGCCUUCGUCAUCGAUAGAAAACUCAUUGAGACCGUCGCAUUCAUGAUCCUAUUAACCGCAACGCCUAUGCUCGCUCCCUGUGCCCUAAGUCUCAACGGGAAUAUCUCGGAGCUGUACACCCACGUGAUAGGUCCAAGCCCGAUGGAGAAAAACGCUACAAAUGCAUACGUAGAGACGAUGCUUAAACUCAAUGCCCACGCUAACCUCCCAAAUCGCUGAACCAUCGUGAGACUAACCGCUAAACUUGUCAGAGCGAAGACCAUCCCACCUGUGCUGGUUAAUAGAAGCUUUCUCCGACCUACCUUGUCUAGCAAGAAAGUAGCUAUUAUUAUGAAAAAGGCCUUAGUUAAACCUACACCGACCGUGGCUAAUAAGAGCUUGUCUUUAGAAACUACUCCAGCUUUCUUGAAUAUUCUCGGACUGUACAACACGACAGCCUCGAUCCCCGUGGCGUGCUCGAAAAAGUGUAUCCCCACGGCCGCGAUCAAUAUCAAACGCACGGCAGGUCGCGGUUUUAUUACCAACUCCCUCCAUACACUUUUGCCGUGAGUCUUCUUAACCCCACCGCCAACUUCUUUCACCGCUGUCUCCUCCUCUAUUUCCGCCGCGAUUAGAAUAUCUCUGAACCGUUCUUCGGCUUCUUCUUCCGUGUUGGAUACCAAAGCCAUUAUUUUCUUUGCCUCUUCUAACCUACCUUGCAUCACAAGCCACCUCGGAGACUCAGGCAUUUUCGUAAUCCCAAAAGCCAAUACCAAAGAAGGGAAAGCCGCGAUCCCAAGCAUCAAUCUCCAUCCAAGCCUCAACGUCAGUUUCCCAAAACAGUAGUUGGAAACAUAGCCAAGUAAAAUCCCAAGACUAAUACAAAGCUCGGGUAGAGAAGUGAGAAAGCCUCUAUGUGAAGCAGAGGAUAUCUCGGCAGAGUAAACCGGAGCUAUCAUAAGAGCAAACCCUACACCAACCCCGGCUAUACAUCUUCCGACCAUCAAAACAACGUAGUUUGGGCCGUAACCCAUAAGAACAGAGCCCACUAAGAAUAUCACGGCGGAGAGAGCAAUAGUAUAACGUCGACCAAUAACGUCGGACGUUUUUCCCGCCGUUAGUGAUCCGACGAGAGCACAAAGAUUCAAGAUUCCGGCCAAUACUUCGAUCUGAGUGUCGUUUAUUUUGAGAUCCUCUCUUAUAAAUAUCUGAGCUCCGCUCAUAACUCCCGUAUCUAAGGACAAAACACAUUAAACAAAGUGAAAGUUAGAUUCAUUGAUAUAAAAAAAAAACAUAAUUAUAUUCAACUAAAUAGUUAUAUUAUAUGUUAUGUAGAAAAAUGUUUACCAUAUCCAAAGAUGAUGGAGAUGAUGGAAGCAACGAUGGCACAGCCGCAAGCAAAUUUGUUCAUAUGAGUCGGGUUUGGUUUCAAACCGGGAGAAGUAUGACCAUCAGCAUGAACCAUGGUGAGUCUUUUUUUUUUUAUUUUGGUGUGUUAGAUAUUCAAAUAGCUAAUUAUAUCGAUUAUGUAACUUUCAUAUAGUAUAUAUACACAUACACGGUCCACCACUUGGAUCUUUUGUAGUGGAAAAGGACGAUCAGAAACUUCCACUGUUCCACAAUCUACAGUGUUCGAAGGUGCCCACGUAUUCUGGUACGAGAGCUAGAUUUUUCUUUACAAUAUAUAUAACAUUUGAUUUGGAUGUAUGUACCUGAGAAGUAUAUCCAAGAAACGUUUGAAAAGAAUUCCAAAAAAAUCACAACAAAUUAAUUAAAAUGAAGUGGAUAGGUAAAGAAUUUAACCAUAGAUAUGUGCAUCGAAUAUUCGAUCAGUACUUAAAUGCAGUUUUUUAGGAGAUGAUAAUAUGCUACUUGUAAAACUGGUUAUUAUAGUUUUGCAAGUUAUGCAUGUAAAUGUCAUCAUAUAUGUGAAUUCAUUCAUUAUAGUUACAUAUACUAGGAUAAGAUUAUAUCAAAAAUAGUUGGUCAUCAAAUUUAAUACGAUAAGAUCAAAAAAUAUUUCUAAUACGAUAUAUAAAAGUCGCAAUCUUAUUAUUCACUUUCGGCAUUUUCCUGAUAUAUGUUGAAUAGUGGCGUAACCUUUAAAGAUUCUUUUCCACAUUUAUAUAAUUUGGUGAACUAAAUAUAUACGGUGCAUUUGUUUUGUUAUUUCAUUUGGUUUUUAUCUUAUAUAGUUCUAAAAUUAAACAUGUUUGGUGAAAAAUUCCUAGAGCACGUCAUGCGUGGUAUAAGUCGUCACCAUUAAAUCUCAUGUACUUUAGAAAGACAAUAACAUAUUUUAAAAUUCAUUUUCAGUUUAUUCCAAAAAAAAAAAAAAUUGAAAAAUCAAGUUAUGUAUUUUUAUUGAGACUUUAAAAGUUAAAUUUAAAAACUAUAAAAUUCGUUGUGUAUUUUUUUUAGAUGUCUAAACUUGCGGAAAGUAAAUAUUUACACAUACGAUAGUAACUAUUAUUUAAAAUAUAAAUAGAAAGUAAUUAUGGAUAAUCAUUCAUCUGGCAUCUAUAUAAUAGGCAAAAACGCUAACAUUGGGGAUUUGUAUACAAGUAUACAUUAAUUCUAUAAAUGCACAAACGUGACAAAUCCCACGUAAAAAGUAAAAACUUUUGAGUUGAUUCUUUGAAAGUUAUAUUUGGUGAGCUGAAAAAGAAAGAUACGUGGCGAAAACAUACUUUUUGAUUUGAUUUCUUGAACGAAAACAUAGUUUUUGAUUUGAUUUCUUGAACAUCAUACUAUAAUAUGAAUAACUUAACUCAAACAACAACUAGGCAAAUUGCAACUUUUUUUCCACCUUUUUAAUAAAUAGUGUUGAACCAAGGGUUCACACAAUGAAUUUAUUAAGGAAAGGAGAAUAAAUUCACUUUAAACAAUCUCUCAAGAACUCGAAUUGAAACGGAUUAAAAAGAAUUGAUUUAACAUAGAAAUGAACGAUUUAGGGUUUGCUCAAGAACAAGUAAGGAACUAGGGUUUUUGUUAUUAAAUGAUCGAUGCCCUAGAAUAGAGACAUCUUCUCUAUUUAUACAAGUGAUUUAGGGUUACAAUAAAUGCUCCUUUUCCUUAGAUUUUCAGAAGAUAUUGUCAUAAAUAUUCGAUUAGGGUUUUCGAAACCCUAAUGAUCCGAGGUCGUCUAUUCCAUUUUAGGAAUGAAGCACCCUUUGCAUUAAUUGGACAAUAAACCGGGAUUCCCUGACUUAUUGGUUUAAUUCGAUUCCGUCUUGGUUUAGGCCGGUAUGUCGUUGGUGCUAAUUCCUACACCAACAAUAAGUCCCCCCCAGUUCGAUGGGUCAAAUGUUCAUUCGAAUUAUGGAACUCCUAAUUAUGCCUGACCUAAGUUAAGAGGGAAACGAAUCAAAUAUAUCCGAAUCGUCGCCUAUCUCGGAAACGUUGCCACGCGUCAUUCAUCUGUGGAGCGGCAUGUAGGUCGGAAGUCGAAGCGUCGCCUAGGUCAUCAUUAUUUUUUCGUAGGUCUGUCUCCCGCUCGUUUCUAUAAAUACUCGUUCAAUGCCUUUCAUUUUCCUCAUUUCCGCUUUUCUGCUCAAAAGGUAAAAUUUCGCUCUGCCCUCUCUCCUCUUUUUCUUUUAACUUAGCGCCGCCGACUUUAAAUUCUGUACGAGAUGUACAAAGGGAUACAUCUGUCUGUACGAGAUGUACUUUACCCGCUGCCGCCUGCGGUUUCCUCUGCCCGAACUCUUGUCCCAAUAUACUCAUCGCCGUAAACUGGCGAUCUCUCAGCUCGCUCCGGCCAGUAUUUGCAACAUCGUCGGAGUACUGACCCUAGCAUCUGAGGUCGGUACAAGGGUUCCCGUCAUGUGCUUCGAGGAGAUGACGGUAUUGAAGAAAUCCAUGGUCGCCGGCAACUUCACCGUGAACAUGAGGGAGAAACAGAACGUCAUUCCCGGAACCCGAGUCAGCAAUUUCAAAGGCUGGGAAAAACGUUUCUUUUAUGUCCGAGCUGACUACCUCUCACUCGAAAAUCCUUUUGUUGGCUUACGCCGACGAUGGAAUAGUGAUCCGGGUACUUAAUCUACGUUUCUGUUUUGAAUCCCCUUAUCGUUCUGACCUGACUUCUCCUCUUUUGUGCAGAUCGCAUCCGAAAUUUUUCUACGUUCCCACCGGAGUACUCCGACAUUGUGGCAAGCCUGUUUAGCGGGGAGAAUCGAGCGUGGGACCAAUUUAGCCGAAAGCGAGUUGAAGAAGCGAUGGGAAGAAUUCCGAGAAAGUAUCCAAACUUCGCAGAGGAGCUGGCCAAAUCAUCAGGUACUUCGGUAACCGCCCUCCAGGCUCGGGAUGCCGAGCUCGCUGCACCAACAACAACGGCUAUGGAAGUCGCCGUAAUUGAAUCGGCUACCGGAGGAGAGGUCGCCCCUACUGAUCCUUCGAUCGUGGAUCUGGAAGUCGAUGGUGGUGGCGAGGGCGAGGUUCCCGGGCAGGAGGUCGUAACUGCCGAGCAAGAGGUCGCUCUGUCCGAAGGAGACACGGCCGGGAGGAAGAAAAAGAAGAAGAGAGUCGACAAAGGCAAGGGCGUGGCUCUGGAUUCUGGCAACCAAUCGAGCCGUAAGAGGUCGGCCGAAGCAGCUGAUCUAGAGUCUUCUGAUCCUUUCCGAUUAACUCGGAAGGAUUCGAAGACAGACAAAUUCUGCUUUGACUACUUCGGAGAAAGCUCCGUGGCUGGCGAUCGUUAUGCCUCGGCAGAGUUAUGCCGAAAUUUAAAAUUUUCUUCGGAAAUUCUGCCCGAUCUCGACGAGCUGGAGUUCAAGGAGGACUAUCUGAACUAUACUCGAUCCGCGUUGCAGGUUUGUUUAUCGCUCCUUUAUAUCUGUCCUUUAUAUUUUGUGCAUAUUUUAACACAGUUUUUGUCUUUUUUCUAGUCGAUCGCCUAUGGCAACGCUCUCUUCUUCAAAUAUGAAAAGAGGGUGAAGUCGCGCUCUACGGCGAAUCACGCCUUCUUAAUGAUGGAGAAAUGCGCCAAAGAGGCCCAGGACAAAGUGGCCAUGCUGCGGAAGCAAGUGGGAGGCUUGGAGGAACAUGCCAAGGUUCAAGAGGGAGUCGUUGCUUCCUUAGAGGAUACAAUUGCCGGCCUUCGGGCCGAGAAUGCGACUCUUGCUGCGGAGAAGGCGAAAGCCGAUGGCGACCUUCAGCUCCUUCAGCAAUUCUGCGAAUCCGAAUGCUGGCAACUUCGCCUAGAUCGGCAGGCUGUGGUUGAGCGCACGAGGAAGAAGGCCCAAGAUCGCCUAGAUCGGGUGAAGGCAUUCCUGGCCGAGAAAGAGGUCACUGUUCGUCCGAAGGAAGACCUGCCGAACCAGGCUCUUGGGGUCGAGGCUACGAUUGACAGGCUUGUCAAAGAGUGCCAUGCUCAGAUCCCCGAGGAGGAAAUCGCCAAGAUCAAGGCGAACAAAGUCGAGUGUAAGGAGGUUGCAGACGCGCUUGACUAUCUUGUCCUCGACUCUGCUGACCUGAACAUGUCUCCGGACCAGCUCGGCUACGGUCUUCUUCGGCCUGAGGAUCCCGCUCCCAGAUCUAUCCGAGAGCCACAUGGAUCGAAUGCGGCAGCCUUCCAGGCCGACCUUCGAGCUCCUGACACCAAUGAUGACCCUCCUUCAGACCCGGGCAAUCCCGAAGAUGACGUUGAAGUCGUCUAAAGCUCUCUUCUUUUUUUUUUGUUUGAUUGACUCUUGAACUCGAAUGGGCCGCCGGCCCUUUUGUAAUAUAUUUUAUUUUGAAUUUCACUUCUCCGACAGCUUGCGCCUACUUCUUCCAAAAAGCGGAAGUAUUACUUUUUUUUUUGUAUUUCCCUUACCCGUAAAAGUGGAAAUAUGCUUCUUUUUUAGCUUGAAAUUGGUGAUUUUCCUAUAUAGUCUUGCCCCGACUGCCAGUUUUGCUCCAGUAAAAGGCGGGGGUGAUAGGUAUAAAUAGGCUGCCUGAAACUUGCGUCCUCUUUUUCCUACAACUGGUGUCAUGGAGAAAUCUGGUUCGACUAAAAGCGAUGGAUCAUCUCCGUCCGCCGGUGUUGAUAUGCCAACUUUCACUGAGAAAGAAGCUCUUGAUCGUGGGAUGCCCUUGUUCCCGACGUUAAGGGUUCCUAGGACUUUGAUGUCGCGAGUUACUCGACAAGAGAAACUCCGGUUAGAGGAGUUCUUCCAGGCUGUGUAUGAUAAACAUACGCAGUACUUCAAACAAUUUCUCAUUGUUGAUGAGAUUAGAUCGGCCUUCGAUCAUAAGUUGAAACUGCUGGAAUCUCACCCGAGAAACUGGAUUCCCUUUGGGUUCGGGCGCAUAGCUCCGAUGCCGACAAGCCUUUACGCCUACUGCGAGCAAUGUAUGCGGGAUGUUGAGGCUAACCGGAAUGCACCGCCCAUCAUGGGGAUCCCGCGAUGCCUCGAAUUUACACCGUCGGGUGUAAAGGCAUUUCUCAUAGGCACAUUGGCCAGUAAACCCGAAUUAGACGAGGCCGAGGCGUUUGUUAAGAAGGUAUCGGUACCGUUCCGUUUAUGCGGAUGUUGGCAUCAUAUUUGCGGGGGAUUUAAACAACUGUCUUUUGUUUUUGUUAGGUCGGAGGCCUCUAUCAAGAACAAUGCAGGGAUUUGCAAUUCUUUCGCCUGAAGAAAAGAAGGAUCGACCUCUGUUUGGACGCCAGGCUAAAAUCGAAGAGAAGGAAAGCGAUUCUCAGGCUCGACGAGGCGGAGCAGAAGGCUCGGGCGUUGGAGACGGAUCCAACCGAUUGGGAGCGAACUGGCAUACAGCUGCUUUGGCCAAUGCUGAGUCGCCUUCUGCAUGACACGCGUCAGGUCGCCGCUACUGGGGCGAAGGGUCCGUUGAUCGUGGACUAGGCGAUUUAUUUUAUGAUUUUACGCCGAUGUAAUUUUAUUCUGUCGUAACACUAUUGAACCGUUGCAUCCGAUUUCAAAUAAUACUAGCCGUGUUUCUAGGCGUUUUAAUUUAAAUGGGGAUUUCAUGACUCGGCGGGACGCUUCCCGGCUUACAAGUUCACGAUUGGCCAUAGUUAAAUAUAUUCGGAGAUAUCUCUGGGCUCCGAAGUGAGGAAUUUCUUUCCUCGACUAGAGUGUACUUUGUCGGAGGGCGAGAUAUAUCUUUGGACUCGGCUUACCUCCUUUGGUGCCGGUUCGGAUAUGGGUUGCGAAAGAUUGACUUCUCUGGGUCGGCUGACUGUCCCACCCGAACACGGGACCUUUAGGUGCGAAACAUUAAUCUCUGAGUUCGGCUUACGAGCGCCGACCACCUGGCCAGGGUGUCGGGGAUGCAUACAUGUAUUUAUUUAUUAUAUAUAUAUAUAUAUAUAUAUAUAUAUAUAUAUAUAUAUAUAUAUUUUUUUUUUUUUUUUUUGACGAAUGCUGCGAAAGAGUGAUUUGACGGGUCGUCACUCUGAGCCAUCUUGAGAUUCGUGAACGCUUGGUCCCAAUUGACAUGGUGAUGCGUGCCCCUUCAGUGUAUGGUCAUUCGGAAGAGGUUGGUUGGGAAAUAGCUGGCAUUUAAUGCGGUUUCCGGCUAUAAAUAUCCCGCUUUUGGUAUCCAUUUUAUUAUCACUCAGCGAUUCCCUCAAUGGCCGGAUCUUCUAGAGGGGCUGCUAACGAUCCCUUUCUCCGCGGAGGUCGCCGUCGGGUAGAACAACUUAAUGAAGAUGAGACCAAGGCGGAGGUUUACAAGGCCCGAAUUUGCAGGCUAAGCAUGCACAUCCGGUCACUUUGGGAGCGUCAAAAUCCUAAGGCCGACCUCGAACGAUAUCUCGGGGUUGAGGAGUUCAUAGAGAAAUCCGUUUUGGAGCAUGGCCUCAACGAUAUCCUUCGAGAAUGUGCGCUGUCAUCGGGUCAGUUCUACUACCUACAAUCCUCUCUUGAACGUAUCAAAGUCUCGUGGCUUCGAGAAGGAGACCUUGAUUCGUUUGAUGGGCCUCUCGUUGCGAGCCGGAUGCGUAGCGAAGAACUGGAGGGAUAUCGCGCUCGCAUUGCUCGGUUGUGCGACUAUAUUGUCGCGUUCAAUAGUGCGGCCGAAGUCGCUCAUCAAAGGGUUCGUGCAGAAGGUGUUGAGAGUUUCCUUCUGCUGAUGGUUUCUGAGGGGGUGCCGAUCAGAAGAAAGAUCCUCAAACUGGCGAGGCAGGCAAGUUCCUUCUGGGCCGAAGAGGAGGCGAAGUAUCCUCUUCCGCAGUUGGACGACGGCGACACCGACCUGUUUCCCGAAUUCGUCGAUUUGGGGGGCUAAGUCGGUCGCUUUGGCUAGUGGCCAUUAUGAGCUUCUUCUUCUCCCUUUUUUAUUAAUGCUUUUUUUUGUUUUGGCUCAAGAGUGUAUUUGCCCAAGAGUGUAUUUGCCCAAGAGUGUAUUCUGUUUGUAACAAACUUUAUCAAAUAAAACGGGAUCGUUAACGACAAUCGCGCGUUCACUAUUAUUUAUUUUUUUGUUUGCUAGCUGCACCAUGUAUCAUGGUUUCCUACGUACCUCUUUCGAGGAUCAAGCCAAUCGUAGUUCACAGUACAUCAAAUGAAAGACUCGGAUUCCCGAGCGAGGCAUCCAUCUGCCUUUGUGGUCGGAUUCCCGACCUAAUAGUAGAACCUUUUGAGGUGGGCCGCGUUCCCGAAGUGUUGCACUCGCUUUCCUUCCAUGGUCGAUAGUUCAUAGACGCCUGGGUGAACUCGCCGUGCGACGAUAUAGGGGCCCUCCCAUUUUGCUCCGAGCUUCCCGGCGUUGAGCUCUUUGGUGUUUUCGAAAACUUCUCGCAGAACCAGGUCGCCCUCAUUAAAACGGCGUUCCCGGACGGUCUUGUUAUAAUAUUUUGCUGCCGAGUUCUGGUAGUUUUGUAUACGGAUCAUUGCUUGAUCUCGUAGUUCCUCACUNNNNNNNNNNNNNNNNNNNNNNNNNNNNNNNNNNNNNNNNNNNNNNNNNNNNNNNNNNNNNNNNNNNNNNNNNNNNNNNNNNNNNNNNNNNNNNNNNNNNGGUAUUCCGACCUCCGAAUGCGCCAUUGCUUCAACACCGUAAGCUAAGGCGAACGGCGAGAAUCCGGUAGCGCGUCGAGGAGUUGUGCGAUGCGACCAUAAUACUCCGUCGAGUUCGUCGGCCCAAAGUCCCUUUUUCCGACCUAACCUUUUCUUGAUGCCAUCGAGGAUAGUUUUGUUGGUAGCCUCAGCCUGGCCGUUUCCUUGAGGGUAUCGCAGGGUUGAGGUACUGAGUUUGAUGUGCCAUUUUCUGAAGAACCGCUUGGUUAGGUAAGAAGUGAAUUGGGAUCCGUUAUCUGUGACGAUCUCAUAGGGAAUACCGUGUCGGCAGAUAAUGUACUUCCAGAUGAAUCCGGUUACGUCGCCCGACUUGACCUGACUGAACGAUUCCGCUUCUACCCAUUUGGUGAAAAAGUCGGUGAGCACCAGCAAAAAUCUUUUAGUGCGGCAAGGAGGAAACGGUCCGACGAUGUCCAUGGCCCAUCGCAUGAAGGGUAGGGUGCUGUCACGGGAGAAAGCGCUUCGGGAGGUACGUGUUUUAAAGUGGCGUGCCUUUGACAAGCUUCGCACUUUUGGGCGAAUGCCUCGCAGUCGGCGAGCAUAGUUGGCCAAAAAUGGCCGUCUUUCUUUAUUUUUAGGGCCAACGCGCGUCCACCUGAAUGGUUCCCGCCGUCUCCUUCGUGGACCUCGCCCAUAACCCUUUCGCUUUCGUCUCGAUCGACGUAGGUAAGGAAGGUUCCGUUAGAACUUCUCCGGAGAAGUUCUCCAUCGGUCAGAAUGUAAUUGGCACAUCGGGCUUUUAGUCGUCGAGCUUGCCACCGGUCUUCAGGAACCUGACCGCUUUGUAUGUAGAGUUUGAUCUCUUCCCGCCAAUCGACCGGGGGGGCUUCUUCCUCAUGAGGCUCGUUCUCAACCGGAUCGAUCUCCAUUUGGACCAAGUCGUUCAUGAUGAGGUUGAUCUCAUGAGGUUGAGCGAUGCUUGGCAGAUCGAUACUUUCGAUGGGGAUGGAUCGGCGGAGGUCUGGAUUUGCGUUUGAAGCUAAGGCGGCGAGGGCGUCGGCCGAAGUGUUGUCGCUACGUGGAAUUUUUGUGAGGGAAAAGCUAUCGAAUUCGGCUGUGGCGGAUCGGACUAACGCCAGGUAAGAACUCAUCCGCUCGUUCUUGGUGUCGAAUUCUCCGCUGAAUUGGCUUACGACCAGUUGUGAAUCGCAAAAUGCCUGGAUAUGUUUUAUUCCGAUGCCCCUAGCAAGUCGUAUUCCUGCGAGCAAAGCUUCGUACUCGGCCUCGUUAUUGGAUGCUUUGAAACCGAGUUUCAACGAUUGUUUCAGAACCUCGCCUGUCGGUGAUCGCAAGAGGAUUCCUACUCCGGAUCCUUGGUUGCAAGAAGAUCCGUCGACAUAGAGGGUCCAGCUUUCGAUUUUUGGUGCGUCCUCCACGAGUUCUGGGGCGAGCUCGACCAUAAAGUCCGCUAAAACCUGUACUUUCAGACUGGGACGAUAGCGGUACUCAAUAUCGUAUUCGCUUAGUUCGAUGGCCCAUUUAGCCAUUCUUCCUGACUGCAUGGGGCUGUGUAGCACUGUCCGAAGUGGUUGAUCGGUAUAGAUGACGAUCGCGUGUGAUUGGAAAUACGGACGCAACUUCCGGGCGGCGACGAUGACGGCCAAGGCGAACUUCUCUAACGUUGGGUAGCGUGUUUCGGCAUCGUUCAAGGAUUUGCUGACGUAGAGAACAUGCCUCUGUUCGCUGCGAUCGUCUCGGACUAAGACGCCGCUUACUGCUGUGCUAGAGAUCGAAACGUAGAGGUAUAAGACCUCGCCGUUCUUAGGUUUUACUAGGAUGGGGUGGCUGGUUAAAUAUGUGUUCAACUCUUGAAAAGCCGCUUCGCAUCGCUCGUCCCAAUGAAAAUCUCGAUUUCCUCGGAGUAGUUGGUAGAAGGGAAGGCAUCUGUCUGUCGAUCUUGCGAUGAAGCGAUUGAGAGCUGCAAUCCGACCUGUCAAACGUUGAACCUCGCGUUUGUUAGUUGGGGAAGGGAGCUCCAAAACCGCCGUUAUCUGCUUUGGGUUGGCCUCGAUCCCGCGUUCGGUCACGAUGUACCCCAGAAACUCCCCGGAUGUCACUCCAAAUGUGCACUUAGUUGGGUUUAGCUUCAUCCGGUAUUUGUUGAGAAGGUCGAAAGAUUCCGUGAGAUGAUGGACGUGAUCUUCUGCCGUUAACGACUUUACCAGCAUGUUGUCAAUAUACACCUCCAUUGUUCGUCCUAGGAGAUCGGCGAACAUUCGGUUUACGAGGCGUUGAUAGGUUGCUCCCGCAUUUUUUAAAUCGAAGGGCAUGACUUUGUAGCAAUAUGUCCCCCUAUCCGUAAUGAAGGACGUUUUCUCGCGGUCAGCAACGUGCAUCAUAAUCUGGUUAUAACCUAAGUAGGCGUCCAUAAAUGAUAACAACUGAUUCCCCGAAGUUGCUUCUACCAGGCGAUUUAUGUGUGGGAGCGGGAAAAAGUUCUUGGGACAGGCUUUGUUCAGGUCGGUAAAAUCUACGCACGUUCUCCAUUUACCGUUUUUCUUUUUGACGACAACCGGGUUCGCCAGCCACUCCGGGUAUUGUACCUCCAUGAUAAGGUCCGCCUUUAACAGUCGUUGUACCUCGUCUUGAACUGCCUGAGCUCGUUCGUUGCCCAGCCUGCGCCUUUUCUGGCGAACUGGUUUGAAAGUGGGGUCCACGUUGAGCUUGUGACAAGCUACUUCGGAAUCUACUCCGAUCAUAUCCCUAGUUGACCAUGCGAACGUGGACGAUCUCGUCCUUAGGAAAGCUACCAGCUCCUGCUUGAUCGGGUCAUCUAGCAUGGCUCCAACGCCCACUGUUCGGGAGGGAUCGGAUUCGUCGAUAUUGACCUGGAUCACCUGGAAACUCGGAGAUUGGAGGGAUGCGCGCGCCAGUUUUUGGAGAACGUCGCUGCAUUCUCCGCUCUGUAAUUGCUAUGCGAGGUCGUCCCUUCUCUGCUUCUUUUCGAUAAUGCAGCAGUUUCGUGAAAUUUUUUGGUCGCCAUACAAGAUGUAGAUUCCGGUUGCCGUAGGAAACUUCACGCACAGAUGAUAAAUAGAAGGAAUGGCUCUCAUGGCAUAAAUCCAAGGGGAGCCGAGUAUCGCAUUAUAGAUUAGUGGGGCGUCAACUACCGUGAACUUGAGCUUUUUUGCCACUCCUCCAACCUUCACUUCGAUUUUGAUAUCCACCAUCGCGAGACGGGUCGUACCAUCGUAACCGGUUAGCGUUCGAGCUUUCGGUUUUAUUUCGGAUUCUGAGAUCCCCAUCUUGGCUAGGGUGCCUAAGAAUAGCACGUUGACGGUACUGCCGGUAUCGACUAAAACGCGCUCCACAUCGUAAUUACCCAUGGUUACUUCCACGACUAUGGAGUCAUUAUAGGGGUGUUGUAUUCCCUUGGCAUCGUCGGAAGAGAAUGUGAUAAGUUCGCCAGCUGGCACUAAGUCUUCCGGUGCGACAUGCAAGCUGCACACCUGUCUGGCUCUUUUUUUGAGUGCCCGGACCGAAUCGUUGCAGUCCUCAGGCGUCCCCAGUAUCAUGGUUAUCCGUCCGUGAGCCGGUGAGCCAGCACGCUGCGGUCGUUGCCCUCUCUGUCUUUUCGGUGGUCCCGGCAGUUCUCCCUCUUCAUCGUUAUGCCGGUCGGGACUUCGCCUCUCAUCAGACCGAUCUCGCCGAUCGGGGCCGUCAUCUCGGUAUUGUCGUGUCCCUUGGCCUCGGCCUCGACCACGCCCGCGCCUUCCGUCUGGUCGUUGUCCUCUGUAUUCUUUGGGUUGGAAUACCGCUUCUAUUUCGCCGGACUUGUAUUUAUCGAGGAGAUAGUUAGAGAGAUGCUUGCACUCUUCGGUUGAAUGUCCGACGAACUUAUGGAAAGUGCAGUACGCUUCUUUGGACGACGUUUUUUGGUUACUGGCUUCUUCUGAGAUCGCACUAAUUGCGCCGCGCGAAGCGUCCUUUCCCUCAUAGUGCUUACGUGGUUCCCGGUAGUCUUCACGUUUUCGGUCUCGGGGUGCAGGACGGUUUGCCCCAGACUUCGCCGCUAGUUUGGCAUCUUCUUCUUCAAAAAGUGCGUAUCUGGACGCACAAUGUAGUGCGUCGUCGAGAUCUUUCGGCUCACGGAUGGCCAAGUCUUUUCGCAGGGACGAUCCUGGAACGAGCCCCUUGCGAAAUGCGGCCAAAGCGGCAUCCUCAGGGACUGAAACUUUGGCCAGCAAAUUUUUGAAUCGUACCAAGUACUGCUGCAGAGUUUCGCCGGCUUCCUGAGUUGUGUCCCAGAAAUCGAUGCUGGAUGCUCCGGGUUGUAUGAAAUGUCGGUAAUGCCGGAGGAACGAGGUCGAUAGCUGGGCGAAAUUAUCGAUCGAAUUCGUGCUAAGCCGAGAAAACCAGGUGAGUGCAUUGCCUGUCAGACUUUCAACGAAUAACUGGCAAUGCCCUGUAUCCUUCUCCUCGUCGGAGAAGUGUGCUUUUGUGACUGCGGCCAUGAACGCCGUCAUAAAGGUGCGUGGAUCCUUAUCCCCGUCGUACGUCGGCAGCCUGAAUUUGAUAUGCGGAAUUCGGGCUUGAGUGAUGCGGCUCGUGAAGGGAGUUCGCUGUGUCUCUUCGAACAUACGGUCGAUUUCAGGGGCUGAGCUGGAGACCCGAUGGACCUGAGAGUUUAUGUCGGCUAUCCUUGCGUACAAAUCUUCCAGAUCCUGAUUUCGACCGGAGCUGGGCGCGUCCGCAGGUUGGCUGGACGCUGUUACCAAUGCUCGGGGUUGAGUCCCGGUUGGCGUAGGUCUUACGCACGAGCGGCCAACUGGCACUGGAGGACGUACCGUGCAUCCUCCGACCGGACCGGGGGCGAGGACGUCGAGACUUAUGUCUUGCCCGUUAGAUUCCGGCGUACGAUUGCGAAUGAUCGUAUCCAUCAGGUGGUCGGCCGCCGCGAUUCGGUCGUAGAUGUCUUUCGUCAUACUUCCGAACACUAUGCGCAGGUCGUCCAUGGAUACGGUUUGCUGAACGGGUGGGCACGCUGGAGCGACCUGAGCGAGUUGUGGCUCGUCCGUGGGCUGACCUUCGGACCUUCGAGGGGCGGUCGUAUUGCCUUCCACUUCGCUAGUUUGAGGACGCUCGGUGGUUUCGAUUGGUGCAGGGAGAUCCAUUUGACGGACUUCUUCCUCGAUCCUUUCGUUGAAGGUCGAGUCGUUAGUAAGGGGCUCUUCGUCGGGCUCCUCGUUUGGACGUGAGUCAACAGGGCCGAGUUGCUGAGACAUCUCAAGGUGGAUUGUUUCGUUAACCGAGUUGAGAGAAGUGUUACUUUUGAAAAUGCUUUCUAGAAAGGAAAAAAUUCCUCCCCUCCUUCUAGCGCCAAUUGUUGAACCAAGAGUUCACACAAUGAAUUUAUUAAGGAAAGGAGAAUAAAUUCACUUUGAACAAUCUCUCAAGAACUCGAAUUGAAACGGAUUAAAAAGAAUUGAUUUGACCUAGAAAUGAACGAUUUAGGGUUUGCUCAAGAACAAGUGAGGAACUAGGGUUUUUGUUAUUAAAUGAUCGAUGCCCUAGAAUAGAGACAUCUUCUCUAUUUAUACAAGGGAUUUAGGGUUACAAUAAAUGCUCCUUUUCCUUAGAUUUUCAGAAGAUAUUGUCAUAAAUAUUCGAUUAGGGUUUUCGAAACCCUAAUGAUCUGAGGUCGUCUAUUCCAUUUUAGGAAUGAAACACCCUUUGCAUUAAUUGGACAAUAAACCGGGAUUCCCCAACUUAUUGGUUUAAUUCGAUUCCGUCUUGGUUUAGGCCGGUAUGUCGUUGGUGCUAAUUCCUACACCAACAAAUAGGCACAUCUAUAUAUAUAGUCACUAUCAAAAAUCAAAAACGAAACGAGAGAUUAAAUGAAGUUGUUGGGUAAGAAAUGAAUUCAACGCACAGAUUCAAGAUCUUUUAUCCAAAGAUUUUUUGGCUUAAAGGUUGAAAUUGAUCAGAACUUUAGAUUAAUUAGUCCGAACCUUGACAUACACAUAAUGUGACAAAUUAACAAGACGACAGAUCAAUCAUUCAGGUUAAUGAUUAAAGGAUAAAUAUAUACUGGAAGAAGAGGAAGAGAAAUUGAAAGUGAUAUAGUGUAUAUUAGUUGGGAUACAUUUGGCCGACACAGCCAGAAAGAUAAGUUUGGGGACUUUCCGAUACAAUUGAUAACUUGGGUAGGUUAGAUCAUAUAUCAUCAUAUGGGCAGGUCUUAUUUGUCUUUACUUUAUUCAAAAGUUUCACCCAAAAGAAAAAAAAAAACCCAUAAUCCUUUAUUUGAACCAUGUGAACACAUUUCGAUUUUCCAAAAUCUAUAAAUCUUAGUUGAUCAAAGUAACUCUUUUUAUUGCCAAAACUAUAUAUCUCAACAUUAAACCGCAAAAAAAAAAAAACUAGAUAUAAUGAACUAUUAGAACAUUACUCAAAUUUGAGUAAUAUUAAUAAAGUUAUUAUGGAUUUAUAUAAAGAUUUAUAUUUUCUAACCAAUAUUAUAUUAAGUUAAAAAUGAUCAGCUCUACACAUAGUGUAUGUUAGUUCAAUCUUAGUCAGCAGUAAUAUCUAGUACUGUCUAAAGAAUUAUGUAUGUAUAUAAUUUAUCAUAACUUAAGUAACAAUUGAAUUCAUACUGACUUAUAUACAUAUAUAUGCACUUAAUUAAGCAUUAUUAGCACUGUUUCUGAUAUUAUAAAGAGAAAAACUAUCGUGGUGUCAUAAUUGAGAAUUGUAGGUGUUUUGUUGAAGUUAGGGAUCAAAUUUUUCAUUUUUAGAAAUUUAUGUAGGGUUAAUAAAAAGGUAGAAUUUAGAUGAUUUUGAAAUUAGUCUGCAGUCCUAUUUGCUUACAAAAGUAUUGUGAUGUAUUUAAUAAUUUUAAAGGAGAAAAAACAUUGUAAGUGGGAGGAAAGUGAUGGACACAUUUUAGCAUGAAACCGAGACCAUCAAAAUUGGCCAAACUAUUUGUUGGUAUGAUUAUAUGUGGCAUAAUGAUAAAGGUCUUGAAAAUAUUGGGACACGUUUUUGUUCUUUUUUAUUUUUGUGUGUGGAAAAUACAUCUAAGAAUAACAUCUUCAUAUGUGUGCACAUUCAUAUUAUGUGGUUAGUUAGUUAAAUACGAGUCUCAAAAUGUAAUUUCUUCGUAGUUGAUGAAUGUAGUAGUUUUUGAUCAAGCGUUUUUAAAUAUUAAUACAAUCCUCUAACUACACAAUUUUUUUAUUUAUUUAAGUGGUUACACAAACUUAUAUAUAUAACUCUGCUAGUGUAUUUUAGAGAUGAGUUAUAUAAAUCUGAUGUAGCCAAAGCCACUAAAGGAUGUCAAAGUCUACGUACUCGGUGAGCUUGUUGAUUUAAUAUGUGUAGUUAGUUUUAUGCCGUUAAUUGUUUUCAAUUAAUUUAAACGAUAUUUCUCCAAUUUAGUUCUUUUAAAAAUAUCAUAAGUGAGAUAAAUACUAGUACAUAACUGCCACUGAUUUACUAGAUUUGAUUGAGCAUUAAACGAAACAAAAACAUAUAUACAUUUUUGGAUGGGUGAAACUAAUGGUAGUUAAAUAACUCAAUGACAUCCAUAAAAGCCAUUUUUCAUAGAGAAUCGUAUCCUUAGAACAAAAGAAAAUACUUGGUAUCAGAGUCCACUAUGUCCUAAACAUUGUCUUUGUACAUAGCCUCUAGAUUUCAUAGUCCACUAUGCCCUAAACUCUAUCACUAGAGAGAGAAGACACAUAUUUAUAUAUCAUAAACAAUUUUUAGCAUUAGAGAACAAAGGUCCAAACGGAAAAUACAAGAAAACCAAACUUCAAACUUAGUGUAAAGCUAGCUUGACAUCUUCCUCUUAGCAGCAAUAAGACCAAGUUUUUCUUCGAACCUAACUCUGACACUGAGUUUGUGACAUGUGGGGUGACGGAGGAGAGGAUUUUCAUAUAUGAGGAUACAAUUUUUUUUAAUUUUACGAGUUACAAACCCAAUGAAAGUAAAUUGAAGUCAUGUGGAGGAGCAGAUAGAUUAGUUGAAUGUUAUGUGGCAAAAACCGUCUUGUGUGAUUGAUGAUAUGUUGUUUUAUGUUAAUCUUUAUGAGUCAAGAGUUACACAAAGGAGUCUAAAGAUGGUUGGAAAACUGAUGAUUUUUGGCACUGAUCAGAGACGGUAUAGUAUGUAGAAAGUGUAUUUCAUAUAUUCCCAAUAGUAUUGUACAUGAUUUAUAUAUACACAGAGAGGAGAGGAGAGUCUAGGUUAAGCUAGUUAAAGAACAUUCCUAAAGUAUACAAAUCAAAUAUUAUGAUAUAAAUGAGAAUCACUGUCAUAUCUCUUACACGCCCCCUCAAGAUGGAGGAGCACUUGUUACUCCAAUCUUGCAACGAAGAAGAAUGAACCGGGCACGGGAAAGUGGUUUCGUCAAGGCGUCUGCCAGUUGGUCUUGUGUGUUAACAUGAGCGACUCGUAAAGCGCCUUGUUGAACCUGCCCGCGAACAAAAUGGUAGUCUAUCGCUAUGUGUUUCAUCCGGGAGUGGAAAACGGGAUUUGCACAGAGAAACGUCGCACCAACGUUGUCACAAUACACUACCGGUGGAACAGGAAGAGUGAGGCCUAGUUCAGAGAGAAUGUUGCAUAUCCAACUGAGUUCAGAUGCCACAUUCGCAACAGCUCUAUAUUCAGCCUCUGUGGAGGACCGUGCAACGCCCUUUUGUUUCUUUGCUGUCCACGAGAUAGGGUGUUGACCAAGAUAGACAAUGUAAGAGUUGGUUGAGACGUAAUCAUCAGAGUCCCCAGCCCAGUCUGCAUCUGAGUAUGCGUGAAGUCUCAUCCGGUUGUUUGCUGAGAAGAAAAUGCCAUGUGUCGGUGUCCCUGCAAGGUAGCGUAAGAUGCGUUUGGCAGCUUGCCAGUGUGCUUCUGUUGGACGAUGCAUAAACUGGGAUAAACGAUUGACGGCAUACGCAAUAUCCAAACGUGUGAAAGCGAGAUACUGCAAGCUUCCAACUAGUUGACGAUACUGUAAAGGCUGAGACAGAGGAGUACCGGCAUUUAGAGUCAAUUUUGGUGACGACGCCAUGGGUGUUGUCACAGGUUUGGCAUUCGUCAUGCCAUGUCGAUGCAAGAGAUCAAGGAUGUACUUGCGUUGAGAGAGAUGAAGACCAGCAGAAGUGCGACGUGCUUCAAUGCCCAAAAAAUAGUUGAGGUCUUCGGCAUCCUUUACAGAGAACCGCUCAGCUAGAAGGUGAAGUAUUCGCUGGAUGCCUUGUUUGUUGUUCCCUGUGAUGAGGAUGUCAUCUACGUAGACUAGAAGGUAGAUAAACACAUUGCCAACUUUGAGAACAAAUAGGGAUGUAUCAGACAAUGAAUUUUGAAAACCAAGGCUGAGAAGGAAGUUUCGUAAUUCAGUGUACCAAGGCUCUGAUACCAUGUAGAAAGUGUAUUUCAUAUAUUCCCAAUAGUAUUGUACAUGAUUUAUAUAUACACAGAGAGGAGAGGAGAGUCUAGGUUAAGCUAGUUAAAGAACAUUCCUAAAGUAUACAAAUCAAAUAUUAUGAUAUAAAUGAGAAUCACUGUCAUAUCUCUUACAUAGUAAACAUAUAUGAUGGGAAGAUUCUGGUACGUAGAGAUUUGCAUUGGAAAUAAAGGAAGGAGGCGUGGGACUUGCGGGAGAAAGUUGAAUAAGUCAGGGUUUGUGCUUACACCACACUUCCGUUGAGCUUUGUAUAUGUUCUUUUGAUGAAGAAAUCAGUUUUUUUAGACUUGUCCUCUAGCCUCAACACUUAGUUAAACUUUUAUGAACUUGCAGGUUAAGGGUCUACAGCUUAUUAAGUCUGGAAAAAAAGACCAUCUCAUCAUUGUCUUAAAUUUUGCAGAUAUGUGUGUAGAAACAGAUUUAAAAAGAGGUAAUUUGGAUUACCUCAAUUCGGCUACCACAAGAGGCAUGAUUCUCUGUGAUAGACUUCCCCGAACCGAUGUGAAUCCCCACUUUUGAGUGAAGAUCCUAUUACACGACAGAGUUGAUACUCUGUCGGAAUUUCCAACGAGUGACUCGUUGGUCUCAUCCCAAGACUACGCUGGUCUUGUGUCCGACGGUUUAGACAGAGUUGAAACUCUGCAAUUAGCUUCCUCCACGGAUCACUCGAUUGAAGGCAAGUUGAGAGGAAAUACUUCCCUUCUCACAGUUGGGGUACCAAUAUCGCCUCUCGAACCAUGGUGAGACUCCAAUACCAUGCUGAGUCACCCACCACUUUAGCCGUUCGAGUAUUGGUGACCUUUCCUCUAUUUAAUACCUACUUAAUCAUUAAUCACAAACCUUAAUUCCGGUUUUAGUCCGGUUAUCUAUUUAAGAUUUUCCAUAACCAGUAAAAAAACGUCACGGUUCAAUCCGGUUGAUUGUUUAGCCACGCACGCACAUGUAAGUUUUGUGAGUCCCUCCGUAUCAUUUAUAUAGCGCUCUGCUGCAUUGUUUUUAAGGUUAUAAAUAAAAUAGAAACAGAAGCAACUCAAAUUACUUCGAUUAGGCUAACACUAAAGGCAUGAUUCUUUGUGAUAAUUUACCAUGAUAGUACCAGUAUUAUUCGAAACCUUGUAGGACUCUCGAUCAUGCUGAGCCACUACCACUUUACUGAGCCCAAAUAGGUGAUAGUUUCUCUAUUUUACUACCACUUAAAACGUUUCUAACACGUAAACAAAACCCACAACAAGCCAACCUGGAACAAUUUAGGUUUUUUUUUUUUUUUGGACCAACUAAGAUUUCAUUAGAACUUAACCACGAGGUGUCUCCAGAUUCGGAGGUUACAAAAGGUUACUCGGAGCCAAACAAACAACUUCUAUGACCCCAGGGGCGGACCCACAUGUCAUAUGGUGGGGGCAGCUGCCACCAGCAAAAAAAAAAAAAAAAAAUACAUUAAAAAAUUAUUAAAAAUUAGAAAAAAAAAAUCUGACCCCACUAAAAUUGUUCUUCCUUCUUUUUUUGUCCCCACCGAACAAAAGCCCAAUAUCAAGUUAUCAACCCAUAUAGCAAACAAAAAUAUUAAUAUAUAAACCUAAAAUAACUAACUUAAUAAAUUAAAGACCUAAACCUAGUUUGUUGUUAUUUUUUCUCCUAUUCUUUUCUCCUCUGGUUUUUUUUGCUGUACACGACGAUUAACAAGUGCAAGUCAACAAAUAUCAAUUGGUGAGUCUUUUUCCUGCUUUUUAUAGAAAUUAUUAUAGUGUGAUGUGACAUUAUUACUGUAGGUUUUCUAAAUUUUUAACUAAUAACAUGUUUUUGUUUUAUAGCUAAAUCACCAAUAUGAAAAAAUUUUACAAACCAAUUCCUAAACCAACGCCACACUCCAAUAUCGAUGAUCAACCACGGGAUCCAGCUAACACCAAUGUUGAUGAUCAACCACUGGAUCCAGCUAACACCAAUGUCGAUGAUCAACCAUUGGAUCCAGAUAACACCAAUGUCGAUGAUCUGCCUUGGGAUCCAGCUAAGAGAAAAGAGAUAGUGAGUUAUCACUUUUGAUUGUGUGUUCUAUAUGCAACUUAUGCUACUUAUUUUGGGAUUAACUGAGAAUUUGUCAAUGGCUUUGCAAAGGAAAGACCAAGAUAUUUUGAAUGCCAUGUCAUUGGUGGAAUCUACUAAGAGAGAAUUACAGAAGCUUAUAGAUGAUGGAUGGGAUUCACUUAUGAAUAAAGUUUCAUCUUUUUGUGAGAAACAUAAUGCUGAACUGCUUGUCAUGGAAGACGUUUUUGUAGAUCCAAGGAAACCAAGAAGAAAAACCAAUAUAACCAACCUACAUCAUUAUAAGGUUAACUGCUUCUACACUACAGCUUCAGGAGUUCAAUGAUCGUUUUACGGAGGUAAACACUGAUCUACUUAUUUGUAUGGCUUCUUUAAGUCCUCUUGAUUCAUUCCAAGAAUUUAACAGAGAAAAAUUGGUGAGGUUGGCUAAGUUUUAUCCAGAUGACUUCAGCUAUGGGGAGGUUUUGUCUCUUGAGCAGCAUCUUGAUAUCUACAUUGACAAUGUGAGCAGAGAUGAACAAUUUAAGAGUCUGAAAAGUCUUGGAGAGCUUUCCCGUUUGAUGGUGAAAACCCAAAAACAUCUUGCACAUCCCUUGGUUUAUAGGCUUUUGAAAUUAGUUCUAACUUUACCAGUUGCUACAGCAAGUGUUGAGAGAUGUUUUUCUGCAAUGAAAUUGGUGAAGACAGCUGCACGGAAUAGAAUUGGAGACCAAUUUCUAAGUGAUUGUCUUGUUUGCUAUAUUGAAAAAGAAUUAUUUGAAGCGGUCACAAAUGAAAAUGUGAUAAAAAGGUUUCAAUUGUUAAAUGAGCGUCGGGUAGUUUUGUAAGAUGUUUUAAAAGUUUUAUAUGACAAUUUUAUGUUUUUCAAUAAUUUAGUAUUUGAUGGUUUUUACUAUUUUUUUGCCCCCGUUGAAUAAAUUUUCUAGAUCCGCCCCUAUAUGACCCACAACAUGGCCAAGUAAAUACAGAGAAAGUUAAAACAACAACCAUUGAACAAACAAAAACAUAUAGGGAUAAGUGAGAGCUUACCAACUCAACCAAAGAAGCGUACAAACAUAAGCUACCGGGAGGGAAAUCACCCGAAGAGAAUUUCAAGAUAAACUUCAGAUAAUAGAGGGUAUUCUAUUGCUUUCAAAGAGAUCUUCAAGCAAAGUCCGGACAUUGAUUCUACUGUCCAACCUACUGAACUAGUUCAUGUACUAAUCCUCCCAGAAGAUCCCAUGACACGUUUAAAGUCUAAAUAGUUUAGAAAGAGGUUCAACUUUGAUGUACAAAGACAUUGUGACUAAAUUAAGAACACAUUUCCAAAUGAUGAGACUUGUGAGUCCAUAAUCUAAUCAACAGAUCAAAAAAUCUGUAAAUUAAAGAAGUCAAAACGCAAAACCAGACGCAAAUCUGGUAAAAUUUAGGUCUAUGCGAUAAAAAUUACUCAUAUAUAUAUAUAUAUAUGAACAAGAUUCCACCUUGGAUAUAUUCAGUUAUAAAUUGAACAUGUUCACAUCCUCAUACUUAAAACUUAAAACGUUUUGACAUAAAUAUUUAGUUUCUCUCAAAGUGGAAACCUUAAAUAUUCCUUAAAAAAGUAGGAUAUUUUUUUUCAUUGUUUAUUCGAAGGUAAAACAUUUUCGAUAGAUACAACUUCGCCCUAAUGAUUAAUUCUUACAUAAACUUGACGUUAAAGAUUUCGAAACACAUCUCGACCGACGCAUACUCAGUAUCAAAGUAUGAUCUAGCUCUAUCUUUAACACCUUUGAUGCAUCAACAUGCAAUACUAUAAGUAUUUUGAUUUGUCUUAUGCUCACAUAUAUAAAAAGAGAAAUUUUAGGUAUAAUUAUGUUUUUUAUUUAAUUAUUUUAAAAUUUUGAAACUAUGAAAUGGACUCAGACGUUAAAAUGGGAAGUUUUAGGACUAAAAUAUAUAUUGAUCGUGUCAUUUUAUUAAAUAGGACCAUAGUAAUUCUUCUUUACCUAAUUUAAUUUUCUCUUUAUAAGUUAUCUGUAAAUUGUUGAGAUAGAAUUUUCUCCUCUCCUCCCCCCCCUCAGUUUACGUGAUAAAUGGAAAAAUAUGUGUUACUAGAUUGACUCAUCCAUUUCUUAUACUUUAUAACUUAUAAACUAAGUUUUCAAUAAAAAUCAUCCACCAUGAAACUUAUAAAUAUUUCACCAAUAAUAUCAAUUAAGGAGUAAAAUCAAUGGGAAACAUAUGUUAUUGUAUGAUAAAGUAUCAUUAUAUAAUCAUAACACCAAAAAAAGCUAAUAUAGUACAAAACGCCAGAAAAUUUCAUACAAUAAGAUAUAUCUUGGUAUAAGUAAUAUAUUACUGUUAAUAGAGGAAACUAAGGCCAUGAAUGAAAUGAGAUUUUCAACUGGAUUUUAGCUUUUAGUUUUUGGAUUUUAGUUUUUACUUUCUAAAUAAUUAGUUUUUGGUUUUUGUUAAAAAAAGAUAAAAAAAAAGAAUAACAAACAAAAAUUGCAAAAUGAAAAAAAAUACAUUGACGUUGAAUGAAACCAUCAAAAGGGGUUUUUUUUUUUUUUUAAAUGAGUAAAAAUGAGUAAAAUCUCAUAAAAAGUAGAUCCCAAUUUUUUAGGAAAACCAAUUUUAUAAAAUCUUGAAUGGCAACAAAUUAGAUUAAUAGAAAAACUAAAACCAAAAUCUACCUUAAAACUAGUAACCAUUCAAGGCCUAAAUUAAAAUAUUACUAAUAUUUUAAAAGUGUUAUAUCCAUGUAUAUAAUCUAUCCAUAUAUUACUAUAUAAAUAUAGGAGUAUAGGGGAAAUAAAUAUUUUAUUAAAGUUUUUUUCUUCUAAAGAUUAUAUAUAAACUAAUAAUAGUUACACAGAGUAGAUUUUUUAGAUUUCUUUCAUUUUUAAUUAGAAGGUAAUUUCCCUUUAUGAAAUUUAUACUUUUAUUUUUCAAUGCAAAUUUAUAUAAAAGAUAGAUUUUUAAAUUUAUUUCCUUUAGUUUUUAAUUCAAAGAUAAUUUCUGUUUCUAAACUUUAUACCUUUAUCUUUUCAAUGAAUUUUUUAUAUAAAAGGAUACAUAAGCAAGUAUAACAUACCUUCAUCUUCCUUUGGAGUUAACAAUUCACAGAUGAUGAGAAGAAACAUUGAUCUAAAUUUGAUUCCUGAUUUAAAUUCCAGUCCUGAUCAAAAUGAUGAUCUUUUGCCUACUGAUGAACAGUGCGAGAUUUUGAGCCCUGAACCUCUUAGAGUCAUUUUUCCAUACCAAUAUUAUGCAUAUAGUCAACAAGCUGACAUGUUUUCCGCAUCCUCGACGCACAACCAUGAUCAGAAUAAUGUCCAAGUUGGUCGACCUUUGAAAAAAAUCUCCAACCCAACCAUGCUUUUUGAAAAAAGUACCGAUGAGAGAAGUUGUGAGGAAAUCAAGAAAAGUGACGAUGAUGGUCGAACACACAAUCUACCAUAUGAGAAAUAUGGUCCAUAUACAUGUCCUAAGUGCACAGGUAAGUUUGACACUUCUCAAAAAUUUGCUGCACAUAUGUCAUCUCACUACAAGACUGAAACGAACAAUGAAAGAGCCGAGAGAUUUCGUGAAAGAAAUAAGAAAAAGUAUGGUAAAAGAAAUCUCGAAGAUCAUGGCGAGUCUCAAAAAUCAACCUAGAGGAUGGCGUCAAUAGCAGCGGAGGAAGUGACGACAAAACUAUAUAACAUCCAAAGAUUGUAAAAUAAUAACUUAUUUAGGAUUUUAUUUCCUUAUAUCUCUUUUUAGUAUUUUAUGUUUCUCUGAAAUUGCUUAUUCUCCUUUCUUUCUAGUAUUUUCAUCAUAUUUGUUGGUACAAUGAGUGGAUAUGCGUUUAUUCGCAGUAAAUUGUACUUUUAAUUAUCGUUUUUAAUUUAAGAUGUGGUUUUUUAUAAAAAUAUUUUCUCAAAUUUCAGUUAAUAAUGCAUAUGAAAUGGUACAUGUUAAAUCAUAUCCCACUUUAAAGUGUCAAGACUGUGUUAACUAAUAAUCGUGUAUGAUCCAAAGGAGAUGUUACAAAAAGGUUUUUCUUGCUUCUCAAUUAAGAGUCUAAAGAUGGUGAAUUUUUGUGGAAAUCUGAUGAUUUUUGGCACUGAUCCGAGUCGGUAUAGUAAACAUAUAUGAUGAGAAGAUUCUGGUACGUAGAGAUUUGCAUUGGAAAUAAAGGAAGGAGGUGGGACUUGUGGGAGAAAGUUGAAUAAGUCAGGGUUUGUUCUUUUGAUGAAGAAAUCAGAUUUUUUAGACUUGUCCUCUAGCCUUAACACUUAGUAUUUUAUGAACUUGCAGGUUGUUAAGUCUCGAAAAAAGACCAUCUCAUCAUUGUCUUAAAUUUUGCAGAUAUGUGUGUAGAAACAUAUUUAAAAAGAGGUAAUUUGGAUUACCUCAAUUCGGCUACCACAAGAGGCAUGAUUCUCUGUGAUAGACUUCCCCGAACCGAUGUGAAUCCCCACUUUUGAGUGAAGAUCCUAUUACACGACAGAGUUGAUACUCUGUCGGAAUUUCCAACGAGUGACUCGUUGGUCUCAUCCCAAGACUACGCUUGUCUUGUGUCCGACGGUUUAGACAGAGUUGAAACUCUGCAAUUAGCUUCCUCCACCGAUCACUCGAUUGAAGGCAAGUCGAGAGGAAACACUUUCCUUCUCAAAGUUGGGGUACCAAUAUCGCCUCUCGAACAAUGGUAAGACUCCAAUAUCAUGCUGAGUCACCCACCACUUUAGCUGUUCGAGUAUUGGUGACUUUUCCUCUAUUUAAUACCUACUUAAUCAUUAAUCACAAACCUUAAUUCCGGGUUUAGUCCGGUUCUCUAAGAUUUCCUUAACCGGAGAAAAACGUUACGGUUCAAUCCGUUUUUCUUUCUCGAGCUAUACAAGGGAUAGGGUCUAGUUUGUAAUAUUUCAAGUUCGAUUUAUAUAAAGUUUAACAUUAAAACAGAAAACAAAAUAAAGUUGGAGGUGGCGAAGCAACCCUAGCGAAGCAACCUACUUUGACGUAGGUCUUUGACGAGGGGAACACAAUACAAGUCAGCCUUGGUGGCUGAAGCAGCAGCUUGACCUCUGAGAGACUGAGACGACCAGUCCUCCUAGCAGUAAUAUAAGACCAAACUUCUGUCGAAGAGGUGCAUCAUGCCUAACUAUACUGGCUUGACCAAUGUGCUGAUGGUUAACUCCUCAAUGAGGAUGCUCUACUUGGUUCACACCAGAAACUUUAAGACAUGACUCAUGAGGUUCUCUUCACCCGGUGCUUGUGUUACACGUUUCCUUCACUAAAAUUAAGGGUUUUGGUAACCCUAAUUCAUUGACUCGCUCAAAAGUCACCACCUCCAUUUAUUAAAGUAUUACAUAUUAAACUAAAAUUUGCUUAAAAUACCUUCAAUAAUGAUGGCCUCCCUAUCAUUUAUAAUGCUCGCUGAGUUUUAAGGUAUUAUUGAAAAAGAAGUAAUUUAUAUUACUUCGAUUAUGCUAACACUAAAGGCAUGAUUCUUUGUGAUAGUUUACAGAAUGAGUCAAUACCAAUGUUAUUCGAACCCUGGUAAGACUCUCGAUCAUGCUGAGUAACUACCACUUUACUGGGCUGAAAUUGGUGAUAGUUUCUCCAUUUAAUUACUAUUUAAAACGUUUAUAUGAUAUAACUCAUGUACUGUAUAUGGAUUAAUACAGCACGUAAACAAAAUCCACAACAAGCCAACCUAGAACAACUUAGGUUUUUAUUUUAUUUUGGACCAACUAAGAUGUCUCCAAAUUCGGAGGAUACAACCGACAGGACCGUUGAAUAGCGGAACUUCAGAAACGUGUGAGAAACACAAACUCAUGCCAAGGAGCCGCCUUGAUGCAUCGGAGAAGAUUUUCAUCCCUACAAUAUAAAUUGAAUAUGUUCACAUCAUCAUCGUUAAAACGCUUUGACAUAAACGUCUAGUUUCUCUCCAUGUGGAAACCCUAAAUCAUUCUUAAAAACAAUAGGGUCGUUUUUUCAUUGUUCAUUCGAAGUUAGGACAUUUUCCAUAGAUGCAACUUCGCCCUAAUUAAGAUUCUUACAUAAAUUUGACGUUCAAGAUUUCGAAAACAUCUCGGCCGUCGCAUAAUGAGUACCAAAGUAUGAUCUCUAUCGUCUUUAACACCUUUGAUGCAUCAUCAUGCAAUACUAUAAGUAUUUUUGAUUCUUCUCUCUAUUUGGUCUCAUGCUCACAUAGUCACAUAUAUCAAAAGAGCAAUUUUGGGUAUAAUUAAUUAUGCUGUUUAUUUUAAAUUUUGAAACUAUGAAAUGGACUUAGACGUUAAGAUGGGAAGGUUUUAGGACCAAAUUAUAUAUUGAUCGUGUCAUUUUAUUAAAUAGGACCAUAGUAAUUGUAGUUCACCUAAUUUAAUUUUUUCUUUAUAAAUUAUUUGUAUAUCGUUGAGAUAGAUUUCUUUCCUCAAUUUAUUAGGUAGGUGUCCUCUCAGUUUACGUGAUAAAUGGAAAAGUAUGUGUUAAUAGAUCGACUCAUCCAUUUCUUAUACCUUAUAAUUUAUAAUCUAUGAUUUUCAUGAAAAUCACCCACCAUGAAACUUAUAAAUAUUUCACUAAUAAUAUUAAUUAAGGAGUAAAAUUAAUGGUAAACAUAUGUUACUGUAUAAAUGAUAAGUAUCAUCAUAAAAUCAUAUCACCAAAAAAGUAAUAUAUUAAUAAAUGCCAGCAAAUGUUAAACAACUAGAUAUAUCUUAGUAUAAAUAUUAUAUUACAGUUAAUGUAGAGGAAAUUAAAAUUAUAAUAUUAUUAAUAUUUUUAAAGUGUAUAUAUGACGUGUAAUCAACCUUCUUAGACUAUCCAUAUAUUACUAUAUAAAUAGAGGAGUUUAGGGGAAAUAAAUAAUUAAUUAAAGAUUUUUUUCUUAUAAAGAUUAAAUANNNNNNNNNNNNNNNNNNNNNNNNNNNNNNNNNNNNNNNNNNNNNNNNNNNNNNNNNNNNNNNNNNNNNNNNNNNNNNNNNNNNNNNNNNNNNNNNNNNNCAAAUUUUAUAUAAAGGUAGAUUUCUAGAUUUAUGUAUUUCCUUUAAUUUGUAAUUUAAAGAUGAUUUCCAUUGCUGAAGUUUAUAGCUUUAUUUUUUUCAAUGAAAUUUUUAUAUAAAAGAUUACAUAAACAAGGGUACCAUACUCUCAAUCUUUCACAAAUGUCUUCCAUCCCAAAUAAGUUUGAUAUUCACGGUGAUGAUACAGUAAACCAUCGUGGAUUUGGUCCCAUGGACAUGAAUCACAACUCCAAAAUGGCUCGAUCACUGUUCACUACAUCUGAUUGUGCCAACAACGGAGAUAUAUUUUCUUCUUCCCCAUCAUUAUCAACUUUCCAAAAUUCACAUGUCUCUUCAUCUUCCUUUGGAGUUAACAGUUCACAUAUGAACAAUCAUAUGAUGAGAAGAAACAUUGAUUUAAAUUCUAUUCCUGAUUUAAAUUCCAUUCCAGAUUCAAAUGCUAUUCCUAAUUUAAAUUCCAUUCCAGAUUCAAAUGCUAUUCCUGAUUUAAAUUCUACUCCUAAUAUUUCUGCACAUCGACGCACAACAAUGGUCAAAGUAAUGUCCAAGAUGGUCAAUCUUUGAAAAAAAUCUCCAAGCCAACCAUGCUUUUUGAAAAAACUACCGAUGAAAGAAGUUGUGAAGAAAAUAAGAAAAGUGACAAUGAUGGUCGAACACAUAGUCUACAGUAUAAGAAAAACGGUCCAUAUACAUGUCCUAAGUGCAAUGGUAUGUUCGAUACUUGUCAGAAAUUUUCUGCACAUAUAUCAUCUCACUACAAGACUGAAACAAACAAAGAAAGAGCCCAGAGAUUUCGUGCAAGAAAUAAAAAAAAGUAUGGCAAAAUAAAUCUCUAAGAUCAUGGCGAGUCUCAAAAAAUCAACCUAGAGGAUGGCGUCAAUAGCAGGGGAGGAAGUGAAGGCUAAUCUAUCCAACAUCCUAAGAUUGUAAAAGAAGAGCUUAUUUUGGAUUUUAUUUCCUUAAAUCUCUUUUUAGUAUUUGAUUUUUCUCAAAAAUUGCCUAUUCUCCUUUUUCUAGUAUUUUCAUCAUAUUUGUUGGUACAAUGAGUGGAUAUGCAUUUAUUUGUAGUCAAUUGUACUUUUUAUUAUCAUUUUUAAUUUAAUAUGUGGUUGUUUUAUAAUAAAUAUUUUCUUAAAUUUCAGUUAAUAAUGCAUAUGCAAUGAUACAUGUUGAAUCAUAUUACACUUGAUAUUAAGCUAUAUAAGUUUUCAUACAUUUGAUAUCAUAUAUAUAUGUAACAAAAAUAAAAAUUUGAUAAGAUAUAUAUUUACUGGAUCUUGUUUGUUUUUGUCUAUUUUCAUAAUUUACAAUGAUUAAAAAUGUUUUAAUAUAAUUAUAUAUGAACGACUUUAAUUUAUACAACGUAACUAACGCAUUUUCAAAAGAAAUGAAGUUGCAAUUUCUUUUAAACGAAUUCUUGAGUAGAAAGAUCACAACUAAAUAUCGAGUAAAUAUUCAUUGCAAGCCAACAAAUGUUGGAUCAGUAUAGUAUAGUAGUAGUCUAGUAGAUAAGAUAAAUAGGACUAUAACCAAAAACAAGCUUACACCAAAAGUAAGUAGAUAGAUUGAGAUAGCACUAAACUUUGUUGAUAGAUCCAUUAUCCACAGAAGCUCGAAGACUUAGGUUACAUCGCAACAUGUCACAAACGAGAUCAUGGUGUGUCAAAAUUUAAAAAGAACAACACCAACGAACACCGUUAUUAAAAAGAACAAAAUUUUGAGUUCGCGGUUAAAUAUGUUGUAGACUAACUACCGUAUACAGCAUCAGGAGGGCAGAUUAUGUCCCAGUCCCCUGCAAGAGCUAAGAUCGGCACAUUUGUUUUGCUGAUAUGAUCCUUGUAAUAGAAAGUACCAGUUCUGUCACACAGUCCACCUUGGUUCACAACUGUUGUUAGCUGCAAGAGAAGCUUAACUGGUACUGUGCCUGUUUUGUUUCUCAAAAUAACGUGAAUAUGCCUAGUAUUAAAUAAGAGCUGAAGUUUGAGAAAAUGUAAAGUAGUAGUUUGAACUCACUUAAACUGUUCAAAACAAGCUUCUCAAUCACUUCGGGGUCCAUCAUUUGAGGAGCAGAAAUAUUAGCUGUUAACCAGGACAAAGCAUAUGGAGGACGAAACAUUAAAGGGUGAGCCAUCGCGAGCAUUGUGUCAAUCGGCAUGAUAGGCAGGUUAAUAGCUUCUGAAGGCUCUUUCUGCAGCAAAAACAACAUUUGAGAUCAAUGAUUCAGUCAUAUCUUUUCCCUUUCAAGAGUGUCACAGCGCGGUGAUUGGCUCGUGGGUAAUAGGUACUUGAGGAGUGUUCUUGAAGAUGAAUAAUCUAAUGUUGAUGCUAGAGUGGCCACAGAAGCCAUCCCCGAGUCUAUUCCUUUAAAGCCUAGUGAAGAAACGUGAUUGAGCCAAAAUGUGACGACUAUGACUUACAUUUUAAAGAAAGAAACUAUCAGCCUAUACGAUGUAUGAGAGAAGUUACCACAUCUUGAGAGCAUGGCGUAUAACAAGAUACCACCCAUUGAGUGACAACCAGCGAGCAACUUCCCAUCUUUAGGUUUGGUUUGAGCCCUCACAUACUCCAUCUGAGACCAAGACGCCAUACAAUUAGACAUUCAUUGCUAUAGUAGCGCGUAAGCAGGUGGCCGACUACAGAAGAAUAAACAAGAAGUGUCACCUCACCGCAGAAGGAACAUCCUCUUCUAGAUAGUUAUCAAAAUCCCAAUUGUAGUGAGGGAUAAGUUCAAGCCGCUGCUUGAAAUCUCCCACUCUCUUAGAUAUACGGUCUUGCAGCCCAAUGAUCUUGGAACCUGCAAGUUCUUUCUCAGUAAAUAGACAAAUAUUCUCUUCUCUGGUCUCAACAGAACGAACCAAAACAGAACGAUAGUGGACUGUUUUUUCUUGGACUCAAUGAAGUCGAAACCGGUGUACUGUAUAACAUUCUAACUUUUAAAAGUGGAAGCAAAGGGUAAAAUCUACUUCUUAUAAUCGUUAAAUUUGAGAUAUAACGUAUAAUUUAAGUCAAGCAUAGAAAUUAAGUAAUUAACAAAGUAUUUUACUUUGAAUUCAUUACCUAAAAAGUAGAUAUAUUUCUUUGUUUGAGCACUAAACAAAACAUAAACAAGCAUAGAUACUAGUACUACAUUUGUUUGGAUGGGUGAGACUCUAAGUACUCAAUGACAUCCAUAUAUAAGUAAUGUGAGUAUGUGAUUUUGGUACGUAGAGAUUUGCUUUGGAAAUAAAGGAAGGAGGGUGAGACUUGAGGUAAUGUUGAAUAAGUCAGGUUUGUGCUUACACCACCACCCUUCAAAGUCGCCUUUCGUUGAGUUUUGUCCAGCUGUAAUGUGAUGAGUAUGCUUUAGUAUAUGUUCUUUGAUGAAGAAAUCAGAUUUUUAGACUUUGUUCUCUAACCUCAAUGCUUAGUUAAACUUUUAUGAUCCGAGAGCAAACAUUGGUUAAGAAGCUGUUUAAAUACUUAUCUGAUCCCUUAAAGACUAACUAACUAGUCCUUCUCAACCUUUGUUGCAGAAUGCGAAGUUGCCUUUAUAAUAAUAAUAAGGGUCACUCUUCUUUUAGCCUUUGUACAAUAUUUUUAGCAAACAUAAACAUUAUUCAUGUGAGGAUCCCAAACACGCCGAUUCAAAGACCAUGCUAACGUCUUUCUAUUAAUUUCAGGUUUUGCAGAUAAGUAUGGUGAUGCUAUGUUCCUACUUUGUAGUAAGAAUAAAAAAGAGGUAAUUUGGAUUACCUCAAUUCGGCUACCACAAGAGGCAUGAUUCUCUGUGAUAGACUUCCCCGAUCCGAUGUGAAUCCCCACCUUCUGGUGAAGAUACGAAACCAGACUACUGUGUCCGGUCAUGACAGAGUUUAAUACUACCCUGUCAUUCAUGAUUCCAACGUCACUCGUUGGAACUAUCCUCAGACUUUACUUGAGUCUGACGGCUCCAGCAGAGUCCACCGACGCUCGAUGGAACUGAGAGAAGUCCUUUUAUCCUUCCCUCUCGGGGUACCAAUUUUGCUGCUCGAACCAUGGUGAGACUCUAAUAUCAUGCUGAGUCACCACCACUUUUGCUGGUCAAGUAUUGGUGACCUUUCCUCUACUUAAUAACUACUUAACGAUUAAUCACACAACUUGAUUCCGGGUUUAGCCGGUUUACGAUUUCUUUAACCAGAAUUAAUGUUAUUUUAUAUGGUUCAAUCCGGUUGAUUGAUUGAUUGCUCUCGCUUGCUUCCCACAUACAUUUUUUUUUCUCUAACCUCUUUGAAUUCUACUACAAAAGUUCCAUGGGUGUAUUUAUAUUUCCUGACCUACUAUGAAUAGUCUAGUUUGUAAUUCAAGUUUGAUUUAUAUGAAGUUUAACAUUAAAACAACAACAACAAAAAAGUAACAACACACCACUAGCCGACCUUGGUGGCUGAAGCAGCAGCUUUACUCCUCCUAGCAGCAAUAAAGACCAACCUUCUGUUGACGAGAUGCAUCACGCAUAACUGUACUGGCCUGAACAAUAUAUGUGCUGAUGGUUACCUCCUCAAUGACGAUGAUGCUCUACUUUGUUCCAUGAAUCUUUCUUUCUUAAGCUACAAUGGAUGGAUAGUCUAGUUUGUUCAUACAUAUCCACACCACAAACCUUAGUGUAGAACUUUGAACUCUCAAAGUUAUUAAGGAUCGGACAACACAUAUUUUACUUUGUUUUAUGUCCCGCUAUUCUUGUUAGACACUCAAUCGUAUACUCUUUGAUAUAAACGAAAACCACAAACUUUUAUUAUAUACAUAAACUGUAUUUAUAGGUUUACAUGACACACUUUGACUAAGACUAUGCACAUCGGUUUGGGUCUCAAAAAAAAAAUUUAAUUUUUUUUUAAAUGCUUUUUUCGAUUUUAAAAAAAAAAGAUAACCAAUCGCGGACCACCACGUGUCAGUGGGGCCCGCAAAUAGGAAGAAGCAAAACGCAGGACCGUCGCAAUUCUGCGUACGUCCUUCACUUUUAUUUUUUUUUUCUGAUUUAAUUUUUUGCAAAAAAUUGGUUGGGACUUGGGCUACUAACGCCAAUAAACAAAGGAACACGUUUUUAGAAGACACCCCCCCCCCCCCAAUGUAAAGACACAAACACACACAUGUAACUGUUUUAUAGUUAACAAUUCUACUCAUAUCUCUUCGGUGUGUGAUACGAAUAGAUUAUACAUAAACCAGUUACUUAACUAUAUAAUACAUGACUCUCCUAAGAUAAUAAAAUAACAUGAAGACUUUAUUACAUCCAACACUUAAAGACAUGAGUUUCUCUUUGCCCGGUGCUUGUGGUACAAGUUACUUUCACCCAAAAAUCAAGGGUUUUUGAAACCUAGUUCAUUGACUCGCUCAAAAGUCACCACCUCCAUUAAUUAAAGUAUUAAACUCGUUUAGCCACGCUCGCACAUGUAAGUUUUGUGAGUCCCUCCGUAUCAUUUAACUAGAAAGUUACCCACGCAUAUUAUAUAUGAAAUAUUAAUUUGAAUUAGAAAUUGAAAACUACAUUAAGAUAUGUAGUUUAUAAGUAACUGUUAAUAUAAAACAUAUUUGUGUACAUUAUAAACAAUAAAAAUAAAUAAAAUAUAUAUUUGAAAAAUAUGAAACCAAAUGAGAUCAAAAUAAAGUUAUACAAAUUAGCACAUACAUAAUAUAGUAGGCAAUUGUAAAUUGAUGUUAAUUUUUUGUGUGUACAUUGUUAAUAUUAAAAGUAAACAAAACUCAUAUUUCACCUAAGAUAUUUACUGGUCUUGUUUGGUUUUGACAUAAUUUAAAAUGAAUGAAAUUGUAUUAAUAUGAUAUUAAUCAGAUUAAAAGUAUCAUUACAUUUACAUAUAACUUAUAUAGUUCUAUCCCAUAUAAUUAUUUUGAAUUUGUUUAAUUAACAUUGUUUACUAGUUUUCGCUUUUGAUCAGACAUAUAAACAAAUUGAAUCAGAUAACAAAAAGAUUAAAGAAAAUAUUAAAAGGUUGGAUAUAGCUAGAUAAUUUAACCAUACUUUCUAAAUGAUCUUACAAAUACAGAGAUAUGUUUCUCCAUAUCUUAUUUAUUAAGUGGCUCAUUGUUUUUCCAUAAUAUCACUAAUAAUGAAAAAUCUAUCUCAUUAGAUUAAGUCUAACGAAUAUAUUACUGAAGACAUAUAUAUUCUACAAGAGCAGCACUACUAGAGUUAAUCAUCAAACACAACAUAUCAUGGGCCGACACAAAGUUGAGUGGUAUGUGACAGAAACCGUCUUGUGUGAAUCAAUGAUAUGUUGUUUUCUGUUAAUCUUCAUGUGUCAAGAGUGUGUUAACUAAUAAUCGUGAAUGGUCCAAAGAAGAUGUUACAAAAAGGUUUUUCUUGCUUCUCAAUUAAGAGUCUAAAGAUGGUGAAUUUUUGUGGAAAUCUGAUGAUUUUUGGCACUGAUCCGAGUCGGUAUAGUAAACAUAUAUGAUGAGAAGAUUUUGGUACGUAGAGAUUUGCAUUGGAAAUAAAGGAAGGAGGUGGGACUUGUGGGAGAAAGUUGAAUAAGUCAGGGUUUGUGCUUUGUAUAUGUUCUUUUGAUGAAGAAAUCAGAUUUUUUAGACUUGUCCUCUAGCCUCAACACUUAGUUAGACUUUUAUGAACUUGCAGGUUAAGGAUCUACAGCUUGUUAAGUUUGGAAAAAAAGACCUAUGUCAUUGUCUUUAAUUUUGCAGAUAUGUUUGUAGAAACAGAUUGAAAAAGAGGUAAUUUGGCUUACCUCAAUUCGGCUACCACAAGAGGCAUGAUUCUCUGUGAUAGACUUCCCCGAUCCGAUGUGAAUCCCCACUUUUGGGUGAAGAUCCGGUGACACGACAGAGUUGUUACUCUGUCGGAUUUCCAACGAGUGACUCGUUGGUCAUAUCCCAAGACUACGCUUGUCUUGGGUCCGACGGUUUAGACAGAGUUGAAACUCUGCCCUUCGCUUCCUCCACCGAUCACUCGAUGAAGGUCAAAGUAGAGAGGAAGGAAACACUUUCCUUCUCACAAGUUGGGGUACCAAUAUCGCCUCUCGAACCAUGGUGAGACUCCUAUAUCAUGCUGAGUCACUCACCACUUUAGCAGUUCGAGUAUUGGUGACCUUUCCUCUGUUUAAUACCUACUUAAUGUUUAAUGCUAACACUAAAGGCAUGAUUCUUUGUUGUAGUUUACAACACAAUGAGUCAACAAUACCAAUGUUAUUCGAACCCUGGUGAGACUCUCGAUCAUGCUGAGUAACUACCACUUUACUGGGCUGAAAUUGGUGAUAGUUUCUCCAUUUAAUUACUAUUUAAAACGUUUAUAUGAUAUAACUCAUGUACUGUAUAUGGAUUAAUACAGCACGUAAACAAAAUCCACAACAAGCCAACCUAGAACAACUUAGGUUUUUAUUUUAUUUUGGACCAACUAAGAUGUCUCCAAAUUCGGAGGAUACAACCGACAGGACCGUUGAAUAGCGGAACUUCAGAAACGUGUGAGAAACACAAACUCAUGCCAAGGAGCCGCCUUGAUGCAUCGGAGAAGAUUUUCAUCCCUACAAUAUAAAUUGAAUAUGUUCACAUCAUCAUCGUUAAAACGCUUAGACAUAAACGUCUAGUUUCUCUCCAUGUGGAAACCCUAAAUCAUUCUUAAAAACAAUAGGGUCGUUUUUUCAUUGUUCAUUCGAAGUUAGGACAUUUUCCAUAGAUGCAACUUCGCCCUAAUUAAGAUUCUUACAUAAAUUUGACGUUCAAGAUUUCGAAAACAUCUCGGCCGUCGCAUAAUGAGUAUCAAAGUAUGAUCUCUAUCGUCUUUAACACCUUUGAUGCAUCAUCAUGCAAUACUAUAAGUAUUUUUGAUUCUUCUCUCUAUUUGGUCUCAUGCUCACAUAGUCACAUAUAUCAAAAGAGCAAUUUUGGGUAUAAUUAAUUAUGCUGUUUAUUUUAAAUUUUGAAACUAUGAAAUGGACUUAGACGUUAAGAUGGGAAGGUUUUAGGACCAAAUUAUAUAUUGAUCGUGUCAUUUUAUUAAAUAGGACCAUAGUAAUUGUAGUUCACCUAAUUUAAUUUUUUCUUUAUAAAUUAUCUGUAUAUCGUUGAGAUAGAUUUCUUUCCUCAAUUUAUUAGGUAGGUGUCCUCUCAGUUUACGUGAUAAAUGGAAAAGUAUGUGUUACUAGAUCGACUCAUCCAUUUCUUAUACCUUAUAAUUUAUAAUCUAUGGUUUUCAUGAAAAUCACCCACCAUGAAACUUAUAAAUAUUUCACUAAUAAUAUUAAUUAAGGAGUAAAAUUAAUGGUAAACAUUUGUUACUGUAUAAAUGAUAAGUAUCAUUAUAAAAUCAUAUCACCAAAAAAGUAAUAUAUUAAUAAAUGCCAGCAAAUGUUAAACAACUAGAUAUAUCUUAGUAUAAAUAUUAUAUUACAGUUAAUGUAGAGGAAAUUAAAAUUAUAAUAUUAUUAAUAUUUUUAAAGUGUAUAUAUGACGUGUAAUCAACCUUCUUAGACUAUCCAUAUAUUACUAUAUAAAUAGAGGAGUUUAGGGGAAAUAAAUAAUUAAUUAAAGAUUUUUUUUCUUAUAAAGAUUAAAUAUAAACUAAUAAUAGUUACAUAAAGUUGACUUCUUAGAUUUUUUUUCACUUUUAAUUUUAAGGUAGUUUCCCUUUAUAUAAUAAAUAUAUCUUUUCAAUGCAAAUUUUAUAUAAAGGUAGAUUUCUAGAUUUAUGUAUUUCCUUUAAUUUGUAAUUUAAAGAUGAUUUCCAUUGCUGAAGUUUAUAGCUUUAUUUUUUUCAAUGAAAUUUUUAUAUAAAAGAUUACAUAAACAAGGGUACCAUACUCUCAAUCUUUCACAAAUGUCUUCCAUCCCAAAUAAGUUUGAUAUUCACGGUGAUGAUACAGUAAACCAUCGUGGAUUUGGUCCCAUGGACAUGAAUCACAACUCCAAAAUGGCUCGAUCACUGUUCACUACAUCUGAUUGUGCCAACAACGGAGAUAUAUUUUCUUCUUCCCCAUCAUUAUCAACUUUCCAAAAUUCACAUGUCUCUUCAUCUUCCUUUGGAGUUAACAGUUCACAUAUGAACAAUCAUAUGAUGAGAAGAAACAUUGAUUUAAAUUCUAUUCCUGAUUUAAAUUCCAUUCCAGAUUCAAAUGCUAUUCCUAAUUUAAAUUCCAUUUCAGAUUCAAAUGCUAUUCCUGAUUUAAAUUCUACUCCUAAUAUUUCUGCACAUCGACGCACAACAAUGUUCAAAGUAAUGUCCAAGAUGGUCAAUCUUUGAAAAAAAUCUCCAAGCCAACCAUGCUUUUUGAAAAAACUACUGACGAAAGAAGUUGUGAAGAAAAUAAGAAAAGUGACAAUGAUGGUCGAACACAUAGUCUACAAUAUAAGAAAAACGGUCCAUAUACAUGUCCUAAGUGCAAUGGUAUGUUCGAUACUUGUCAGAAAUUUUCUGCACAUAUAUCAUCUCACUACAAGACUGAAACAAACAAAGAAAGAGCCCAGAGAUUUCGUGCAAGAAAUAAAAAAAAGUAUGGCAAAAUAAAUCUCUAAGAUCAUGGCGAGUCUCAAAAAAUCAACCUAGAGGAUGGCGUCAAUAGCAGGGGAGGAAGUGAAGGCUAAUCUAUCCAACAUCCUAAGAUUGUAAUAUAAUAGCUUAUUUUGGAUUUUAUUUCCUUAAAUCUCUUUUUAGUAUUUGAUUUUUCUCAAAAAUUGCCUAUUCUCCUUUUUUCUAGUAUUUUCAUCAUAUUUGUUGGUACAAUGAGUGGAUAUGCAUUUAUUUGUAGUCAAUUGUACUUUUUAUUAUCAUUUUUAAUUUAAGAUGUGGUUGUUUUAUAAUAAAUAUUUUCUUAAAUUUCAGUUAAUAAUGCAUAUGCAAUGAUACAUGUUGAAUCAUAUUACACUUGAAAUUAAGCUAUAUAAGUUUUCAUACAUUUGAUAUCAUAUAUAUAUGUAACAAAAAUAAAAAUUUGAUAAGAUAUAUAUUUACUGGAUCUUGUUUGUUUUUGUCUAUUUUCAUAAUUUACAAUGAUUAAAAAUGUUUUAAUAUAAUUAUAUAUGAACGACUUUAAUUUAUACAACGUAACUAACGCAUGCGGGAGAUGAAUAUAUUUGUUUUGGGUGUUGUUUUUUUCUUUCAUACUCAUUAGUUUAUGGAGAUUUGAAUGGCUUGAUACGAGUUAAAACUAUUUACUUACAUACGUCGAUUAUUCAAAACAAAACUCACAUAGUCACAUGUGCAUAUAUGUAAUAUAUAUGAGACCUAGAAAAAAAUAAAAAAAUGAGCAUAAAUUUGAGAGAUGAUAGAAAACAAAAAAAAAACUCGAGUAUAAUCAAUAGAUUCACACGAUUUCAAAAGAAAUGAAGUUACAAUUUCUUUUAAACGAAUUCUUGAGUAGAAAGAUCACAACUAAAUCUCGAGUAAAUAUUCAUUGCAAGCCCACAAAUGUUGGAUCAGUAUAGUAUAGUAGUAGUCUAGUAGAUAAGAUAAAUAGGACUAUAACCAAAAACAAGCUUACACCAAAAGUAAGUAGAUAGAUUGAGAUAGCACUAAACUUUGUUGAUAGAUCCAAUAUCCACAGAAGCUCGAAGACUUAGGUUACAUCGCAACAUGUCACAAACGAGAUCAUGGUGUGUCAAAGGCACUUCCACGAAAUCCAGUGAGAGGUUUCUCCUUGACAAGAAUACGUAUCAAACAAACAUAAAGAUGUCGCUAAACUGCUAGGAUGGUUUCCUCGACCAGCCAAUACAGAACAUGAGAAGCAUUAGAAAUAUUGAACUUGAGCAGGGAUUGGGGAGACCCUCGUGGUCAGAUAUAAAACGAUAAGCUGUUCUAAAUUGGAGUACUUCGAGAUCCUUCAGAUGACAUUUUUGAUGUAAGAACUGUAUCCAAAACUGCAAAGCGGAGACGAUAUAGUGGACUGUUUUUUCUUGGACUCAAUGAAGUCGAAACCGGUGUACUGUAUAACAUUCUAACUCAAUGACAUCCAUAUAUAAGUAAUGUGAGUAUGUGAUUUUGGUACGUAGAGAUUUGCUUUGGAAAUAAAGGAAGGAGGUGAGACUUGAGGUAAUGUUGAAUAAGUCAGGUUUGUGCUUACACCACCACCCUUCAAAGUCGCCUUUCGUUGAGCUUUGUCCAGCUGUAAUGUGAUGAGUAUAUAUGUUCUUUGAUGAAGAAAUCAGAUUUUUAGACUUUGUUCUCUAACCUCAAUGCUUAGUUAAACUUUUAUGAUCCGAGAGCAAACAUUGGUUAAGAAGCUGUUUAUAUAUUUAUCUGAUCCCUUAAAGACUAACUAACUAGUCCUUCUCAACCUUUGUUGCAGAAUGCGAAGUUGCCUUUAUAAUAAUAAGGGUCACUCUUCUUUUAGCCUUUAAAAGGUUAUUCAUGUGAGGAUCCCAAACACGCCGAUUCAAAGACCAUGCUAAUGUCUUUCUAUUAAUUUCAGGUUUUGCAGAUAAGUAUGGUGAUGCUAUGUUCCUAGUUUGUAGUAAGAAUAAAAAAGAGGUAAUUUGGAUUACCUCAAUUCGGCUACCACAAGAGGCAUGAUUCUCUGUGAUAGACUUCCCCGAUCAAGUGAAUCCCCACCUUCUGGUUAAGAUACGAAACCAGACUGCUGUGUCCGGUCAUGACAGAGUUGAAGGCAAGUUGAGAGGAAACAGUUUCCUUCUCACAAGUUGGGGUACCAAUAUCGCCUCUCGAACAAUGGUGAGACUCCAAUAUCAUGCUGAGUCACCCACCACUUUAGCUGUUCGAGUAUUGGUGACCUUUCCUCUAUUUAACACCUACUUAAUGAUUAAUCACAAACCUUAAUUUCAGGUUUAGUCCGGUUAUCUAUUUAAGAUUUCCUUAACCGGAGAAAAACGUUACGGUUCAAUCCGUUUUUCUUUCUCGAGCUACAAUGGAUAUUGGAUAGGUCUAGUUUGUAAUGUUUCAAGUUCGAUUUCUAUGAAGUUUAACAUUAAAACAGAAAACAAAAAAAAAAGUAACAACAUAACACUAGUCGGCUGAAGCAGCGCAGCUUGACCUCUAAGAAACUGAGACGACCAGUCCUCCUAGCAGCAAUAAAGAACAACCUUCUGUUGAAGAGGCGCAUCACGCUUGACCAAUGUGCUGAUGGUUAACUACUUGGUAUAUACAUAUCCACACCAGAAACUUUAAGACAUGACUCAUGAGGUUCUCUUCACCCGGUGCUUGUGUUACACGUUUCCUUCACUAAAAUUAAGGGUUUUGGUAACCCUAAUUCAUUGACUCGCUCAAAAGUCACCACCUCCAUUUAUUAAAGUAUUACAUAUUAAACUAAAAUUUGCUUAAAAUACCUUCAAUAAUGAUGGCCUCCCUAUCAUUUAUAAUGCUCGCUGAGUUUUAAGGUAUUAUUGAAAAAGAAGUAAUUUAUAUUACUUCGAUUAUGCUAACACUAAAGGCAUGAUUCUUUGUGAUAGUUUACAGAAUGAGUCAAUACCAAUGUUAUUCGAACCCUGGUAAGACUCUCGAUCAUGCUGAGUAACUACCACUUUACUGGGCUGAAAUUGGUGAUAGUUUCUCCAUUUAAUUACUAUUUAAAACGUUUAUAUGAUAUAACUCAUGUACUGUAUAUGGAUUAAUACAGCACGUAAACAAAAUCCACAACAAGCCAACCUAGAACAACUUAGGUUUUUAUUUUAUUUUGGACCAACUAAGAUGUCUCCAAAUUCGGAGGAUACAACCGACAGGACCGUUGAAUAGCGGAACUUCAGAAACGUGUGAGAAACACAAACUCAUGCCAAGGAGCCGCCUUGAUGCAUCGGAGAAGAUUUUCAUCCCUACAAUAUAAAUUGAAUAUGUUCACAUCAUCAUCGUUAAAACGCUUUGACAUAAACGUCUAGUUUCUCUCCAUGUGGAAACCCUAAAUCAUUCUUAAAAACAAUAGGGUCGUUUUUUCAUUGUUCAUUCGAAGUUAGGACAUUUUCCAUAGAUGCAACUUCGCCCUAAUUAAGAUUCUUACAUAAAUUUGACGUUCAAGAUUUCGAAAACAUCUCGGCCGUCGCAUAAUGAGUAUCAAAGUAUGAUCUCUAUCGUCUUUAACACCUUUGAUGCAUCAUCAUGCAAUACUAUAAGUAUUUUUGAUUCUUCUCUCUAUUUGGUCUCAUGCUCACAUAGUCACAUAUAUCAAAAGAGCAAUUUUGGGUAUAAUUAAUUAUGCUGUUUAUUUUAAAUUUUGAAACUAUGAAAUGGACUUAGACGUUAAGAUGGGAAGGUUUUAGGACCAAAUUAUAUAUUGAUCGUGUCAUUUUAUUAAAUAGGACCAUAGUAAUUGUAGUUCACCUAAUUUAAUUUUUUCUUUAUAAAUUAUCUGUAUAUCGUUGAGAUAGAUUUCUUUCCUCAAUUUAUUAGGUAGGUGUCCUCUCAGUUUACGUGAUAAAUGGAAAAGUAUGUGUUACUAGAUCGACUCAUCCAUUUCUUAUACCUUAUAAUUUAUAAUCUAUGGUUUUCAUGAAAAUCACCCACCAUGAAACUUAUAAAUAUUUCACUAAUAAUAUUAAUUAAGGAGUAAAAUUAAUGGUAAACAUUUGUUACUGUAUAAAUGAUAAGNNNNNNNNNNNNNNNNNNNNNNNNNNNNNNNNNNNNNNNNNNNNNNNNNNNNNNNNNNNNNNNNNNNNNNNNNNNNNNNNNNNNNNNNNNNNNNNNNNNNAAGGGUACCAUACUCUCAAUCUUUCACAAAUGUCUUCCAUCCCAAAUAAGUUUGAUAUUCACGGUGAUGAUACAGUAAACCAUCGUGGAUUUGGUCCCAUGGACAUGAAUCACAACUCCAAAAUGGCUCGAUCACUGUUCACUACAUCUGAUUGUGCCAACAACGGAGAUAUAUUUUCUUCUUCCCCAUCAUUAUCAACUUUCCAAAAUUCACAUGUCUCUUCAUCUUCCUUUGGAGUUAACAGUUCACAUAUGAACAAUCAUAUGAUGAGAAGAAACAUUGAUUUAAAUUCUAUUCCUGAUUUAAAUUCCAUUCCAGAUUCAAAUGCUAUUCCUGAUUUAAAUUUAAUUCCAGAUUCAAAUGCUAUUCCUGAUUUAAAUUCUACUCCUAAUAUUUCUGCAUCAUCGACGCACAACAAUGGUCAAAGUAAUGUCCAAGAUGGUUGAUCUUUGAAAAAAAUCUCCAAGCCAACCAUGCUUUUUGAAAAAACUACUGAUGAAAGAAGUUGUGAAGAAAACAAGAAAAGUGACAAUGAUGGUCGAACACAUAGUCUACAGUAUAAGAAAAACAGUCCAUAUACAUGUCCUAAGUGCAAUGGUAUGUUCGAUACUUGUCAGAAAUUUGCUGCACAUAUAUCAUCUCACUACAAGACUGAAACAAAUAAAGAAAAAGUCCAGAGAUUUCGUGCAAGAAAUAAAAAAAAGUAUGGCAAACUAAAUCUCUAAGAUCAUGGCGAGUCUCAAAAAUUCAACCUAGAGAAUGGCGUCAAUAGCAGGGGAGGAAGUGAAGGCUAAUCUAUCCAACAUCCUAAGAUUGUAAAAGAAGAGCUUAUUUUGGAUUUUAUUUCCUUAAAUCUCUUUUUAGUAUUUGAUUUUUCUCAAAAAUUGCUCAUUCUCCUUUCUUUCUAGUAUUUUCAUCAUAUUUGUGGUACAAUGAGUGGAUAUGCAUUUAUUUGAAGUCAAUUGUACUUUUUAUUAUCAUUUUUAAUAAAGAUGUGGUUGUUUUCUUAUAAAUGUUUUCUUAAAUUUCAGUUAAUAAUGCAUAUAUGCAAUGAUACAUGUUAAAGAUCAUAUUGCACUUUAAAGUAAGCUAUAUAUAUAAGUUUUCAUACAUUUGAUAUCAUAAAUAUAUAUAUAUAUAUAUACAUAUAUAUGUGUGUGUGAAAAAAUCAAAUUUGAGAAGAUAUAUAUUUAUUGGGUCUUGUUUGGUUUUGUCUAUUUUCAUAAUUUACAAUGAUUAAAAAUGUAUUAAUAUAAUAUUAAUCAGAUUAAGUAUCAUUACAUUUACAUAUAUAUAGCUUGUAUAUCACAUUUAAUUAUUUUGAAUUUAUAUAAUAAUUUAUUUUUACCAGUUUUAGCUUUUGAUCAGACAUACAAAUGAAUAAAGAAAAAAUAUUAAAAGGUUGGAUCUAGGUAGUUACUCCAACCAUACUUUUUAAAUGAUCUUACAACUGUAGAGAUAUGUUUCUCUAGGCUUCCUAAAUGCUUUAUCAGUGUUUAAUUAUUAUUGGGAAACAAAAAAAUAUAUAAGUUAUUUGAUGACGACAAAAAGAUCUGAGUAACGCAUGCAGGAGAUAAAUAUUUGUAUUGGGUGUUGUUUUUUCUUUCAUACUAUUAGUUGAAUAUAGUUUAUGGAGAUUUGAAUGGUUUAAUUUGAUAUACAAGAUAACCAUUUACUUACAUACCUCGAUUUUCAAGCUAGUAAAGAAAACAGAACUCAUGUAAUAUAUGAGACCCAAAAAAACAAAAACAAAACAAAAACUGAGUAUAUUGAGAGUUGAUAGAAAAAGAAGAGUCGAGUAUAAUCAAUAGAAAUGGAUCAGUUGCAUAGUGACCAAAAAGAUCAAACGAAUUAUCGAGUAUAAUAAACAUAAUUGACCAUUUUUGUAGAUAAGAUAAAUUAUAAUCUUUUGAUAAGUAAGUACUAAUAAUUUACGUCACUCCAAAUUUUCACUUUACUAUGUUUUUACUCUAACGUUGAUUCCAAAUAUUUGUUAUAGUGAUGCAUGUUAUCAUAUGAUUCGUGUGGAAGUGCAUUAGCAAAUGAAAUAAUCAUACUCAAUCUUUCAAAAUGUAUCCCUUUUCAAAUAUCAUAGACUAAAGAUUGUACAAAUUGCCAUUGAAUUAACCACAAGUCCAAAAUGGUGUAGUCGAUCGAUAUUCAUUGCAUUUGAUCGUACAAACCAUGGAGACGUCUUUGGCUUCAUCACCAUAGCUGCUUUUGGGAUUCACAAAUCAGAGAUCCGAUCCAAGAUCUCCCUUUCCAACAACAAUCUGGAUCUAGUUCUCUCCAAAUGAAAAGUUGGCUUCUUCCUCUGCACUAGAGAUGCUUGGGUUAAUGUGAUCAUUCAAUAGCUUAAAGAAAAGUAGAUCACUUCUGCUCUACAAUCUUCCCUCCCAAUUCUGACUCCUCCUCCUCCUCCUCAAUUUCCGCCUCCCCGCGACAGAGAAAUGCUGGGUGAGAGAAGAAGAUCCAAAAAUUUCGACGAGGAAGGUUGACGGCGUAAAAUCGGUAAAGACGACAAUGAAUCGAGCAAGAAGAGAUGAAUAAGGGCAUCAUUAUUGGGGGUAUCUUAACCCUCUAAGAUACCCCAAUAAUGUUAGUCUUAGUGAGUGUGACGACAUUAGGGCUUAUAAUAACAAGUGGCUAUACUAUUUGUAAUAGUUGUCCUACUAUAUCUAGUUAUACUAUUUAACAGUUUUUCCUAUUAUAUAUCUCUCAGCUAUACUAUUUUUGUACCACAUUCACUAUUUGUCUCUCAAUUAUACCAUUUGUACGAGUUGUUAUAUAAUCUUUCAAUUGUACUAGUUGUUCUACUCUCUCAGUUGUAAUAUAUCUCCCUUCAUUUCAUUAAAGGAUUUUCGGGGAUAUCGCAUUAAAUGUGGCACACAGAUUAAAAAGUUGUAGCCUUACACAGAUUAACAAGUAGCAUUCUUGCCCUAUGCUCGAAAGUUUGAACUCUAAUGUCAUUUUUUCGGGCCGAGAUUCCAAAAAUCGUCAAUACGUAUUUAUCUUUGACGAAAGUUCCCAUGAAACUAUUGUUUGUGAAGAAGACGGGAAAUAUUACGAUGAUUAGCAUAUGAUCAGGCUCAUAGUUUACUGUAUGAGAAAUAGGGUUCAUAUACUUGUUCCAAUUGUAAUAGUGUGUUUAACACUUCUCAAAAGUUUGUUGCACAUAUGUUAUCUCAUUACAAGAGUGAGACGACCAAUUAAAAGGAUCAAAAUUUUGUUUCAUGUUUCAAAAUUUAAAAUUUAUAUCAAUCAAAGUAAUGAUUAGUUUAUAUUAUCACCUUUCUAUAAAUUUUGUAGACUAAUUAGACGUCCAAUUAUGAGGUUUGUGUCAUUCUCUCCUAAAACUUACAUCUAUGAAAUACUUGUCAUUUCCUUCUAACAUCUAAAUUUUACGUAGUGUAUUUAACUAUGUAUGUUAACUAACAAUUUAAGUAAAUAAAUUAAGUCAUCCCUCACUUGAUGUAACAAAAUUCUAUAGGAAGGUAAAUCUUUUUUGAUAUAUAUAUACAUUAUCUCUUGUUUUGUACACAUGGAGAUAGCACCAAAAAUAUGAAACAGAUUUUUUAUUUAAUAUUUUAAAAAUAAUUUAAAAUCAAAAAAUUAAUCUACUUAUGAAUUUUUUUUCUAUCUUAUUAUAUAAAUUUUGAUUUCUCAAAUUUAGUUAUCAACAUAAUUGUGACAUGUGUCUACUUUUUUGAUCAAAGAUUUUUUGAUUUCUCAAAUUUAGUUAUCAACAAAAAGUAUUUUCUUUUCUUUUCUUGAACAGUAAAAAAAAAAUUUAGUCGAGCUUCAGGAUCAUCUCAUAGAAUUUGUGGGUGGUAUGUUACAUCAAAAUCUAAAGACCCAAUUAAUUUAUCAAGAACCCACAAUAAAAACUCGAGUUUAAUGUAGUGGGUACUUUUUACUGUUCAAGAAAAGAAAAUACUUUUUGCUUAUAAAAAAAGUAAACACUUAAAUCUGGUUUAGUAAUGGAAUCGAUUCCGCUGUAGCACAUUGGCUAAAGCCUUUCAAAAAAAAAUAAUAAUAAUGGAAUCGAUUAAAUUGACAUUUUAUCUUUAGACUCUUUAUCUAAAGAAGAGCAUCUACAUUGUAAUUUUAUAAUUAAAGACACAAGAAAGAAUGUAAUCAUUUUGUAAUACUUUUCCAUAUAUUAUAAUAGAACAAAGAAGAAUAAAAAUAAAGUUGGAAAAAAUAAAAGUAAGGAAAAGAAAUGGAGAAAUAUGACUUUUGGGGCAUGAGAAGAUUAUAUUGUCUCAUUGGAUCCUUUGGUCGUUCAUUUCGAGAGAGUAGGCUUCUUCAAAGAUGGACUUUUUGUCUCAUCAUUCAUUUUCGCGCGGUAACUUUUAAAAUUUGCCACCGUAUGUAAUUGGUACUACUAGUAUCUUAAGUUAAAAUAUGAAUGGUCGUUGUUAUGGUAGCAUCACAAGUAAUGAAAUAAAAAUCACAAUUGUUGGUAGAAUUCAAAUUUAUGUUCCAGAAAACAUUUUGGAUUCGGUUUUUAUACUGAACCAAAAAUCUUUAGCCAAAAUAAAUAGUCAAAUAGAGUUCUUAUAUCCGAAAUAAUGUAUUUUAAAAACUUUUCAACAAUUAGAUUAGUACGUAUAUUGAUUCAAAAUUGCAAGUAAAAAGUAAAAAUAAUAAUAAUAAUAAUAAUAACACAUGCGGUAUUUUAUAUCGUGUCGCAACACGAAAAAAUGAGUGUUUUCAUUUUGUUAUAAACGGAAUAUAAUAUCAUGUAUAUUUUCUAAAAAUCGAGUCACAAAGAAAUGAGUGUUUUAAUAGAAAACAAAACCUUAAAGUAUUUUGUGGCAAGCUAGUGUGUGUGGGUUAUUGUUAAUCUAGUGCAUCUAACUUUCUUUUUUUUUCCUUGUCAAACAUGUGAUUUGGGAUCAAUAAGAUGGUGGGGAACGAAUUAUAACUUUCCAAAACUGGAUGAUCGCUUAUUCUUUCUUCUAUGGGUUAAUUGACUUGUCUGGACACUCUUUUGCUUCUUGGUCGCUAAGUCCAAAUGCAAGCUAACUCGUACUAUCUAUUGGUAGAACUUUGUUUAGGCCAAUGUCGAUUUACACCUCUUUGAUGACUAGGACUUUUGUAUAAACUUCUUAGGAUUAGCCAAUUUGAUUCAUAAGUGUCAUUUCUCGACAUACAUGUGACGUUACAAAAGCUGACCAAGUUCAAACAAGAUUAUAUGCGACGUUACGAUAAUUUGAUUCAUAAGUGUCAUUUGAAUUUUUGAAAAUAUAUAUUAACAAAUUUGAUUGAUCUCUUCAUUUUAAUCAUCAAACAAAAUAUAUAGACUAAAGACAAAAGAAAACGUAUUUUUAUGGUCAAAAAGGAAACAAAAAAAAAAGAUUAGACAGAAUUUUGUUGUUUUGUAUUUUAAUUUAGCCGUUUUCUCGACCUUUCAAUUUCACAGGUGUUUGACUUGUGCAGGCCUCACACAUGGUAAUGUUCUUUAGUUUUUCUACAAACUAUCUUAUUCCUAUAUGAACCAAAUUCGAUUAUUUGUGAGCUCUCAAGUCAAAAAGGUUAUAUCACAAUCUUGUGUAUAUGAUUUGUGGCACUCCACAUGUAUCUAUCAUAGGGAUUUCACUUGUACUAUAUGUUUUUGUUUUGCUUCUUGUACCAUCAUGCCAACACAAGCAUCUCAGCAAAUCCAACUUACUCACUUGUCUAAUUACAUUUUAACUAGGUUUAAUAUGGGCAAAGAAAGAGUAAGAUAAUUCGUGUACUUAAAUUUUAUUGCAACUAUCAACAAAGACAAGAUAUGUAAUAAGUAAAUCUAAUGUCGGCAUAAAAGCAUAUAUAAAGCAAGCAUCGUAUUUCACAAUUUUAUAUAAAAAUACUAUACUAUAGCCAUACUGAAGUGUUUGCAUAUAUAUAGUAGCAGAAGAGACAACACAAUAGUUCUCAUUUGAUAAAUGCUGCAUACUUAACUUCACUUCUUCACACCAACAACAACAACAACAAAAAAUGACGAAACGUUUCAAAUUAAAGAUUUCAAGAAUCCUCUCAUUCAAAUCUUGUCGUUCAAAAGAUCCUUCUUCUCUCCCUAUUAAUCCUGUUCCGUCAAGUCUCCGACGUACUCCUCCACCUUCUAACUCAUCCUCCGUCGUCGUUACCACCACCGUGCCACAACGUCGUCGUUCUUCUUUCAAACUACACGUUUUAACCGUGUUUGGCUGCGGUCGCUCGUCCACUACGUUGGAUGUUGUUGAUCGGAAGACUUCACCGUCGUUAUCUCCGCCGCAGACGCCGACGUUUCAGUGGGAAAGCGAGGGGAAGUGGCACGUGAUCGCUCAUGUCACCGAAGAAGAAAACGAAACGCCUCGCCGGAAAAUUUACGACGGUGGGUCGGAGAAAGAUCACAACCGCCGACGUUUAAAGAAGAAGGAGAGAUCAAACUCACGGCGGAGAGGGAGCAUAUCCUCCGCCGAAGAAGAGACGGAUAGAGAGAGUCUCUUACCGUCUUCUACAAACCUCUCGCCGGAAUAUUCCUCCUCAGAGCUGCGACGUGUCACAAGAAGACGUAGACACGUUCCCAAGAAGUCAGCGAUCGUUGAAGAAAGCGAGUCAUCGUCACCACCACCGUCUCCGGCGAGGCUUUCUUCGUUUGUUCAAAGACUGAUGCCGUGUACGACGGCGGCUGCGGUUAUGGUUGAAGGAGUAGCGGUGGUGAAGAGAUCAGAAGAUCCUUACGAAGAUUUCAAAGGUUCAAUGAUGGAGAUGAUUGUAGAAAAGAAGAUGUUCGAAGUAGCUGAACUUGAACAGCUUCUUAGUUGCUUCUUAUCGCUAAACGCGAAACGCCACCACCGCGCGAUUGUUAGAGCGUUUUCAGAGAUUUGGGUUGCUUUGUUCGCCGGUGGUAACGGUGCCGGUGGUGGUGGUGGUGGUCGGAGAUCAUCCUCCUUCUCUAGUGUUCGACUCUCCGAUUACGAAGAGUGUUAAUAAUAAUAUAUAAGUUAUCAUUUUAAUUAAGUGGUCAAUGUAAAUGUUAAAUGUAAAUUAUGCGGCGGUGCAAUAAUUAAAACUGUAAUGAUUAAAAUGCGUAGGCCAAUUUAAAAUAUGUAUUUGUACGAUUUAGAUUCUAAAAUGCUUAAGAUUGGAUAUAUAGAUUUAUUGAUCAUAUUCGUCAACACCAACCAAAAAAAACAAAUAUAUUCAUAUCCACACGCAAUAGUUGCUUUUUAAAAAAAAAUAUAUCAUAUUAUUCGUAAACAAAGUUAGUGUGUGGAUUGAAAUAAAUUCACAAAAAAAUGUAUACAAAAAUAGUUUGAAGAACCAAACACAAGAAGCAGAACUGUGGGUUUCACGUUUUUACCAUAGACAAGAACACUUAAGAUAGGAACAGAUGUUCACUUUUUCUUUUACUUAUCUUUACACGUUCGAUUAUAAAUGCUUAGUAGGUGACACUUGGACGGUCGAUGUGGACCAUUUUGGUUCACCAAAUGAAGUGACAAAUGAUUGAAAUCAUUAAGAGACAAAAAAAAUUGAAUAUUUGUCCUUUUACACUUCUCUCAGACAAUAAAACAUAUACAGAGAUGUGUCUCUAUCUCUAGUGUUUUUUUUUACUAGGGGUUUUAAAUCUGAAGCUGAAUCAUCAUCACACAGUCUGAUUCUCGAGAUGAAUCAAUCUGAGUUUAGAAUGGUCAGAGAGAGUUUGGAUUUGGAGUGAGUGAAUUGGAGAAAUGGGUCCAUAACUUGAAGUACAAGCCAUCUCUGUUCCAUCACUGAUCACUACUUGUAUCCUCUUUUAUUGUUUAGAGUAAAAAGCAACCUCUAAGGUCAGAAGUUGAAUUAUUGAGUUUUUACAGCAAGGUUUUGGUAAAUAUUAAAGCACACGGCAUCAGAGAUUCUGCAACACAAAACGAGAACAUCACUAAAAACAAGACAAUGACACUAAGUUCUACGCUCUCUCUCUCUCUCUCUCUCUAAACAGAAGAUAAGAGAUUCUCUGCAGACAAGACAAUAUAGAAUAUUGUGUUAUCUCUCCCCCUCUCUCUCUCUCACUCUCUCUCUCCCUAAGGUUUCAUUGAGUCUAAAAGGGAAGUGAGAAAAUCCUUUGGUUUGAUUACUUGUCAUUAAAGAAAGGGUUUACAAAUAGUUGAUUUUGGUCCAAGACUGAAGAGAUGAUUAUUAUCAACCUUGGUGUGGUGGCGGUGGAGGCAUAGACAUGUGAUGGUGUUGGUAUGGUGGUGGUUGUUGUUGUGGUGGUCCACCUUGUUGCUGCAUGUGUUGUGGCGGGCCUGGCGGCCAUCCUCCAUGUUGGUGCAUUCCCAUGGCUUGAGGCGGAGGAGGCGGCCUCGGACCACCAAAACCUUGUUGGUGGUUAAGAAACUGUGGUGGUGGCGGCGGCACACCCUGAGGCGGACGGAAAUGCAUGGGCGGUGGGACCAAGCUAUGUUGUGGUGGUUGAGAUGGCCAGGAUGGUGGCUGAGUUUGAUAUAUUUGAGGAGGUGGUGGCGGUGGUGGACGGGCGGCGGGGAUCGGGAUAGGUUGCAUUCCGCCAUUGACAAAUGGACGUGGUAAACCAUUAACUUGAGGAGCAUUGGAUGGGGGGCCAGUUGCAAAUAGCGUAUGGGGUCUGCUUUUCUGGGCAGUUGGAUUCGUGGCAGCCAAAAGCCUCUCUGCAAUUCACAAAAGUAAACCGUUGUGUUCAAAUGAUGGAGCGAAACUGAUUCCAAAAAUUUAAGACGAGAAGAGUAUAAAGAUCCUAACCUGCUGGAGUACCAUGGCGCUCUCCUUUGGUGUCUUUCUUGUAUGCGUAAGAUACUGUUAUUUGACGAUUACACAGAUAUUGUCCAGUCAUUGCCUGCAAUAGUUGGACAACGAUCAGAGGAAUAUACUACCAUUGGAUUAGGUGAACAGGGAUGUUAUACAUGUAAAAUAUAGUGGACUCAAUCAAGUAUCAUAGAACUGCGAGAUAUGAAAGAAGCAGAUAAUUACCUCAAUAGCAGCAUCAGAUGCCUCAAAGGAGUCAUAGCUGAUGAAACCAAAACCUCGUGAGUUUCCAGUAUCCGGAUCUCUCAUUAUCUGAAACGAAACAUAUUCUAACAUUAGAGUCUAAAUCGCAAGACCAUUCUUUUCAACAAAUGGUUUAUUACUAUUGAUUGGGUGACCUUAGGAUCAAGAAUCAUGGACUGACAUCUAAUGAAAUAAAUAAAAAAUACCUUAGGAUUAGAAGCAAUCACACCAAAUGCACUGAAAGUAUCAUACAACUGCUUCUCAUCCACAUCCUAUAAAAUAAAACAAACCCUGGUCAGCUACGAGAGUAAAUUAGAUUUGUAGAGUAACAAAACCAGAGUGUACCCCCGAGAUACUUACAGGGUCAAGGUUCCCAAUGAAAAGGUUAGCACCAACAUCCAAACUUUUCUUAUCUUGAGACGCCUAAUACAAUAUUAAUCAGCAAACAAAAUGUUAGCAAGUCAAAGGAGAUAUACUAAAUAAGUCUCUGCAUCAAAACUCACAAAAUCCAUCCGGUCAAGAUCUCGAGAAUUCAUAAGGAACUGAAACAUAAGACAGGAUGCUGAACAAUGGAUGUUACAGAAAAAGUUUGAUACCUUGUUAACACGUAUAGGCUUCCCAUAGAGCUUAAUCAUGUUAAGAACCUUAAUUGCCUGCACAAAAGCAUCAAAAUUUGUUAACCAUUGUCCCCAAAAGGAAAUCUAAGAAACUCCUCACAGUAAGGAAAAAGAGCAAAACUUACAUAGUCAGCAUCUUCCUCACUACGGUAUUCAAUAAAGCCAUAGUUCUGAUGAAGAUUUGUCACUCUAUCUUUCGGAACAUAGACGUUAACUGAUACAAUCCAAAAAACCAGAGAAAGCUAAUAUCAGAAUAUUACCAAGUUCCUAACCCAAACCCUAUCAUUUCGUUUCAAGUUCCAUUAGCUACCGAAGGAGAAAUUGAUAUGAACUUACCAACAGGUCCGGCUUGAACAAACAAUUCCCAAAGCAAUUCUUCAGAAAGCUGACAUUUCAAAGACGAAAUGAAAUCAAUUUCACUAAAUAUUCAGCUCAAAUCACAGACGAAGAUGAGAAAAACACAAAACCUAAAUAGUUAAAAGAACCUGAGCAUCGAGAUUCCCAACGUAUACAGUGGCGUCUUGGUUCCUCUCAGCGGAGUGUUGGCCGAGAAGAUUAGCUCCAACACCAGGAGCGAUUCGAGUCGUCAUCUUCUUCUUCUGCUUCUUCUUCUCCUUGUUUCCUUACUCCGUCGCCCGCCGAUUGAGAAAUCUGAGAUUUUGUAGCUUCUAGAACGAAGAGAAGAGUGACGAAAGAGGUUUAUUUAUUUUUAGUGAGCCGUCAUUAAUGGGCCUAUAUACCCAUUAAGCUUUUCUUUUUAGAUCCACUAAGAAAGAGGUUUAUUUAUUCUUAGAGUGUGCCGUCAUUAAUGGGCCCAUAUACCCAUUAAGCCUUUCUUUUUAGAUCCACUAAGCUCUUUAGCCCAUUUGUUUUUAUUUAUUCAAUCUACAAUUUGCUAGAAGAAAACUAACUAAUGGGCCUAUAGUAUUGUAGUCUUAAACCCUAAAGACAUUUGUGGGUUUUAGUUUUACGACACUAUCACUCCCUCCUCCUCCGUGCACGGUGGCCGACGCUUGCUCGCAAUGACGCCGUCUCGUUUAUAUCUCAGCUUCCUCCGCCGCUUCUCCACCGCCGCUGUAACCACUGCUUCUUCCGGCCCAAUCACUAUCUCCAAAGCUAAACUCAAACUCCGCAAAGUACACGAUCCCGACAAAGCCUUGGCGAUUUACAACUCCGUCUCCAAAAAUGCCUCAUCUCCUCUCUCCUCACGCUACGCCAUGGAGCUCACAGUCCAACGCCUCGCCAAAUCUCAACGCUUCUCCGACAUAGAAGCUUUGAUUGAGUCUCACAAAAACAAUCCGAAGAUAAAAACAGAGACUUUUCUCUCUACAUUGAUCAGAUCUUAUGGAAGAGCUUCAAUGUUUGAUCAUGCUAUGAAGAUGUUCGAGGAGAUGGAUCAGCUCGGCACACCCAGAUCCGUUGUUUCCUUCAAUGCCUUACUCGCUGCUUGCCUUCACUCUGAUUUGUUCGAAAGAGUCCCCCAACUGUUCGACGAAAUUCCUCAGAGGUAUGAUAAUAUAACUCCUGAUAAAAUCUCUUACGGUAUGUUGAUUAAAUCGUAUUGUGACUCUGGUUCGCCUGAAAAAGCUAUGGAGAUUAUGAGAGAUAUGGAGGUUAAAGAAGUGGAAGUUACCAUCAUUACUUUCACCACUAUAUUAGGGUCUUUGUAUAAGAAUGGCUUAGUAGAUGUAGCGGAAAGCUUGUGGUCCGAGAUGGUGAAUAAAGGUUGUGAAUUGGAUAACACGGUUUAUAAUGUUAGACUGAUGAAUGCUGCGAAGGAAAGCCCCGAGAGAGUCGAGGAAUUGAUGGAAGAAAUGAGUAGUGUAGGAUUGAAACCUGAUACAGUUAGCUAUAACUAUCUCAUGACUGCGUACUGCGUGAAAGGAAUGAUGGGUGAAGCCAAGAAAGUGUAUGAAGGGCUUGAGAAAGAACACAAUUGUGUUCCAAACGCAGCGACGUUUAGGACGUUGAUAUUCCAUCUGUGUAUAAACGGGUUGUAUGAUCAAGGUUUAACGGUGUUUAAGAAGAGUGCGCUGGUGCACAAGAUUCCGGAUUUCAAAACGUGUAAGCAUUUGACUGAAGGAUUGGUGAAGAAUAAUAGAAUGGAAGACGCAAGAGGAGUGGCUAGGACUGUGAAGAAGAAAUUCCCUCCGCGGUUAGUAACCGAGUGGAAGAAACUAGAGGAAAAGCUCGGAUUGUAUUCAAAGGCCAGUGUUGCUGCUGCUGCUUCAUCUUCUUCUCAAACAAGAGAAGUGUUAGAUCAAGAAAGAGACGAUGUUGCAUAAAGUUCAAGAAUUUGCUAAGAAAGAUCUUGUUUUUGUCUGUGCUUACUCGCUUCAGCUUAUUUUAUGACUUGUGGAACUGUGAUCUAGCGUGAUGAAGAUUAUAAUACAUGAGUUUAUCUUAGAUUCGAGUUUGAUAUAAAUAUUUCAAUUCCAGUUGGUAACUCAACACUUGCUUUAGAUUUUGAUUUAGUUACUCAAUUUACCACAAACUUCAUCUUCGCAAAGACAAAUCGCUACCUCAUCCGUUAUACUACACUCUCAUUCUUUUCCACAUCUCAUAAACAUCAAACUUUAUAUCAUAAAGAGAUGCUCAGAUUUACAAAAACAAACACUCAAACCAAUAUGCCUUAAGUCUCGUCCACCAUAACUUCCAUGGUAGCGAAGUGUGGUUGUGGCUGGGGCGGCCAUCUCCGCUUUGCUUCUUCUUCUUCUCGUUUCCUUCGUUCCUCUUCAGCUCUUUUAGCUGCUUCUUCUUCUCUCUUCCUCUCUUGUUCUCUCCUCAUAGCCUCCUCUUCACGUUUCUUCCUCUCCAUCUCUUCUUUCUCUUUCCUCUGUCUUUCUUCCUCUCGUCUUUUCGCCAUCUCUUCUUCUUCACGCCGCUUCCUUUCUUGCUCCUCAUGUCUCUUCCUCUCAAUUUCCUCACGUUCUUUUCUUUGCCUCUCUUCCUCUUGUUUCUUAGCCAUCUCUUCUUCUCUCUUUCUCUCCUCUUCUCGCUUCCUAGCUUCUUCUUCACGUCUUUUCCUCUCCAUUUCCUCUCGCUCUUUCUUCUGCCUCUCUUCUUCUCGUUUCUUCGCCAUUUCUUCUUCCUCACGUCUUCUCCUCUCUUCUUCUUGACUCUUAGCUUCCUCUUCUUCUCUUUCCCUUUCUUCUUCUCUCUUUCUCGCCUCUUCUGCUUCCUCCUCACGUCGCUGAGCUUCUUCCUCCUCCCUCUUCCUUUCUUCUUCUCUCUUUCUUGCCUCCUCUUCUUUCCUUCUACGCUCAAUUUCUUCCUCUUCACGUCUCCGCUUCUCUUCCUCUCGUCUCUUAGCUUCCUCCUCCUCCCUCUUCCUUUCUUCUUCUCUUUUCCUUGCUUCCUCUUCCUCUUUCCUUCUUCGCUCAAUUUCUUCCUCCUCACGUCUCUUCCUCUCUUCAAUCUCCCUCAUAAUCUUUGCAAGCUCUCCCUCCGCACAAGACACACAAUCCAAUAUCACAUUUUCUCUCUGAGCUUCCAAGAGCCCCUUUAUUGUCUCAUUACUCAAGUUGAAAGACACCGCAAGUACCAUCGGGUCCAAUACUUUCAGAACCGAGCUCGGUCCUACUAAGAACUGAGGGUGGUUCGUCUUCGCUGAAGUGCUAAACCCCAUAAAUACAAAUGAACUGUUUUCAAAAGACAUUUGAGCCAUAGGACGAAACUUCGGCACAACAAAAACAUCUCCUUCCUCAACCAUGAACCUCUCGCUCUUGCUAUUGUUCUUGCAAGAAGACAACGAUUGUUGGUUAACCACCCGUAUCAUACCUUCCCCUUGUAUCACAAUGGAUAUCUCACAAGCACUAGGGUUCCAAUGCGGUGCCAUCAUUGAUCCCUACAUAAUUCAUUUUAAGUCACAUCAAGACAAGACUACUAACUCAUGAACCAAUCCAAUAUGGUAUUAGAAUUAAGUGCCUUAACCUUAGUUAGAUUGACCAUGAAAACACCAAAUCUUGAACCCUUUAAAGCAUCCAAAUCUUUUUCAUCUACCACUAUGCUCCGACCAUUGUUGUUCUCAAAGUCCGGGUCAGCCUCAAAAACAUUGAACGUUCUUGAUUUCUUUUUGUUAACAUCAACGAUUGGUUUCAUGGCCAAAUGAUCAGCGACAUCUUCAACUCUAACAAAGAGCCUAACAAGCCGUGUUUGCCACUUAUCCUCCUCCGAGCUUUGUGUUCUGUUUCUCGGCAGAGCAUUUAUGAUCAGCGGAGGCUUUGUUGCAUCUCUUAUCCUCCUCAAAACAUCCUCAUGAACCUUCCACAUCAUCAACACCAAUGUAAUCAGUUAAACAACAACCACAUAUAAGAUUAUGUCAUGUAGUAGACGUACGUACCGCAAAAGCUGACCGGAGAGUUCUAUCGUCGAAACCCAAUAAAAGGUCUCUAAUACUCGAGUAGGCUCCAAGGCAUGGAUCGUUUAAACACUUCCCCACGUCAAAGAUUGCGUAAAGCCUAAGUUUCUCUGGAACUUUGUCUCUCUCCAAGCUAUUGCUAUGUACGUAGAAGACUGUACCGGACCUUAGCCUAUAAACAUCUCCUCUUCUUAAUUCUAACGUCCUCUCGCUCUCCUCCUCCACCCAAUUUAAAGUCCCACUUCCUAAUACACAAUAACACAAUCUUAAUUACAAUCAAAGUAGAUAUAAAUAAUCAAUUUUAAGUUACAUUAUAUUUAUUUAAUUUUUAAUGAGCCAGUGAGUAGAAAAUUCAAGUGUUACCAGUGUGAACGAAUAAGACCAUGUCGGAAUGGAGAAGAAGAGGAAGCAAGAGUGCGUUUGGCUCCAAUGUUAUGAACUGAAGGUGAUAUCCAUCACCGAUCUGAACGGUUGAUAUCUCUCCGAACUCAGUUGUGACGAUUGGUGUGCGUUGAUCCCUCUUGACCAGAAGUGGUGAAGAAAACGAAGAUGGGACGAGGCCAUUAUGGUCGGGAAAAGACUGUGUGAAGAGGAACAGGGUGAUGAGAUAGACACAAACAGAGAGUGGAAGUAACGUAAAUCUCGACAUUGUUGGUUACUUUUAGUUGCAUACUCUAAUGAGACUAUUCAGAUCUUUUUAUUAACGCAUAAAGAGAAGUAUAUGGGAACUAGAGAGAGAUGGUGUAUGGACACUUGUCGUGAUAAGUGAACACGUGUAACGUUACCUUGACACGUGGUGAAUUAAUUCUUGAUACUAAUCUUGAUAUUCAUGAAUGACCAUCGUUGAAGAAAAUAUUAUGAUAUCGUCGAAGAUAAAACAUACUCGCUUUUGAUUGGUGACUAAACAAAUGUUAAAAUCGUUGAAGGGGAAAAAUUGUGAUUUGUGCUUGCACUUUUCUAUGGAGCUUCGUGGCAAUAUUUCAUUAUCUCUAAUGAUGUGUGGUAAUUAGAUAAAAUUCUAAAGUAGUAAAAGUCCAGCCCAUUAUGUUAAUGUAGUUGCAUGCAUUAGGUUUUGUUAUGGUUAUAGAAAACUUCGUAUUUUGUGUGCAUAUAAAUUAAGAGAAAGAAAAUGUUUGCUCAAAUUAAACUCUUACUUUUUUUUAAAAUUAAACUCUUACUUUUUUGUAUGUUUUUAUUAAGUUCUUGCAAGUUAGCAGAUUAAUGAUCAUGUUUAUUUAACACUAUAACAUGACCUAAGCAUAAGUUAGGUCUAAGUCAAGUAGAGCAUGCUAUAUUGCACAAGUGGGGAGAAACACACUAUUUGGUAGAAGAAUAUAUAUAAAGGAUGGGAGAACGAUUACAUUUGAUUUCGACUAAAGGUAGGUGUGAAAGAGUACUGAUCAAUACUAAUAUAUAGUGUUAGAAAUGUGAGUGAAAGGGAGUAAAUUAUAUGAAUGGAAAACGUGUAAAGUAAUAUAAUCUUAGAGCAAAGGCUAAAAUACCCAAACAACAUAUCCAACCUUCCAAAAUAUGAUUCCCCCAUUUCUAAGAAAAGCAUGUUGUGAAUGUGACUACUCAUUAUGUUACUUUUCCAAAUUGUAAGAGAUUGAAGAUGCUCCACUCCUCUUUCCCUAAGAUUUCUUGUUAAGUUCACUUUUUAGUGAUUUUAAAAUAUUUCUAUAGUUUUUGAUCACGAAAAACAUUUAAAAAUUGUGACAAAGUUUGUGCUAUUUGUAAAUGCCACAAAUAGGUUAAACUAAGGUAUAGAUUUGAUCAUGAGUGAGUUAUGAAAAUUAAUUAUGAACAUAUGUGUAGUCAUAGAUUGAUAGGAAAUAUUCGUAGAUAAAACUUUCUAGUAAUUUUCUCUUUUGAAUCAUUAAGUUAUAUUGGUCUUCUUUACAAUUACUCACUUCGCUACAAAUCUAUAUGUAACCAUUUACAUCGUUUUUCUUGCACUAUGCAACCAUUUACUUACUUUAAAAUUUUGUUACAUUUUUCUAUUUUGGCACUAUAAGUCGAUUUACGAACGUCAAUAUAAAUCUAGAAGUACCUAGAAAAAAAUUAUGAAACACAUGCAUGAGUCAUGAACCAUGAAGAAAGAACUACAUGCCAUAUAGAUUAACGUCAAGUGGAAAUUUUUAAGUGAAAGCUCAAAAGAAAAAGAAAAAAACCCAUCAAAAUGAAACUAUUUUUAACUUCGAAUCAAUCAUUGGGGUUAUACAUUAUCGUUAGAUAUGCACAGCUAUGAACUUCACAAAAAAAAAAAAAAAAAAACCUUUCUCGAUCUUUUUAUGAAUUUUAACCUUUCUAUGUUUAUAUAUUAAUGAAAGCGAUCUUUUUAUAUGUGUGAAUGACAUAAAAUCAGAAUCUACAAGCAAAAAAAUAAAACCUUUAUUGCUUUUGUAAGCUUCAAGCUUUCCUUACUUUUAAAAUGAAACGUAUGUGCGUUGUGUAUCAUCGGCCUCUCCUUUGUUUUCCUUACUUCCUAAGUAUUUGACUCUUUUUCUUUUGUUAAGAGUCUAAAACAAAUAACUUCCAUUAGUGAAAUCUUCACAAAACUUCAUCAUAUUUGGAAACAACUAGGAAUGAAAACAUGUUUAACCUAUAUAUUAGAGGUGCCCGUUAUGUUAAAACUCAUAUUUACUUAGCGAGCUAUGUGUGACCCUAAGAAUCUAAUACACUUUGCCAAAUUCCUAUGAAAAAAUACUCGCAAAGUUGGAACAAUACUAUACAUCAGUUGAUGGAUUUGUUUUAAAAAUAUGAUCACAUGUGCUAAAUUAGCUUAGUUUAGAUUUUAGACUGCUGAUGAAUAUUUAAGGUUUUAAGAACAUUAUUAAUGGUGGAAUUAUAGGUAUAAGAUUUACGCUAGAGAGUAUAUUAACGGUGGGAUUAGGUAUAACUUAUAAGUAACACAAUAAUACUACAUCGUAAAAGAUGAAAAGGUGACUUUUUCUCCAAUUUGGCUUCCAAGUGUUUUGAUUUGAAAUAAGAAUUCACAUGAGGUGCAUAUGUGCAUGGUUUAUGAAUCUAUAAAAAGAAAAUAAAAUGUUUUUUUGUGAUUAGAAAUCAAACAUAGUGUGUAACUCCAACAUCAGCAAAAAUCUUGAAUUUGAUACACAACUAACCAAAAAAAAAAGUAAAGUAAAAGAAUAUAUCUUUUAAAUCUACAGUACAAUUAUUGAUAUAAAAACACAACAUGACAAUUUAAAAAACCUCACUUUUACAAAAACAAACACAAACCUUUCUUCUUCCUCAAACAUGAGAGCCCCUGCUUCUUCAGACAACACCAACAGUAACUCAAAUCUCAUCUGCUAUAAUAACGAACCUACUUCUGUCCUCGAUCUCCGCCGAAGCCCAAGUCCAGCUACGGCGGAGGAGAAACCAGUUGGUAAUAAUAAUACUAAUCAAUUCCCUAUAGAAGAUGAUCAUCAUCAUCAUCAUGUGAUGCGUUCAAUGGAUUGGGAUUCAAUUAUGAAAGAGUUAGAAUUAGAUGACGAUUCUACCCCUACCCUCAAGUCUAAUUUCCCAACUUUUGCCAUUUCUCCACCUCUCCCUGUCUUUCCCGAUCAGUUUCAUCCGCCGGAGUUUCCUGGUCACGGUCACGGAUUCAUCGACAACAACAACGAAGGUGGUGGUGGAUUUGAUUUCGUUGAAGAUCUCAUACGAGUCGUGAACUGUGUUGACUCGGACGAGUUACAACUCGCUCAGGUGAUAUUGUCACGGCUCAAUCAACGUUUGAGAUCUCCGACGGGAAGGCCGUUAGAGAGAGCAGCGUUUUACUUUAAGGAAGCUCUCGGUUCUCUAAUAACCGGAACUAACCGGAAUCAAAACCGGUUAUCUUCCUGGUCCGAGAUUGUUCAAAAAAUCAGAGCGGUCAAAGAGUUCUCCGGUGUAUCUCCGAUCCCUCUCUUCUCUCAUUUCACGGCGAAUCAAACGAUCCUCGAUUCAUUAACCGUACGUUCAUCUUCGCCGCCGUACGCUCACGUCGUUGAUUUCGAAAUCGGAUUUGGUGGUCAAUACGCGUCGCUCAUGAGAGAGAUCGCCGAGAAAUCAGUUAACGGAAUCGGGUUUUUAAGAGUUACGGCGGUUGUUACGGAGGAUUCCGCCGUCGAGACGCGUCUUGUUAAAGAGAACUUAGCUCAAUUCGCCGCGGAUCUGAAAAUCAGAUUUCAAAUCGAGUUCGUUCUGAUGCGUACGUUUGAGGUGUUAUCUUUCAAAGCGGUUAGGUUUGUUGAAGGAGAGAGAACCGUCGUUUUGUUAUCUCCGGUGAUAUUCCGUCGUUUAAACGGAAUCUCCGGUUUCGUUAACGAUUUACGGCGAGUUUCGCCGAAGGUCGUCGUCUUCGUCGAUAGCGAAGGAUGGACGGGAAUCUCAGGAGGAGCUGGAUCGUUUCAGAGAGAGUUCGUUAGUGGUUUAGAGUUUUACACGAUGGUGUUUGAAUCUCUCGACGCCGCCGUUGCUUCUCCGGGAGGUGGUGAUUUGGUGAAGAAGAUCAUAGAAGCGUUUGUGUUGCGACCUAAAAUCGCGUCUGCGGUUGAAGCGGGUGCGGAUAAGAGAGGAGGAGAGAUGAUGACGUGGCGAGAAGCGUUCUGUGCGGCGGGGAUGAGGAUGGUUCCGUUGAGCCAAUUCGUUGAUUUUCAAGCUGAGUGUUUAGUGGAGAAAGCGCAAGUCAGAGGGUUCCACGUGGCGAAACGUCAGGGAGAGUUAAUGCUUUGUUGGCACGAAAGGUCUCUCGUUGCCACGUCAGCUUGGCGGUUUUAUUGAACUAACCGGGAUUGGUUGAAUAUAGUUGUUGUAGAGGGUUUGGUUUGAUUUGGUUUUAUUAUUUCUAUUCUAUAAACAUUAUUAACAAGAUUAUAAAUAUAAACAAUCCGUAAUUCCAAAUAAGAACCACUCUAAGGGGGUGUAUUCAAAGUGGAAUUUUAAGUGAUUUGUAAAAAGUUUACAAAUCCAGUGUUAUUCAAUCAUGAAUUUUAAAAAGUCUCAUGAAAUCCAGUGUUAUUGAACUAAUCAUUUUAAAAUCCACCUUAAAAUCCAUUGUUAUUGAAAACAGUUUGUGGAUUUGAUUUUAAAUGAUUUCAGAGGAUUUUAGUGGAUUUCAGAGAACUUCCUUAGUUAAAAAUAUAAGAAUCCAAAUCUCAUAGUUUUAAGUGUCUUCUCCUUAUGCUCACUUCCAUCAGCAUAUUUUUUUGCUCUUCUAUUACUAAUUUUCCCCCUUAUUUCAUUUUUCUUUAAACUCUUUAUCAUCAAAUGAUUCGAGUUGCGAUUCGAGUAAAAUACAUAAUUACUGGACGAAAGUUUCUCUAAAAUCAAUAAUAAUCAAAAUUAACGGUUAUUGGCUCCACCUCAUGACAAUAUUACAACAUUUGACUAUGAAUCAAGGCUUACAUUUCUCCUCAAUUUCCUUGACAACCAAGGCAAGGAUCGAGGGAGCUCCUAGUUCAUCAGUUUUUUUACAUCAAACUUACACCAUAAUUCUAUAGCUAAAUAAGGACUUGCUCAAUUCCUUCAUAUCAAACACAUAUAUACAACAAAUUCAUUCUCUAAAUUUUUCAAGGCUCUUUCAAAUUUAUUUUUGAUCCAUUUUGAUACAAGGAUGCAUUCAUUGUAAAAAGAACAUUAUUUUGUUUUGAAUUUGUUUACACAUUCUUAAAAAAAAAAAAAAUAGACAACGAAGAGAUACAUAAGCUCCACAAAGCGAAAUUCAGACAAAACAAAACAUAAGAACUGGAAUUUUGUAAUAACAUUGAGAAAUGGCAAUUCAUAUACAAUUUCUGUGUGAAUUGAGAAAUGGCAAAUUAACAUUAAUCUGCCCCAAGACACCUUUCCUACUUUCUCGUUUUCUAGAUCAUAAAGAUUCAAGAACUCAUCUUCAUUGUAGGCAACCCCAUUAAUUGGCCAUUGAAAGAGUAAUCUUCUUAAAUUGAAUGUGAGUGGUUGAAAAAUAAAUGAAUGAUAACAAAUACCGUAUUUAUUCAAUUUGGUCCCAACAUCUAACUACAUAUAGAAACACAAAUUAAAACACGUUGGUAAAAAAACUACAUUCUUAUAUUUCCCUCUUCAGUCUACUCAUAAGUACGCUUCUUAAGGAUUCUUCUAAAUUUUUAUCCGUAAAUGUUUCACUUUCCUAAGCUGGUUAAAAGAAUAUUAAGCACCCUAAUGCAAUUAUUGAAGUAACACAAAAUUUUAAGAGAUCUUUUCUUCCUAUCUAUCCAAAAAAAAAAAGAGAGAGGAGAAAUUAAUUUCCCGGACCAUGCAAUGUGAUGAAGGGGCCGGGGAUCAAUUACAGUUUGUGGUUGCAAAUUGUAGACCUACUAGUAUUUAAGCGAGCCUUGUGUCAUCACCUACAAGCUUAAAUCUCCACAUACAUUAUAUUUUGAGAUCAAACAACUAAUCAAUCAAAAAAAUGGAUGCAAAAACUUUGGUUCUAAGUGUGCUCGUAAUGAGUCUGUUCAUGGCACAAAUUCAAGUCGACGCCAAGAGCUGUUGUCCAUCCUCCACUGCUAGAAACAUCUAUAACACUUGCCGCUUUGGAGGAGUUCCAAGUUCAAUAUGUGUAGGCCUCAGUGGCUGUCUAUUAAUUGGUGGGUCGAAAUGUCCUAACGGAUAUACAUAUGACGUUCUCGAAAACACAGGUACAUUGAUUAUUAUCGCGAUAUAUUACAUACAUUAUUUGUUACAAAACGGAUCAAGAUUUCAUUUGUUUGAUGUGUUUUUAUUUUUCUUUCUUUUCCAAGGUAAUGCUGUCCAAAAUUACUGCAAGUUGGGGUGCGUAUCCUCCGUAUGCGGUGCCCUAACCAUCCUCGAGAACUCUGGUAAACAAACCUCUCAAACUCAUCAUCACUAUCAUUUGAUUUUUUAUACAAACCUCUCAAAUUUUGUUUUGAUAACUAGAUGCAAGUAAAAUCGUGACUGGAGCGGUUGAAAAAUGUGUCAACGCAUGUUCUACCGUCUGCACCAAGGGCUCGAUGAAUGCAGUUGAAAUCGCCUAGACAACCAUAAAAAUACCACGGGUGAAGCCGUGAAGGAGGUUCACAAUGUUGUUGUUCUUCAUUUUUUCAAUAAUUGUCAUGUAUGUGACAGAUACACUGUUGCGUGUUUGUUUAUGUGUGUAGAAGGUUGUCAAUCUGUAGAUUGUAUAUGCCUUAUGUUAUGUAUCUUUUUUUUUUUUUUGAAUGAAUGUUAAAUUUAUUAACCAAAAAAAACUGUUUUACAAUAUAUCCAGCUUUUAGUAGAAAGGUUAUUGAAAUAGAUUAAAAAAACAGCUCUAAUAUUGAUCUAAAUUUGUGGUCUCGAAGCAAACCAAACUUGAAGUCCAUUUUGGUGUUUUCCUUGUUGUAAGGAGCAGAGCCUGUUACGUAUAAUAUGUUAUGUAUCUUUUCAUUAAUGAAGAAAUAUUGUUUGUAUUAUUCUUAUGUUCUCAUCCAUUUUCUGUUGUUCUUUUCUUUUUUUCCCGAACAAUAGUCUUUCUAUGAGUAUCUCAUAUCAUGACAACAUAUGCUUCUUAAUUAAUAACCAUUUUUUUUGAACUAUUUUUUUCUCAUUAAGGUUAUUUUCGAGCUUUUUUUAACGUCAACUUUGAACUAGAACGUUUUGUAAACCUUUAAAUUGAGUUUCCAAAUAAUAUUUUAGAAGAUAUUAUUGAUGUUUGUUUAAGAAGUGGAGUGAAUUAGAAUCGUCACUGAACUUGAAAAGUCUAAAUUAGUAUUUUUAAUAGAAUUCAUUUAUUAACUCUACUAACAACAAUAUUAUCUUCGUGUUACUAAUAUAUCUUCAAUAUUAUGUAUUUACUUGCACACGAUAAAAUUUUACUACCAUUAGAGAUAAUAAUAACAAGAUUAAAUGUUAAAUGGAAAGUUAUAUAAUGGGAAACACGUAAACAAUAGGAUCACUAGUGACCAUUACUUUGAAUUUGAAUUCGGCGCCUGCGGAAGAUAAACAUUUUAAAUCUUUAUAAUAUCUACAUAAUUAACAAAAUAAGUGUGGAGUCCUCUCAAAACCUUUGAACAAAAAAAUAAUAAAUGUAUUUUAGUGACAUAAAUAGCCAAAUAAUUUUUUAAAACCUCUUUGUAUACAUGUUUCUUGAAACCGGGAUGUCACAACCAUGGGCGGAUUUAGGGUGGGGCAUGUACCCUAUACUCCUUCUUAAAGUUUAGAUAAUAGUUAUAUUGUAAUUGAUUCCCUUGGCUCAGUUGGCAAUUGAUCACUUCUUGUGUUUUCUAGGAUGUGAGUUCGAAUCUGGCUGUUGCUUUUUUCAGUUAUAUUUUUUUUUCCCAAUUAAAAUAUUCUCUGAAAAAUAUUAGUAAACCUAAUAAAUUACUAACAUUAAACAAAAGUGCUCUCUUUUGUAUUUUUUAAUGUUUCUUAUUAAGAAAUUAAAUAUAUAUAUAUAUAUAUAUAUAUGUUAUAUGUAAUUAAAUGUACAAAAUGAGCCUAAGUUUUUGAAAGUUCUGUUUUUAUUGGUUUAGAUUCCGUUUUCAAUUUCAAACUUUAAAAUAUAUUAAUAAUUUUCAAUAUACAGUACAUUAAUAUUAUCCCAAAUAUAUGUUUAUAAUAUAAGUUUGAAAUUAUUAAUUAUAUGUACUUUGUGCUCCAUACAAUAUGUUUCUCUACAUCAGCCACUGGUCACAACAAAUGUUUUGGUUUGAUGGAUGAAACACUGGAAGCAAUGAGGGAGACUUAAAGCUUGUCGUGUGACUAGAAUCAACAUUUAGGACUCGACAUUGUAAAGAUUAUCUAUACUCUUAAGUUUAAAGUAUUGUUCUUUUCGCGUUUAUUAAACUUUCGGUAAAAGAAUCGAUCCUCUUAACAAUUGGUGAAGCCUUUUAACUCUUUUUUCUUUUUUCAGCAAUAUAUCAUAACAACUGUUGAUUUGGGGUAUAAGUUCUAUAUGGGGGAUUAGUAAUUUUUAUAAUUUGAUUGUUAAUCAUAACUCCUUAUUUGUAGUUUAUACUAUUUACAUGAAUUUAAUAACAGUAUUAACAAAGGUUGGUUUUUUGAUUAAAAAAAAAACAAAGGUUGGUAAAAGUUUGGUCUCAGUCUCUCAGAAUAAACUAGAGCCAAAAUUUCUUGCUAAGAUAUUUUAUUAUAUAAAGUUUGAUUUCAAAAAGUUUUAAUUCACGUGAUCGUGACACAAAUCAUAUCUAUCAAUUAUAUUUUGACACAUGCAAAAUAAAAAGUUAUAGAAUUUUUUUUUAAAGAUAUUACACAAUAGAUUAGAAAUUGUGAGAAUAAAAGGAAACUUACAUACAAAUUUACAAUCACGAAUGUUAGAAUUAUAAACAAGUUCUCUCGGUCUAAUGUGUAAAAAUAUUGAUAUGGCUCAAACAUUUAAUUCAUCUACUUUGUGACAAAAGCUUCCCACUAAAAACUGUGUCUUUAAUUCAUAUCAAUUUGCGAUUACUUUUUUUCAUCACAAUGAAGUCAACUAAUAAUAUUAUAACCGUCGCGAAUAUGAGAGGAUUUAACAUUGUGUGGUCAUAGUUUUGUGACGGUUUUGCAAUUACUAUAUGUCUAGUAGUUUAAUGAUCUCUCCUCGUAUUAAUUAAGUAGCAUAUGUUGUCAUUAAUUAUAUGAGAAGCUUAUAGAAAAGAACAACUGAAAAUGGAUGAGAGCAUAAGAUUAAUACAAACAUUUAUUCAUUAUUGAAAAGAUAGAGAGUAGAAGACUUAUAACCUUCUACACACAUACACAAACGAGCACGAGAGUCUUAACAUUGUUGUCACAUACAUGGUAAUUAUUGGAAACAUGGCAAACAACAGUGUAAAUC
RNAcentral lists this long non-coding RNA (114779 nucleotides) under Capsella rubella. RNAcentral describes it as "long non-coding RNA (CRUB_LNC003959)". Lineage: Eukaryota; Viridiplantae; Streptophyta; Magnoliopsida; Brassicales; Brassicaceae. The record is from RNAcentral.